This 125468-nucleotide long non-coding RNA is filed under the name Triticum aestivum (bread wheat). RNAcentral's name for it is "long non-coding RNA (TAES_LNC008152)". The record is from RNAcentral. Lineage: Eukaryota; Viridiplantae; Streptophyta; Magnoliopsida; Poales; Poaceae.
UAUUUUGUGGGCGUCUUCCCAGACGAGCUCUUCGGCCUCGUCAGGCUAAGGAAGCUCUCCCUCGCAUCCAACGAGCUCGCCGGCGAGCUGAGCUCACGCCUCGGUGAGCUCACACAUCUUACCUUGUUGGAUUUGUCUGCCAACCGCUUCUUCGGCCCCCUCCCGGAUGUGUUCGGCGACCUCACGUCGCUAGAGCAUUUGGCCAUGCAUUCCAAUGGCUUCUCUGGCUUCUUGCCACCGUCUCUAUCAUCACUAUCUUCUCUCCGUGAGCUCAACCUCCGAAACAACUCCAUCACUACAGGAAAAUUCGGUUUUCCCGUGUGUUAGCCUAUAAGCCGUGCGCUAUUUUUCGGGCACCCGGCUUAUGCACCUCGAAGCCGAGUCUAGGGAACAAAACACCCGGCAAACAGGAAGAACUCGGCUUAUGGUCACCUAUAAGCCGAGUGCUGCAAAAAAACUCUCGGCUUAUACGAAGCACACGGUAUCUACUCGAAAAAGCACCCGGCUUACAGCACACGCUCGGCAAAGACAGAUUGCCACGUGUCCGCAACGGACGUGGCUGACGGCGCCGUCACGGAGCAUCAUGUAAGCCGUGUGUCCGACGCAGGCACUCGGCUAACAGGACAUAUAAGCCGUGUGCCCCAGCAAGCACUCGGCUUACAGGACAUAUAAGCCGUGCGCCCCGCCCAAGCACUCGGCUUACAGGAUAUAUAAGCCGUGAGCCCGAUGAAAGCACUAUGCUUACAUAUUUGCGGAUUUUUUUUCAACCCAUAACAUUUAUGCAAAAUUGAUUUAAGAUGGUUUUCAUUGCAUUUAUAUUUACUACUUAAUUAGUAUUAUUAUUCUUCCCUAGUAGUUUUCAUGGGUCUUAUUUGAAAAACUCUAAAUUUAACGCCACUUUAAUAUUUAUAUGACUUUCGACCCCUAGCGUAACCAUAUUAUGAUGACAUGCAAAAGCAACUACUGAAACUUCACUCUACGCCGAGUGCGUUGCUCUUCAUUUAGAGCCAAUACACGGGCACUCGGUAACGUGAAGUAAGGCAUGGAGCCGAGGUAAUUUUGCCCCCCCCUAGUGGCCGGGCCCGCCCCUCCCUCGUCUGCAAAAGGCCUACGGAUGUCGCAAAGACAUCACAUAGGACUUUACAUGCCGCUUCUGGGCAUGAUUUCAUGUGCCGCCUUGCAGAUCUGCAAUUUCCGGCAUCGAAACUAUAGCAGUGGAAUAAAUGUCUCAAAUAUUCUAGGCGGGUCCGAAAAUUGCGGGGGCCUGACACAUGUCAUUCGAUCGCCUCCUUUGAGAGCACGGUAAGUUUCGAUGCCAAUGGAGAAACAUGGCCCACACUUCCUUCACAAAUCGCACUCGUUCCCUCUCGGUACCUAGAGACUACAGCAGAGACGGUGUAGUUUACGAGCAGUCGGAGGUGAUCCCUACUCGAAACACGCCCAAACUUUUACCACACCCUACAGGGGCCAUGUUAUGACACCGUGCCAGCUCCCGAGGAUUUCCGGCAUCGUACGAGUUUUCGAUGAUUUAAACGGUUGGAUCAGGCAUGGCGACGAGGUAACUCCCCCCCCCCCCGGUGGCUGGGCCAGCCCCUCCCUCGUCUGCAAGAGGCCUAUGCAUGUCGCAAAGACAUCACAUAGGACUUUACAUGCCGCUUCUGGGCAUGAUUUCAUGUGCCACCUUGCAGAUAUGCAAUUUCCGGCCCCGAAACCCUAGUUGUGCAAUAAAUGUCUCAAAUAUUCCAGGCGGGUCCGAAAAAUGCGGGGGCCUGACACGUGUCAUUCGAUGGCCUCCUUUGAUAGCAUGAGAAGUUUCGAGGCCAACAGAGCAACAUGGCCCACACUUCCUUCACAAACCCGACUCGUUCCCUCUCUGUACCCAGAGACUACAUCGGAGAUGGUGUAGUUUACAAGCGGUCGCAGGUGAGCCCUACUCGAAACGCUCCCAAACUUUUACCACACCCUACAGGGGCCAUGUUAUGACACCGUGCCAGCUCUCGAGGAUUUCCGGCAUCAUACGAUUUUCCAAGGAUUUAAACGGUUGGAUGAGGCAUGGCCCCGAGGAAAUUUUGCCCUCCCCGGUGGCUGAGCCUGCCCCUCCCUCGUUUACAAAAGGCCUACGCAUGUUGCAAAGACAUCAUACAGGAGUUUACAUGUUGCUUCUGGGCAUGAUUUCAUGUGCCGCCUUGUAGAUCUGCAAUUUCCGGCGCCGAAACCCUAGCAGUGGAAUAAAUGUCUCAAAUAUUCUAGGCGUGUCCGAAAAAUGCGGGGGCCUGACACAUGUCAUUCGAUCGCCUUCUUUGAGAGAACGAUAAGUUUCGAUGCCAAUGGAGCAACAUGGCCCACAUUUCCUUCACAAAUCAGACUCGUUCCCUCUCGGUACCUAGAGACUACAGCGGAGAUGGUGUAGUUUACGAGCAGUCGGAGGUGAUCCCUACUCGAAACACGCCCAAACUUUUACCACACCCUACAGGGGCCAUGUUAUGACACCGUGCCAGCUCCCGAGGAUUUCCGGCAUCGUACGAGUUUUCGAGGAUUUAAACGGUUCGAUCAGGCAUGGCAACGAGGUAACUUCCCCCCCCCCCCGGUGGCUAGGCCAGCCCCUCCCUCGUCUGCAAGAGGCCUAUGCAUGUCGCAAAGACAUGACAUAGGACUUUACAUGCCGCUUCUGGGCAUGAUUUCAUGUGCCAGCUUGCAGAUCUGCAAUUUCCGGCCCCGAAACCCUAGCUGUGCAAUAAAUGUCUCACAUAUUCCAGGCGGGUACGAAAAAUGCGGGGGCCUAACACGUGUAAUUCGAUGGCCUCCUUUGAUAGCAUGAGAAGUUUCGAGGGCAACAGAGCAACAUGGCCCACACUUCCUUCACAAACCCGACUUGUUCCCUCUCUGUACCCAGAGACUACAUCAGAGAUGGUGUAGUUUACAAGCGGUCGCAGGUGAGCCCUACUCGAAAUGCUCCCGAACUUUUACCACACCCUACAAGGGCCAUGUUAUGACACCGUGCUAGCUCUCGAGGAUUUCCGGCAUCAUACGAUUUUCCAAGGAUUUAAACGGUUGGAUGAGGCAUGGCCCCGAGGUAAUUUUGCCCUCCCCGGUGGCUGAGCCUGCCCCUCCCUCGUCUACAAAAGGCCUACGCAUGUUGCAAAGACAUUACAUAGGAGUUUACAUGUCGCUUCUGGGCAUGAUUUCAUGUGUCGCCUUGUAGAUCUGCAAUUUCCGGCAUCAAAACCCUAGCUGUGCAAUAAAUGUCUCAAAUAUUCCAGGCGGGUCCGAAAAAUGUGGGGGCCUGACACGUGUCAUUCGAUGGCCUCCUUUGAUAGCACGAGAAGUUUCGAGGCAAACUGAGUAACCGGGCCCGCACUUCCUUCACAAACCCGACUCGUUCCCUCUCGGUACUCAGAGACUACAUCGGAGAUGUUAUAGUUUACAAGCAGCCGCAGGUGAGGCCUGCUCCAAACACGCCCAAUCUUUUACCAGAAUAUUGGCACGAUAUUUUAAAGAAUGAAAAUAAUGAAAUAAGGGGAGACGGUAUCAUUUAUGAGAACAAUUAAAUAAAAAUACAAUAAAAAGUAUUAUAAAAAUAAAAAUAUAAUGAAAAUAAAAAAAUAACAAUACAAUAAAAAUAUCAAAAUAAAAAUAUAAUAAGUAUCAUAAAGAUACAAUAAAAUAAAAACACAUAAAUUAUUAAAAGUAAAACUAAUAAACUUUUUUUAUUAAAAUAAUUUUUUUUAUAAACCGUGUAUUUUUCUUUGACACUAGGUUUAUCGUGCUGCACCAGGCUUAUAGUGAGCGCGGGACUUGGCCAAAAUAGACGCGCGCAUAGCUUAUUUUGGCCCAAUUAUCGNNNNNNNNNNNNNNNNNNNNNNNNNNNNNNNNNNNNNNNNNNNNNNNNNNNNNNNNNNNNNNNNNNNNNNNNNNNNNNNNNNNNNNNNNNNNNNNNNNNNNNNNNNNNNNNNNNNNNNNNNNNNNNNNNNNNNNNNNNNNNNNNNNNNNNNNNNNNNNNNNNNNNNNNNNNNNNNNNNNNNNNNNNNNNNNNNNNNNNNNNNNNNNNNNNNNNNNNNNNNNNNNNNNNNNNNNNNNNNNNNNNNNNNNNNNNNNNNNNNNNNNNNNNNNNNNNNNNNNNNNNNNNNNNNNNNNNNNNNNNNNNNNNNNNNNNNNNNNNNNNNNNNNNNNNNNNNNNNNNNNNNNNNNNNNNNNNNNNNNNNNNNNNNNNNNNNNNNNNNNNNNNNNNNNNNNNNNNNNNNNNNNNNNNNNNNNNNNNNNNNNNNNNNNNNNNNNNNNNNNNGCACUCCCUCCGCCGACGCACAGGUCUCUCUCUCUCUCUCUCUCUCUCUCUCUCUCUCUCUCUGUCUCUCUCUGACAGGUCUUGGUUCACCGCUGCUCUGUUGGCUGCUCCAGGUCCGGCUGACAGGUCCGGCUGCUCCUCAUCUCCGCCUCGCCAGCCGGCAGCGCAGCGCAGCGCAGCCCCCGCCGCCUCCUCCCCCACUCUCCCGUCAGCAUGGUCCACGGCUCCUGGAUCUAAAGCAGCCGCACCGUGCUGCCGCGGUGCACAGCAGCAGGUUCCCAAGACAACCCUCGCCGUCCCUCUGACUGUCUCUCUCUCUCUAUGACUGAACCCAACACAACCCUCAUUCGCAGGUCGCAGCUAGCUAGGCAUCAGCGGCACCGGUCACCGGCGGCAGCGUACAUCACCGGCUGCAGCGUACAUCACCGCGCGCGGCAACGGACGCAGUACGCACUCAUCCCCUUUUUUUAACUUCUCAAUUUCAUACAGUCUUGCAGGUCAGGAUGUCAAUGGACAGCUCGCUGGGCAUUGUGGGACUUGCCCGCUCUGACCACCACUUAUGUGGGAUUAUGUCAUAGUCCAGUUAACUUUUUUGUGGCGUAUGUAGUGUCCACAUAGUACCACGUAUUCACAGAGCAAACUGACACGAAUAUACUACUUACAAUAUAGUGCCAUUAGUGCGGGCCUAAUUAGUAACACCUCCGAUUAUUCGGUACAGAGCAAACAUAGUACAGGAAAUUGGCAACUCUAAAUCUCUAGAUUCAACAUUUAUCUACAACUUAGAUUAUCAAAGCUGAACCCAAUGGACAUGAUUAUGGCUAUCAAGAUGUAAUGGAGAGUGACCAAUCUGCAUCAAUGAGGUGUUUGAAGUCUGAACCUUUCAUCUACCUAGAAGGGAAUGGCAUGCAAUGAGGUGUCCGAAGUCUGAACCUUGCUCCAUAUCAUUUAGUUCUCAAGUUACUGCAACCCGAAUUUGCAUCAGUCCUCACCGUCUACUACUCCGACGACGUACGACAUCCACCGGUCCCAUCUUCCAAGUCCCAUAGGCUGCAUCGCAGCAGAGGGGGAGAGGCAUAUGAGCGCUAGAGGAGCAGAGCAGAGGUACCGUGAAGUCGUUGCCGAAGGCCUCAUCUGAAUCAGCUCCGGCGGCGACGACGUCGGCUUUGACGUCAGGCGCAACUGGGACGGCAGAUCUGGUCUCACCGGCUUUUCUGGGCUGUCCAUUUGUGCCAUUUAUUUUUGCUGGACGUCCACCAACUCCAUUUGAUCUUUUUUUGCUGGGUGGCACAUGUGGGACUAGUGGGACCCAACGCCACUUACAUCCUGACUUGCAAGAAUGCCAGUAGUCGCGGCUGUUCUUCUCUUAGUUUUAUAAUGCUGCAUAAUACACAAGUUUUAACACAUCUAUCAACUAAGCCAAGUUUUAACCUUUGAGAGAAACUAUCAAAGGACCAUUGGGAUUUCAGGAUAAGAAAUGAGCAAGUAGCCUUGUACAAACGAAAAACGAGUUCCAACACCACUUCUAAAUUUGAUUCGUGUUGCUGCAGCCACUCAACCCAAAGACCAAUCCACAAGGGAAAGCUUUUUUUGCAGCUAGCUAGGCCUUUAAUUUGUGGCUACCAGCAACCAAGAUUUAUCUAUCACAUCACAUUUGAUUCAUUGGUUCCUGCCUGGAUAUGUAAGAUUCUUGGAGCAGUAUAGAACUAAAGGGAUGCACAAAUGGGCAACCUUCAAAGCCUGUACAGAAGUUCAAUGACAUGAAUAUUUCCUCUAUGCAUGAUUUUAUAAUUUUCUAUAUGCGUUUGAGAUUAGGCUUUUGUAUUUUCUUUUGAGAAAAAAGGGAAAAGCUAAGUAGCUAAUAAACGGUAUAUUAGAAAGGAGUGGCCAGAGCACAUAUUUGUUAUUGUUAUGGAAAUACAAGUAUUGCCACUGUAAAUACAAAAGGAGUGGGCAGAGCACCUAUUCUGCAUGUGAAUUAUGUUUAGUCCCAGUUUGCAAGUUUUGCAUGUGGAUUAUGUUUGAUCCCAAUUUUCACUUUAUUGCAGGACAUGCAUUAGUUUGACGUCGAGACCGUUGUCGCGGAGCUUCUUGCUGGACGGAAGACCGGCACCGAACAUGCUUCGAGGGUAAGAAUCAUUCGCCUCGUAGGAUUUAUGGAUAUUAUUGCUUCUAUUGCAGAAUAGGGAGAGAGGUGAGGGCCAAGAGAAGCUCAAUACCUUCACGGGAUUAUGUCUCUCCCGCAAGUCAAAAGAAACCGGAAGGGGGGUGGGUCAACCCAGGCGCUGGCUUGAGGAUUGAUGCAUACAGUGGGAAGUUCAAGGAGCACAACGGGCCUGACUCUAAUCCGGCCUCACAGGACAUUGACACUACAAUUUCCCUCCAGUCGGGAGAUGGCAAGAAGGGUGGUCGGUUAUAUGUUGGCGACGGUGCCAUCCGUAAGAAGGACAUCCCAAAACUCUCUCACGUCCGUGCUACCACGUCGAGCUCAGGUCCUGCUAUAGAGCAUCGCCCACAGCCUGGGCUGCACAUGCUCCAUCAACUCGAGGUAUCUUUUGCUUCAUCGACCUUCCUUGUGAUUUCUUCUUUGUAUUGCAACGAUGGUGAACUUGUUGUGAUGGCAUAUUGUAGGCCAAUGCCAGGCUUCGAGAGGAGGAAGCCAUGAAAAUGCAGCAGGCCCUAUUUCAACAGCAAGAAUUCAUGGUUAAACAACAGGCAAUCCUGCAGGAGACAUUUGCUCAACUCAGAAAUAAUAUGCAGGGUUCCACUUUGCCCGUUCUUCCUCCUCUUCCGACUCUUCCUAAUUUCAACUUUGUAAGUCUCUGAACUUUUCAGUCAUGCAUCUUACCUUCAUGCUUGAAGAUCAUGAAUCUUACCAUCUCAUCCUCUUGUGCUUCAAGUUUUCUCAGUCGGGACAAGGCUCCAAUAACUGUGUGGUAGGUGGAUCUUCACCUGGACAAGCAAGUCCAGUGACACCCACUACGGUUCAUGUUGCUUCGACCUCCCCGCAACACUGAUCACUUGAGGUAGUCUUCCAUGUUUGUCCAUUGUUGAUGCUUGCGUCUUCUCGUUGCUUGUGCUUCUCAACUUAAAACUUGUGCAUUGUUGAUGGUAGAGUCCACAAAUGUCGAUGCUUAUAUUGUACAUACUUCCUAGCUUCUAUUUGAGCCUCAUAUGUUGAUGCUUGUUAACUCUUUUUCCUUAUCCAUCUUUUCAACUUAUGUUUAGAAACUCAUGCGUGUGAUAAUGGACUUAUAGGUUUGCAUUGUGGGCGUUGACGGUGGGCAUAUAUGCUGCGGUGGAGCUCAUUGGUUCAUGCUUGGUGUGAACUUGGAACUCAUGAUCCUUUAAUUUGUGAACCUCUCGUUGCAUAUGUAUGUAUGUUGUUGUGAACCUUCGUUGGAUAUGUAUGCACUGUGUGGACCUGAAACUUACGGUCCUUUCGUUUGUGAUCUUUUGUUGCAUACGUAUGCAUAUGUGGACUCUGCACUCAUGUACGGCUGGAUAUAUGUAUUACUUGAUAUAUGCUUGUUGGUCAUGGUCAUGUACUGCUGGAUACAUAUAUUUGUUGGAUAUAUGUGCUGCUGGAUAGAUGUAUUACUGUAUAUAUGUUGUUGCUGCUCCCUGAAGUGAUAUAUGUGCUGCUGGAUAGAUGUACUAGUGUAUAUAUGUUGUUGCUGCUCCCUGAAGCACCUGUAUAUAUGUUAUAUGGCCUAUAAGCCGUGUAGCCAGCACCUGGCACCCGGCUUAUAAGCCAUAUGGCUGCGGCCAACACAUAAGCCGUGUAUCCCAACACCUGGCACCCGGUUUAUAGACCAUCUGGACACAUGAGCAGGCUAUAUAAACCGUGUACCUCAGUUAACCGGCGCCCGGCUUAUAUAUGUAUAUAAAAACUGUGUUGUUGUCUGCGGAACUCGGCUUAUAUAGUAACCGUGCGGUUUGCGGUUGCACCCGGCUUAUAUAUAAACCGUGUGUUCGUGGUCGCACCCGGCUUAUAUAUAAACCGUGCGUCCGCGGUUGCACCCGCCUUAUAUAUAAACCGUACGUACUGAGGUGCACUCGGUUUAUGUUUAAACCGUGCCCUGACGACGGUACUCGACUUAUAUAGACGGUGACACGUGGCCGUUAACAUCAGGCUACCGUUAUGUUACUUUAUUAAACCGAGAGCCCUGUGAAAAUACUCGGUUUAUACAUAAGCCGGGCUUUUUCGGUCCGGCUCUCGGCUUAUAUGGUAUAAGCCGAUUGACUGUAAACCGAGUGCUAUAAGCCGGGAGUUUUACUCGGCUUAUAUAUAAACCGAGUUUAAAUCGAUAUAAGCCAAGUGUAUUAGGUACACGGCUUAUAAGUUUUUCCCUGUAGUGCAUGUCCGGUCCGAUUGCUCGUGUUAGCUUCUCCGACAUGCCACUUCUUGCUUCCCUUGACUUUUCCACAAACUCCCUGACUGGGUGGCUCCCGACUAGCCUCGCCGGCUGUGGUGAGCUCAAGUCGCUCAACCUUGCCAACAAUAUAUUGGUCGGCACCAUCCCGUCGUGGAUUGGUGAGUUUGACAACCUUUGGUACUUGAAUCUCUCAAAUAAUUCAUUUGUUGGCGAGGUACCCAAGAGUUUGUUACGGCUCACUGGCCUCGCCGCCACGGGUCGUUCAUUGGGUAUGGUUUUCACUAACAUGCCCUCUUUCGUAAAUUACGAAAGAAGAGCACUCGAUGAACAACCAAAUACCAUAACUGGGACCAACAACACAGUGAGAUCUGGGCGCAACAACACCAUGUCUGAAAACGACAACAUUGUCAUGUCCGGAGACAGCAACACUGUGUCCGGGAGCUUCAACACCCUUGUAUGUGGGGACAACAAUGUUCUAACUGGUGAUCACCAUGUCGUAUCUAGGAGCAACCAUAUUGUAACUAACAGCUACAAUAAAGUAUCUGGGUGCACCAAUAAUGUAUCCGGCAGCCACCAUACCGUAUCCGGUAGCAACAAUGCCGUAUCUGGGAGCAACAAUACGGUAUCUGGGAGCAAUCAUGUCGUAUCCGGGAGCAACAAAAUCGUAACUGACGAUUAAUGAUCUGUCAGUGGAUUGAUUCCAUCCUCGAGAACGAGAUCCCGGAGCACAUCAGAGACUCGUGAGAAGAAGUUCUUCACCCAGAACCGAAAACCUAGGUACAUGGACCCCCAUAUCUUGUUCCAAGCUGGGAGGGCACCAUAAAGACCUUUUGUAUCUUUUACUGUUUUUAGCAUAUUUAAAUUUCCGCAACUAUAUACAUCCGUAUAUAGUCCAUGCGGAAAUUUCUAAAAGGGCUUAUAUUUAGAAACGGAGGAAGUUGUAUGUAUUUCCGUGCUUGCAAUAUUAGUGUUAACUUCCAGCCUACAAUGAGAAUUAUAUCAAAUGAUGCACUCGUCGUUUUUUGAUGAAUGUCUUUGUUACAGCUUCUGGUUAUUGUUAUUAGAUGUGUGACUCCUGUUGAAUGAUCCCUUACUUGAUAGUUUCGAAUUGGCCGCUAUUCAACACCAUUAGUGCUAAUUGUCAACAACAGCUUAUUCUUUGCCGAUAGAUACAAAUUGUGAGGUGGGGAAGUGGGUACAGACCGAAGUUGGGUAGGAAGCUGUUGUUGCUAGGUUACGACGAGGCUGUGGCAGUGCAUUGUUCAUAUACAGAUGGGUUGGACGUUAGCAUGUACCCACUUGCAUGAGCUGCACUUGACCUGACUUGGACAGGUUUUGGGAGAGAUGGAUUGCAGCACCCGAGCUCCACUGCUCUCUAUAUUUAAACAUUUUAAAAUUUGUAUUUUUGAAAUUUCAAAAAAAAUGUGAAUUUUUCGCAGGGAUACAUAUACACAUUCCGAAUACAGAAAAAAAAAUUCAGCUUCCGAAUACAAUUUUUUUGCAGGGAUACAUAUACACAUUCCGAAUACAAAUUUUUCGCAAGUUCCUGUAGAAAUCUCGUUUUGUUUUGGGCUACAGAAAAAGAUAAUUUCUGACACUAUAUAGGAGAAAAGGUGUGCCAUUUUCUGUCAGAAAUUUAUCUUUUUUGUAUUUCCCAAAAUAAAAAGUAUUUCUUUUUCAGCUUUUUACCAGGCCUUAGGAAUGUGUGUAUCUAUUCACGUAUUUGAUAUAAGAUUCUUUAAGCAACGAAACUGUGUUUUUCAAAAAUUUCAAAUACCAGGAGCCCUGGAGCCCGGUAGUUGCAGGCACUUUUUGAGGCUUGGGAAGGUCUCUCUCUGUCUCUCUCUCUCUCACACGCACGCACGCACGCGCACGCACGCGCACACGCGCACACGCGCACACAUGUAGUCAUAGGUGUGGCGAUGCAUGGCUUUGACUGGCUGCAGUGAAUUGUUGGUUUUGUUUUGUCCUUUUUCUUCUUCCUCCUCCUUAUUUUCAUCCUCUUGUUCCACGUACAUGCAUGCUCCUCCUCCUCGUGCAUUAUCUCUUUGUCUGUGACAUGCAUCCAUGUAUGGAUUUUUUUUCUCCUACGGUAAAAUUUCUCCCAUGAGGGCAAUUCUCGUUGUUUUUAUUCCUUUCCUUCACUUGCAUGAGCCCCCUGCCGGAUAUACAUCAAUACAUGCAUGCAGCACUUGCAUUAGCAGCCCUACGCGUUUGAGACGUGCUCUGUAAGAAAGUAAGCUGUUUUUGGGCUAGCUACAGUCAUUUCACGCUGUUUUUGUCGGUAAGUAAUUUUCCAGCUUGAAAAAGGUAUUUGGUCUGAAAAACCUGGAAACUUGCAUGAAAUAAAAAUACAAACUUGCAUCGAAAACUACAGAUUGUACAAAAAUAGGCUGGAAUCAUCGUAAUAGUUGGAGUUGCAAGAACUCAUCUACAAUACGAAACUAUCAAUCAACCAUGCAUACAAAAAGCGCAGAUGGUUUUUUUUACCUUUGUUGAUAUUUCAUCGAACACCUAGUGUGCGAGGAGGAGAAAUCCGUCCGGCGAGCCAUCAGUGGCUUGCGGCUGUCGGGAGGGGGUGGACAACGGCUACUGGAAGUGCUCCCUCGACAUGCAUACGGCGGUUAUGCAUCCGGAACUCGGAGACGUAGCCGUUGUCGCCUAAAUUAAAUGCCGCCGACUCUCUGCUCGGCCGUGGCGGUGGGGCGACCGCUGUGGAGCUCCGGCGGCCGCUAGGCCAUAAUGUAGGGGCACAACUGACUGGCCAUGGCGACUACAAUGGUGAAUCGAUGUGGCGGCCACGACGCGGGCGCAGGCCAAAUCGGGGCGGGCGGAGGAGCUCCGUUGUGCAAGGCGAUCAGCGGUGCGUCUUUCUUUUGGCUUAUUUGUGCUGCGGCCAAGCGAGCUCGAUGUAUCGGGUAUUUGCUUUAUAAUAUAAAGUAGGGGACCCUUUAUCGUAUAAGCAGUGCGUCUGAUGUGCGGAGCAUGCGAAGCCACGAGACUCAGCGUACAUAUGUACGCUGUGACACCAAAAUGCAAUAACAAAUGAUACAAAGCCUCAUUAUUAACUGCAUAUUUUCUAAUCAUUCUAAUCUUCAAGCGCAUUGCAUCCAUCUUGAUCUUGUGAUCAUCGACGACAUCAGCAACAAACAACUCCAGUUUCAUCUUCUCUUCUUCAAUUCUUUUCAAUUUUUUUUCAAAUACUCAUUUUCUUUUUCAACUAAAUUUAACUUCUCAACAAGAGGGUCGGUUGCAAUUUCCGCUUCACAUACCUCCUAAAUAAAAAUAUCUAUGUCAACUUGAUGGGAAGAAUUGUCAUAAACAUGAAAUGCAACAAAUAGUUAUCAAAGAGAAUAUACCACAUCCAAAUCAUAAACCGGACAAGGGCUGACGGAUAUCAAAUCCAUGCCACUAUGUAUAAUAAACAAAGUACGUGUAAGAAAAUUAUACAAGUAACUAUCUAAAUCUCAUAGACAUGAUUUUUUUUAUAAAAAGGAUAAGAAUAAGAGGCUCACCAAGGUGGUGAUGACGACAGGACGGUACGGGCGAUGGACGGUGGUUAGGACGGGGACGGGAUGGCACUAAGUAAACCACACCUACAUAUGCAAAUUAAGAAGUUAAUUUGAGCUCAAAUUGCAUAUAAAUCAAAUAAACUACCACAUAUAAUUACUCCCAAACUAAAACCCAAAAAUCACUAUACUUAUAGAGCAUUGCAAGAGCUAAUCUAGAAAUGAGAGAUGAAAGAACAAAGUUGCUGACGGUGUCCUGGACUAGGGGUACUCAUCACAUCGUCUCGCGACCAGGUGGAUCUGGCCGAGGACCCCUGUUGGGGAUAUGAUUACUGAGUUAAACCGCCCAGGAAGGGGCCGGAUUAACUCACAAGGAGUCCUGUGCAAGAGCCCAUGAAGAUGAAGGCUAUGGCGCUUUAACCAUGAAGACAUAGAGGCCCAGAGCCCGAUGGCGGAUUAGGGCCCAUAAUGGUAAACCGCCAUAGAUGUGUAACUUGUGUUGUAAGUCAGGGAAAGGAGAAACCGAGUCGGACACUUGUAUGAGCCGAACUCGGGAUCUUGUAAACCGGCCGGGCGUCAACCUGUGUAUAUAAAGGGACGACCCGGCGGCGGUUCAGGGACAAGAAACAACAACUCGAAAGCCAGACAUAUCGUGUUUGCCCCCUGGUAAUCGAGACCACAUCAAAAACACCCCAACUGGAUCGUAGGCUUUUACCUUCACCGCAAGGGGCCGAACCAGGACAAACUCCCUGUGUCCUUUGUCCGGUUUAACCCUUCUAAGCUAACCCGUUGCGAUGGCUCCACGACUAAGUCCUUUCACUAGGACAUCUGACGUGAUAAUUCCACGACAGUUAGCGCCCACCGUGGGGCGAUCGCACGAUGGUUUCAAGUUCUUAGAGGGCAAGUUCGAAGGGCUCAAGGGAUACGCAGUGGUCCGGAUGACUAAGAGUCGUCGCGGCAAGCUCUACAUCAAUGACACAAGCUGGGGCCCCGACGCCGGCUCAGUCGAGUACGGAUACCGGGUCCCCUUCGGAGGAAUUCACGUCUUCAUCGGCAAGAUCGGCGAACCGGGCCCUGAGUCGGACAUCUGCACCGACCACGUCGAGAUGGCUCAGCGUGCGAGCCCUACCCGGGGUCAGCCCGCCAUGAAGCAUGCGUUCGUAGGAUGUAUCCAUAGGAUCGAAUCUGAACCGGUGUCCGAUGGUGAGACGGCCGUUUACUCCGAUGGUGAGUCAUCUACCGGUGAGACUGAGUCUUUGUAUCAAGUUCAGGAUGGCCUGUUUGGGGGGUAUUCCGAUGGCAGCAAUAUUCCGGACCCCUUUGAACCGCCAAACCGGGUUGCAAUCUUCAUGGCUGGCACGCAACUCGUCCGACAAUCUUCAACAGCAGCGGCGAUAAUCUCCGGAUCAACAGCUGGGGCAGGUGGCCCUGGGCGCCCGUCGGUUCAAGUCUUGUCUGGAUUAUUGGACGCUUUGGCAACAUUAUUGACUGCUGAAGUUAGUACGGAAAAUCGGGAGGAGCAUAAUACGGAAGUCAGAAAGUUGCGAGAGCAGAUAGCUCAGGCUAAUUAAGGAGGACAUGGCUGCUGAGGAGACCAGGAUGGUCGAGGAACGAAUCGCUUUAAAUGCUAAGGCACAGCGAGUUCAUGCAGAGGCUUACCGGCUUAUGUUGCAUCAGAACGCUUCAAACGAAGUGAUGAUGAGAAGGCACCAAUCUCGUCUGCCGUCGGUUUACGAAGGAAGAAAUCUUUUUAACACGCCAGGAGUGGGCACUAGCAACCCGCCCGUGGUGAACCCGAUUGAAGCACCAAGUACAGGAGCGCUAGAUCAGCUGGGCAUGAUGGGUCCGCCUCAGCAGAAUCAUGAUCCUCCGCAAUACGCACCAGCUCCACCGGGUCAUUUUGCCACCCCUUUGGACAACAUGAUUGCUGCAGCGUCAAGAUUGGCUGCUAUUCCAAUGGAAGGUGACUCCCUGAUACGUCUCCAACGUAUCUAUAAUUUUUGAUUGUUCCAUGCUAUAAUAUUACCUGUUUUGGAAGCUUAUGGGCUUUAUUCUACAUAUUUAUAUCAUUUUUGGGACUAACCUACUAACCGGAGGCCCAGCCGAUAUUGUUGUUUUUUUUGCCUAUUUCAGUAUUUUGAAGAAAAGAAAUAUCAAACGGAGUCCAAACGAAAUGAAACCUUCGGGAGUGUUAUUUUUGGAACAAAUCAGAUCCGGAGAGACUGGAGUGCAAGUCAAGAAAGCUCCGAGGGCCCCACGAGAUAGGAGGGCGCGACCCCCUAUAGGGCGUGCCACCUGUCUCGUGGGCCCCUCGGGCGUCCACUGAUGUACUUCUUCCUCCUAUAUAUACCUACGGACCCCGAAAACAUCCAGGGGCACCACGAAACACAAUUUCCACCACCGUAACCUUCUGUAUCCGCGAGAUCCCAUCUUGGAGCCUUCGCCGGCACUCUGCCGGAGGGGGAAUCAACAACGAAGGGCCUCUACACCAACAUCCUUGCCCCUCCUAGGAGUUGUGAGUAGUUUCCAUAGACCUACGGGUCCAUAGUUAUUAGCUAGAUGGCUUCUUCUCUCUUUUUGGAUCUCAAUACAAUGUUCUCCCCCUCUCUUGUGAAGAUCUAUUCGAUGUAAUCUCUUUUUGCGGUGUGUUUGUCAAGAUCCGAUGAAUUGUGAGUUUAUGAUCAGAUUCAUCUAUGGUUAUUAACUGAAUCUUCUCUGAAUUCUUUUAUGUAUGAUUGAGUUAUCUUUGUAAAUCUCCUCGAAUUAUCGGUUUGGUUUGGCCUACUAGAUUGAUCUUUCUUGCCAUGGGAGAAGUGCUUAGUUUUGGGUUCAAUCUUGCGGUGUUCUUACCCAGUGAUAGAAAGGGUUGCAAGACACGUAUUGUAUUGUUGCCAUCGAGGAUAACAAGAUGGGGUUUAUAUCAUAUUGCAUGAGUUUAUCCCUCUACAUCAUAUCAUCUUGCUUAAUGCGUUACUCCGUUCUUAUGAACUUAAUACUCUAGAUGCAUGCUGGAUAGCGGUCGAUGUGUGGAGUAAUAGUAGUAGAUGCAGGCAGGAGUCGAUCUACUUGUUUUGGAUGUGAUGCCUAUAUACAUGAUCAUGCCUAGAUAACGUCAUAAUUAUUCGCUUUUCUAUCAAUUGUUUGACAGUAAUUUGUUCACCCACCGUAAUACUUAUGCUCUCGAGAUAAGCCUCUAGUGAAACCUAUGGCCCCCGGGUCUAUCUCUUAUCAUAUUUGCUUUCAAUCUACUUUAAUUUUGCAUCUUUACUUUCUUGCAUUUAUAUUACAAAAUACCAAAAAUAUAUUUAUCUUAUCAUACUAUCUUUAUUAGAUCUCACUUCCGCAAGUGGCCGUGAAGGGAUUGACAACCCCUUUAUUGCGUUGGUUGCGAGUUCUCAGUUUGUUUGUGUAGGUGCGUGGGACUUUUGAGGAGCCUCCUACUGGAUUGAUACCUUGGUUCAUAAAACUGAGGGAAAUACUUACGCUACACUUGCUGCAUCACCCUCUCCUCUUCGGGGAAAACUAACGCUAGCUCAAGACGUAGCAAGAAGGAUUUCUGGCGCCGUUGCCGGGGAGGUCUUCGCUCAAGUCAAGACAUACCAAGUACCCAUCACAAACUCAUCUCCCUCGCAUUUACAUUAUUUGCCAUUUGCCUCUCGUUUUCCUCUCCCCCCACUUCACCCUUGCCGUUUUAUUCUCCCUCUCUUUCCCAAUCUCCUCCUCUCUUUUCCGUUUGCCGUUUUCUAUUUGCUUGUGUGUUGGAUUACUUGUUGCCAUGGCACAAGAUAAUACCAAGUUGUGUGAUUACUCGAAUACCAAUAAUAAUUAUUUCCUUAAUACUCCGAUUGCUCCUCUUAAUGAUGUUGAGUCUUGUGAAAUCAAUACUGCCUUGCUGAAUCUUGUUAUGAAAGAUCAAUUCGCCGGCCUUCCUAGUGAAGAUGCCGCUACUCAUCUAAAUAAUUUUAUUGAUUUGUGUGAUAUGCAAAAGAAGAAAGAUACGGAUAAAAAUAUUGUCAAAUUGAAGUUAUUUCUGUUUUCACUUAGAGAUCGUGCUAAAGUUUGGUUUUCGUCUUUGCCUAAAAAUAGUAUUGAUUCUUGGAACAAGUGCAAAGAUGCUUUUAUCUCUAAGUAUUUUCCUCCCACUAAGAUCAUCACUCUUAGGAAUGAUAUUAUGAAUUUUAAACAACUUGAUCAUGAGCAUGUUGCCCAAUUUUGGGAAAGAAUGAAAUUGAUGCUUCGCAAUUGCCCUACUCAUGAUUUGAAUUUAUGGAUGAUCAUACAAAAUUUUUAUGCCGGUUUGAACUUUGCUUCUAGAAAUCUCUUAGAUUCGGCCGCGGGGGGCAUGUUUAUGGAAAUUACGUUAGGAGAUGCUACAAAAUUGCUUGACAAUAUUAUGGCUAAUUAUUCUCAAUGGACACCGAAAGAUCUUCUAGUAAAAAAGUGCAUACUAUAGAAGAAAUCAAUGUUUUGAGUGGAAAGAUGGAUGAACUUAUGAAGAUGUUUGCUACUAAAAAUACUCCUCUUGAUCCCAAUGAUAUGCCUUUGUCUUCUUUGAUUGAGAAUAAUAAUGAAUCUAUGGAUGUGAAUUUUGUUGGUAGGAAUAAUUUUGGAAACAAUGCUUAUAGAGGAAAUUUUAAUGCUAGACCGUUCCCUAGUAAUACCUCUAAUAAUUAUGGAAAUUCCUACAAUAAUUCUUAUGGUAAUUUUAAUAAGAUGUCCUCUGAUUUUGAUAAUAGUGUGAAAGAAUUUAUGAUUUCUCAAAAGAAUUUUAAUGCUUUGCUUGAAGAAAAAUUGCUCAAAGUUGAUUUGGCUAGGAACGUUGAUAGACUUUCGCUUGAUGUUAAUUCUCUUAAACUUCGAUCUUCUUCUCCUAAGCAUGAUAUCAAUGAGUCUCUCAAAGUAAUGAGAAUUUCCAUUGACGAGUGCAAGGAAAGAACCGCUAGAUUGCGUGCUAAGAAAGAAAGCUUUAUAAAAGCAUGUUCUUCUAGUCUAGAUGAAAAUAAUGAUGAGGAUCUUAAAGUUAUUGAUGCGUCUCCUAUCAUAUCUGUGAUUAUGGGACUGAUGAUGAAUCAACUUUGCCUAGAAGGCGUCCCAAAAAUUCGGAGUCUUUAGAUCUUAAUUCUAAAUUUGGUAAAAGAGAGAUUGGAGAAUCCUCAACUUCUAAUAAUGUUGAACCUACUAUCUUGGAUUUCAAGGAAUUUGAUUAUGAUAAUUGCUCUUUAAAAGGUUGUAUUUCCUUGUUGCAAUCCGUUGUUAAUUCUCCUCAUGCUUAUAGUCAAAACAAAGCUUUUACCAAACAUAUUGUUGAUGCCUUGAUGCAAUCUUAUGAUGAAAAACAUAAUUUGGAAGUUUCUAUACCUAAAAACCUUAAUGAUGAGUGGGAACCUACUAUAAAGAUUAGAAUUAAAGAUUUUGAGUGUUUUGCUUUGUGUGAUUUGAGUGCUAGUGUUUCCACAAUUCCGAAAACUUUAUGUGAUAUUCUAGAUUUCCAUGAUCUUGAUGAUUGCUCGUUAAAUUUGCAUCUUGCGGAUUCCACCAUUAAAAAACCUAUGGGAAGGAUCAAUGAUGUUCUUAUUGUUGCAAAUAGAAAUUUGGUGCCCGUAGAUUUUAUCGUUCUUGAUAUAGAUUGCAAUCUUUCUUGCCCUAUUAUUCUUGGUAGACCUUUCCUUAGAACGAUUGGUGCGAUUAUUGGUAUGAAGGAAGGGAACAUUAGAUUCCAAUUUCCCUUAAAGAAAGGCAUGGAGCACUUUCCAAGAAAGAAAGUCAAAUUACCUUAUGAAUCUAUCAUGCGCGCUACUUAUGAAUCAAGUGCCAAAGAUGGCACUCGUUAGAUCUAUCCUUGCUUUUAUGCCUAGCUAGGGGCGUUAAACCAUAGCGCUAGUUGGGAGGCAACCCAAUUUUCUUUAUGUUCUUUGUUUUUGUUCCUGUUUAGUGUUAAAUUCUGUUUCUACUUUCUGUUUAGAUGUGUUUGUAUCUUUUGUUUAGUGUUUGUGCCAAGUAGAACCUAUAGGAUAAACUAUGAUGAUGGUUGAUUUGAUUCUGCCGAAAAAGAGAAACUUUGCGCUCACGAGAAAAAAUUCAAUAAAUCACAGAAAAGUGCUUUUGCAUUGAUUCUUUUUGCUGAUGAUCAAUAAACAAAUUGUACAGUAUGUCCUAUUUUGGUACGAUUUUUAGAUUUCUGAAGCAUUAGUUACAGAUUGCUACAGAUUGUUCUGUUUUUGACAGAUUCUGCUUUUCAUGUGUUGUUUGCUUAUUUCAAUGCAUCUAUGGCUAAUAAAUUAGUUUAUAAGCCAUAAGGAAGUUGGAGUACAGUAGGUUUAACAUCAAAAUAAAUAAAGAAUGAGUUCAUUACAGUACCUUAUGUGGUGGUUUUGUUUUCUUUUACUAACGGAGCUUAUAAGAUUUCCUGUGGUGUUUUGUGUUGUGAAGUUUUGAAGUUUUGGGUAAAGCUUUUAUGGACUAUGGAAUAAAGAGUGGAAAGAGCCUAAGCUUGGGGAUACUUAUGGCACCCCAAUAUAUUCAAGAAUAGCCAAAAGCCUAAGCUUGGGAUGCCCCAGGAAGGCAUCCCGUCUUUCGUCUUCGUUCAUUGGUAACUUUACUUGGAGCUAUAGUUUUAUUCGCUACAUGACAUGUGUUUUGCUUGGAGAGUCGUGUAUUAUAUUGGUCCUUGCUUGUUAGUUUACCACAAUCAUACUUGCUGUAACACACCUUUUUGGAUAAGCCUAUUUGUUUAGAACUAGAUGAUGCCCCGUGCGUUGCUGCGGGACAGGUGUAAAUACAUAUUCAUAGAAUUAGAGAUAAAAUAUAAAGAAACAUUUUCUAGGUGCCCCGCGGAUUGCCGCGGGUGCAAAAAGAAUCCCGUACAUAAGUCUCAUAUACAAAGGAAAUAUCACUGAGAAUCCACAUAAACAAAACUUACGAUAUGUGGCUCGGUGUUACAAUUUCUACUGAUCCCUAGCAUCCGUAUGAAAAAUCAGCUUGUCAAUGUGAAAGUUUUCUUUUACCUAUAAAAAAACUUUGGUUACAAACUUUGAAUCAAUACAAUUAACCACAAUAAUUAAUUUUGCCAAGGCAUGAACAGGGUAUAAAUCAAAAUCACACUGUAUAAUCUAGAAUGAUAUAUGUUGCUUUAUGUCCAAGCGAAAGAGAUAUCCACUGCUGAAAAGGCAUAUGAAAUUCAGAGACAUAUAUUAUCAAUCAAGCACUUGUGUGGGACGAAUGGAAAAAAGAAAAUCAAAAUUGCAUUAACAAUCUAAAAUGAUAUCCGAUACCUUAUGUCCAAGUAAAAGAGCAUCUUCACGAAGUCCAUAUGGGAGCACAUGGAGCUUAUAAGCCUAGACCAGAGAGUGUCGGACGUGUGUGGAGUGGAUGAGCAAAUGUUGCAGAUUACAGAGUAGGGACUGGGAAGUGACCGGAAAGGCAAAAUCUGAACGACCUACCACAUAGAGCUGAUGCGCUAGCCCCAACCGUGGAGUACCAUUGGAAGCCAAGUUUGCUGAUUGAGUCGGAUUCCUCGUCACCGACGGCAACCGCAGGGGCAUAGCAAAGACGUUCCGAAGCCUCAGCGGUUGUGCCCUUCUUCGACGAUCCGGGAUUCUGGGUAUCCCGCAACGGAACAACAGUCCAUCUUGUGUUCCCACAAUCAAAGAGACACCGGAGGCGAGGCAGGCGAGGCGAGGAAAACCGGCUGGCGUGCGGCAGGAGAUUUGAAGCAGAGCAAAUGGGGUGCACAACGACAUGUCUUCCAUGACGACGUGGGUGCUCGGCAACGGAAUCGCGUCGCGACCCACUCUCAUAGUGGCAUCAGGACAAAGGAAGAGCAUCAAUGGUGCGAGAAGAUGGUAGUAGAGACAGGUUGAUAGACGCGAAGGCCGUGGCCGUGCCGUUUAAUCUAGCCUCUUCUUUGGGUAACGGAGGGCGAAGUAAUGAGGCGCGAUCAAUGUUUCGGUUUCAUGUGCAUUUGCGCCAGGGAGAGAUUCGGCCACGAGCCCGCGACAACAGAAGAGAUAACGGCGACGAUGAUUCAUAGCGGAGAAGUUUUAUUUUUUGAGCAAAUCAUAGCGGAGAAGAUGACCUAGUGCCGUGGUUGACCCCCAUGGGCUAUACAGCCCACAUGCAUAACAUACUAACAUUGAAUCGGGCCCUGUGUUUUGAUUUUCGGCCGAAAAAAGUGGACUUCGGCCGAAUUUCGGCCAUCUCGGCCUGGGGCGAAAAGUAUAUUAGGCCAAAAUUGCUCAAAUUUGGCAAAUUUUGGUUAAAUUUAAGUCAAAUUGUAGUCAAAAUUUGGUCAAAUUUCAGCCAAAAUUUUAGAAAAUGGCCGAAAUUCGGCCAUCUCGGCCUAGGGCGAAAAAAAGCUCAAACCGAAAAUCAAAACACAGAUCGGGCCCCAUGUGCGCAAACACAACCCACAUGCAGCUCGGGCAACCCACAGUUAGUACGUGGGUUUGUAAAGCCCAAGCGAUGGAAGUCGGGGAAGGCAGCCAGAGUUAGCGCACGACAGCUGAUUGCGUUCAAGCUUGAUCGAAUGGCUAAUAAUAAUUCAGGUGACGUGGCUGCACGAGAAUCCAAGAAAAUCAGGUAGUGGGGUGCUUCUAUUUAGAUAUAGAAGAUUUGCAAGAAUACUCUAUGUGCUUCACUUAUAUCUUUUGAGCUUAAUAGUUUUUGCUCUAGUGCUUCACUUAUAUCUUUUAGAGCAUGGUGGUGGAUUAAUUUUAUAGAAAUUGCUAGUCUCUCAUGCUUCACUUAUAUUAUUUUGAGAGUCUCUUAGAAUAGCAUGAUAUUUUCUAUGGUUUUAAUUUGGUCCUAAAAUGAUGAGCAUCCAAGUUGGGUAUAAUAAAAACUAUCAUAGAAAGUGAAUUGGAUGUUAUGAUCAAUUUGAUGCUUAAUAAUUGUUUUGAGAUAUGGAGGUAGUAAUAUUAAAGUCAUGCUAGUUGGGUGAUUAUGGAUUUAGAGAAUGCUUGUGUUGAAGUUUGUGAUUUCCGUAGCAUGCACGUAUGGUGAACCGCUUUGUGAUGAAGUUGGAGCACAAUUUUAUUGAUUGUCUUCCUUAUGAGUGGCAGUCGGGGAUGAGCGAUGGUCUUUUCCUACCAAUCUAUCCCCCUAGAAGCAUGCAUGUAGUGCUUUGAUGUUUGAUGACUUCUAAAUUUUUACAACAAGUAUAUGAGUUCUUUUGAUUAAUGUUGAGUCCAUGGAUUAUACACACUCACUACUAGGGAAAAGCCUAUACACAGAAUCUUAUCAGAAGCACGCUUUAAAAUAAGGCGCUGCUGCUAAUUAGCAGUAGCAUGCUCAGGAAUAACUCGCUGCUGAAACCAAUAUAGCAGUAGCACGCCCGCUCAAAGACGCGCUACUGCUAUAAUUCCCACGAGGCCGCCACGAGGCUAGUUAUAGCAGCAACGCGUUAUAACGACAGGCGCUACUGCUACGUAGCAUAGUAGCAGCGCAUUUCUGCAAUAAGCACUACUGCUAAAUUUACUACAAAAAUUUAGCCCCGUCUCCUCUAUCCGAUCCACUCACACAGUCACACACUAGCUCACUGGAUCCCCUCUCAAUCCCCCGCGCCGGUCCACCCCCGUCGCCCCUUCUCCGUCUGCGCCGCCGUCACCUCCUCCUCCUUGCUGGACUCGGUACCGGCCUCCUCCUCCGUCCUCCCUCUCCACUCGCCGCUGGCCGGCCCCUCCUCGCUCCGCCUUCCUCCUUCGUCCUCCCUCCACUGGCCGCGCCGGCCGGCCCCUCCUCGCUCCGCCUUCCUCCUCCAUCCUACUCUCUUCUCCCUCUUCGAGUCGCCCCUCCUUCUCCCUCCUGCCUGCUACAUUUUGAUUUAGUAGCUAGGCUAGUUCAUAUGCAACAUUUUGAUUUAGUUGAUAUGAUUUAGUUGAUUUAGUAGGCUAGUUGAUUUAGUUGACUUAGAACAUUUUGAUUUAGUUGAUUUAAUAGGCUAGUUCAUUUAGUUGAUUUGGUUGACUUAGAACAUUUUGAUUUAGUUGAUUUAGUAGGCUAGUUCAUUUAAUUAGUUGAUUUAGAACAUUUUGAUUUAGUUGAUUUAGUAGGCUAGUUGAUUUAGUUGAUUUAGAACAUUUUGAUUUAGUUGAUUUAGUAGGCUAGUUGAUUUAGUUGACUUAGAACAUUUUGAUUUAGUUGAUCGUUAAUCCUUUGCUCAUAUUGCUUUAGGAAAAAUGGCGCCACCACCACCACCACUAUGUCGACUGUGCAAGUCAAGAUGCGCCAACAGCCUUGCAACUGAUCAACGUCUCCUUCCGAGCAGAAAGACCCAAGCUAGCUGUCAUUUAUCUCAACCUGGUGGAAGAUGAUGAAGAUGGCGGAGAUGAUGAAGAUGAUGAAGAUAAUGAGGACCCACUCGAUGAAGAUGAUGAGGACCCACUUCAUGAAGCCAUCAUAGCUCAAAGAACAAGGCUGAGUGAGGAGGAGGUGUCCAACCUAUGGGACAUAAUUCCGCCACGUGCUGACUUUGUCGGGGUGCCAUUCGUGACUCGCUUGACAAAUACCAUGGUUGAUCGACAUGAUAUGGUAUGUUAUACUUACAAAUGCAAAUUAUCCAAUGAAUUACUUAGUGUACAGUCCAAUGAUAUGGUAUGAUGUGUGGAAUCUAGUCGAUGAUAUGUUUUAGUGUAGAGUUCGAUCACCUGCUUAUUAGUGUAGAAUCUAACGAAACUAUUAAUAGUGUAGAUAAUCCAUAUGUACUUAUUUGCGAGGCAAUUUAUUAAUUGAUAUGUUUUUCUUAUUCAGAAAUUGGCAAAGAGCAUAUCUGUGAGUUAUGGUAUCGAGCCUGAUGAAGAAGGCUCGGCUGGACUACGCCUUACUGCAAGGGGCUCCGUCACAACCUGUACUGACCGCGUGGAUACGGACGGUCGCACACACUUAAACUCGGUUGGGUGGAAGAAAUUCCUCGAUGGCAAGAAUCUUCGUGUUGGACAGGCCAUCCUAAUUACUAUCAGGAACACCAACCGCCCAGGCUUAAGGAUGAUGAUUGUCUUCGAUAUCAUGUAGAACUACAUAUGUGUGUGUGUGGCUAUAUCAUCUAGAACUAUAUAUGUGUGUGUGGCUAUAUCAUCUAGAACUACAUAUGAUGAUCGUCGUCGAUAUCAUGUAGAACUACAUAUGAUGAUGGCCGUUGAUAUGACCUUGUACUGCUUGAGGAUGCAUGUUGACUAUGCAUGAAAUUGUUAUCUAGUACUCCCUUCGUUCCAAAUUACUCGUCGUGGUUUGAACUAAAACUACGACGAGUAAUUUGGAACGAAGGGAGUACUAUCUAGUAAUGGUUUAUGAAUUUGAUAUCUACUAGCAGUACCUAGUAUCUAGUAUCUGAAAGGGAAACUGAAAGGGAAAGGGGUAAUGGGAAAAUGAUGAAAGAUAUAGCAGUAGCGAGGGAUGGCGAAAUCGCUACAGCUAGGUAAUAGUAGCGCAUUCUUAAAAAGCGUUGCUGAUAUCGUAAACAGUAGUAGCGCGGGUAAGGGCCGCGCUACUACUAUAAGUUAGCUGUAGCGCCUUAUUAGUAGCGCGUCCACCCGCGCUGCUGCUAGCCUCAAAACCCGUGCUACUACUAGGGUUUUCCCUGGUAGUGACUCCUUUCACCAUCCAUUAUUGCUAGCCUCUCUUGUAUCGUGCAACUUUCGCCGGUACCAUACACCCACCAUAUACCUUCCUCAAAACAGCCACCAUACCUACCUAUUAUGGCAUUUCCAUAGCCAUUCCGAAAUAUAUUGCCAUGCAACUUUCCACCGUUCCGUUCAUAUGACACACAUUACUUUUGUCAUAUUGCUCUUUGCAUGAUCAUGUAGUUGACAUCGUAUUUGUGGCAAAGCCACCAUCAUAUUUUUCAUACAUGUCGCUCUUGAUUCAUUGCAUAUCCCGGUAUACCGCGGGAGGCAUUCACAUAGAGUCAUAUCUUGUUCUAGCUUUGAAUUGUAAAUCCAUAAAAGUGUGAUGAUCUUCAUUAUUAGAGCAUUGUCCCGGUGAGGAAAGGAUAAUGAAGACUAUGAUUCCCCCACAAGUCGGGAUGAGACUUCGGACUUUACAAAAAAAAGAAAGGCCAAAAAAAGGCCAAAGAAAAAAAUGAAAGAAAAAAAAGAAUGAGAGAAAAAGAGAGAAAGGACAAUGCUACUAUCUCUUUUUCCACACUUGUGCUUCAAAAUAGCACCAUGAUCUUCAUGAUAGAGAUUCUCAUAUGUUGUCACUUUCAUUUACUAGUGGGAAUUUUUCAUUAUAGAACUUGGCUUGUAUAUUCUAAUGAUGGGCUUCCUCAAAAUGCACUAGGUCUUCGUGAGCGAGCAAGUUGGAUGCACACCCACUGGUUUUCUUUUGUUGAGCUUUCAUAUAUUUAUAGCUCUAGUGCAUCCGUUGCAUGGCAAUCCCUACUCACUCACAUUGAUAUCUAUUAAUGGUCAUCUCCAUAGCCCGUUGAUAUGCCUAGUUGAUGUGAGACUAUCUUCUCCUUUUUUGUCUUCUCCACAACCACCGUUCUAUUCCACAUAUAGUGUUAUGUCCAUGGCUCACGCUCAUGUAUUGCGUGAAAGUUGAAAAAGUUUGAGAUUAUUAAAGUAUGAAACAAUUGUUUGGCUCGUCAUCGGGGUUGUGCAUGAUUAAAUACUUUGUGUGAUGAAGAUAGAGCAUAGCCAGACUAUAUGAUUUUGUAAGGAUAACUUUCUUUUGGCCAUACUAUUUUGAGAAGACAUGAUUACUUGCUUGGUAUGUUUGAAGUAUUACUAUUUCUUAUGUCAAUAUGAACUUUUAUUUUGUAUUAUUUCGAUCUGAAAAUUCAUGCCACAAUGAAAGAAAAUUACAUUAUGAAUUAUGCUAGGUAGCAUUCCACAUCAAAAAUUCUCUUUUUAUCAUUUACCUACUCGAGGACGAGCAGGAAUUAAGCUUGGAGAUGCUUGAUACGUCUCCAACGUAUCUAUAAUUUUGAUUGUUCCAUGCUAUUAUAUUACCUGUUUUGGAUGCUUAUGGGCUUUAUUCUACAUAUUUAUAUCAUUUUUGGGACUAACCUACCAAUCGGAGGCCCAGCCCAUAUUGUUGUUUUUUUGCCUAUUUCAAUAUUUCGAAUAAAAGGAAUAUGAAACGGAGUCCAAAUGGAGUGAAACCUUCGGGAGCGUUAUUUCUGGAACAAAUCUGAUCCGGAGAGCCUGGAGUGCAAGUCAAGAAAGCUCCGAGGGCCCCACGAGAUAGGAGGGCGCGCCCCUUGUCUCGUGGGCCCCUCGGGCGUCCACGGACGUACUUCUUCCUCCUAUAUAUACCUAUGGACCCCGAAAACAUCCAGAGGCACCACGAAACACAAUUUCCACCACCGCAAACUUCUGUAUCCGCGAGAUCCCAUCUUGGAGCCUUCGCCGGCACUCUGCUGGAGGGGGAAUCGACUAUGGAGGGCCUCUACAUCAACAUCCUUGCCCCUCCUAUGAGUUGUGAGUAGUUUACCACAGACCUACGGGUCCAUAUUUAUUAGCUAGAUGGAUUCUUCUCUCUUUUUCGAUCUCAAUAUAAUGUUCUUCCCCUCUCUUGUGGAGAUCUAUUCGAUGUAAUCUCUUUUUGCGGUGUGUUUGUCAAGAUCCGAUGAAUUGUGAGUUUAUGAUCAGAUUCAUCUAUGGUUAUUAAUUGAAUCUUCUCUGAAUUCUUUUAUGUAUGAUUGAGUUAUCUUUGCAAGUCUCUUCAAAUUAUCGAUUUGGUUUGGCCUACUAGAUUUAUCUUUCUUGCCAUGGGAGAAGUGCUUAGCUUUGGGUUCAAUCUUGCGGUGUUCUUACCCAGUGACAGAAAGGGUUGCAAGACACGUAUUUUAUUGUUGCCAUCGAGGAUAGCAAGAUGGGGUUUAUAUCAUAUUGCAUGAGUUUAUCCCUCUACAUCAUAUAAUCUUGCUUAAUGCCUUACUCCGUUCUUACGAACUUAAUACUCUAGAUGCAUGCUGGAUAGCGGUCGAUGUGUGGAGUAAUAGUAGUAGAUGCAGGCAGGAGUCGAUCUACUUGUUUUGGAUGUGAUGCCUAUAUACAUGAUCAUGCCUAGAUAACGUCAUAAUUAUUCGCUUUUCUAUCAAUUGCUUGACAGUAAUUUGUUCACCCACCGUAAUACUUAUGCUCUCGAGAGAAGCCUCUAGUGAAACCUAUGGCCCCCGGGUCUAUCUCUUAUCAUAUUUGCUUUCAAUCUACUUUUAUUUUGCAUCUUUACUUUCUUGCAUCUAUAUUACAAAAUACCAAAAAUAUAUUUAUCUUAUCAUACUAUCUUUAUUAGAUCUCACUUUCGCAAGUGGCCGUGAAGGGAUUGACAACCCCUUUAUUGCGUUGGUUGUGAGUUCUCAAUUUGUUUCUGUAGGUGCGUGGGACUUUUGAGGAGCCUCCUACUGGAUUGAUACCUUGGUUCUCAAAAACUGAGAGAAAUACUUACGCUACACUUGCUGCAUCACCUUCUCCUCUUCGGGGAAAACCAACGCUAGCUCAAGACGUAGCACUCCCCCAUAGCGGUUGAGACAUGUCGGGCUAGGGAUUUACUCCAGACAGCAAUGGUUCAGCAACAGGCUUAUUCGUACAGUCGGGACAUGAUACACACUAACCCUCGUCCAAGUCGGAGUUACAGCCGGCGUGUUGAAGAGCCAGCUGUGUCAAGCAGUGGACGGAAUCAUCAUCCGCCACGGAGGCCUAACCUGGCAGGGGGAAGGAAGCGCAGGAUUUAGUGGACCAAGGACGAGCGCGCCGCGGCACCGGGUUGAAUGCACAGGACAUGGAGCGCCAGCUUACGCCGGUUCGUCCGACCACUACAGUAGAGCCAGCGGUUGCCUUUACCACUUUGGGGGUGUCGUGUCUCACACCGGCCCUGCACAAUGCGCGGUUACCCAAGGACUUCAAGGGCCCUCGGAAAGUACCCAAUUACACUUCUGAUUUACAUCUUGAGUCAUGUGUAGAAAGCUAUGAGAUGGCCAUGGAGAUGCUGGAUGUGGAUGGAGCGGUGUGUGCUAAGUACUUCACUAUGAUGCUAGAAGGAACAACUCGCACUUGGCUAAAGAGUUUACCACCCAAUUCAAUUGGGUCAUGGGAGGAGUUGAAGAGACGGUUUAUCAACAACUUCAAAGAUACUUGCAAGCAACCAAUGUCAAUUGUUGAUCUGGCUGCUUGUGUUCAAGCAGAGGGUGAAUCGACUACCCAUUGGGUACGCCGGGUUUCUGAGAUCUUACAUUCAUCUGAUCGGAUUAAUGCAGAUUCAGCAAUUAUAGUGCUAGAAGGCAAUUCCAAGUUCAAACCUUUGAAGUUCAAGUUGGGGCGGAUGAAGCGUCACUGCAAUGAUAUGGGAACACUCAUGGGGGCUUUGGUUAAAUAUGAUAACUCUGAUAAUACCAAGGAUCCCGAGUAUGACGAGGAAAAGCCGAGGAAGGGAAAGAAGAGCCGCAACACCAAAGGACAGCAACCCAACUCGGCGGGCAACGGUAACAACGGUAAACGAAAAGCAGAUAAUUCAGAUUUUGUGGCUAACACCAAUGUGCAGGGUAAUAAUCAAUGUCUUAAGGGUAAAUCGCCCCAGCGCGGCGGCGGUAUGAAUCUGGAACGUAUGUUGAAUCAGCCUUGCCCGAAGCACGGGACAAAGGAGGUUCUAGCCACGCACCUCUGGAAGGACUAUUUCAUUAUGCGAGAGUUCAAAAUUCUGACCUUUUCCGGUGUGAUCAGGGUCCAUCUGGCGGUUCAGGUCCUGGAUCUCAUGGGCCGGGUUACGGUGGUAGCGUUCAAACUCCGAAUUCCAGGGAAUCAAGGCAAUCAGGGCAAUCAGAAUAGCAGGGUGGUUAUAAUCAGUAGAAUAAUCAGGGAAAUCAGCAGCAGUCGGGUUAUCUGAGUCACCCGAAGCAAUUGAAUAGUGGGCAGUAUCAUGUUUUCACCUCUAGUUUGUGCAAGCGUGAUCAGAAGCUUCACAAGAGAGUAGUAAACAUUGUUGAACCGGCAGUAGCAUGUUACUUACGUUGGUCCGAAUAACCCAUUGUAUGGAGCAGAGAGGAUCAUCCACCCCGGUUGACAAUCCGGGUCAUUUGGCUUUGGUGGUGGCGCCUCAGGUUGGAGGAUAUAAGUUCACCAAGGUGCUGAUGGAUGGAGGGAGCAGUAUCAAUAUUUUAUAUUAUGAAACCUUCUGGCGCAUGGGAUUGACGGAUAAAAAUCUUAAACCGUCGAACACUAUUUUCCACGGAGUGGUACCAGGUAAAUCGGCAUACCCAGUUGGUAAGAUAAAUCUGGAGGUGGUAUUUGGAGAUGAUCAUGAUUCUAGAUCAGAAACCUUAACCUUUGAGGUAGUAAAGAUCCAGAGCCCAUAUCAUGCCCUGUUUGGAUGACCAACUUAUGCAAGGUUCAUGGCAAGGACCUGUUAUUUUAUCUACAGCUCAAGAUGUUGGGUCAUAAGGGGACCAUCACAAUACAUGGGAGACGUAAGAACGCUUUGGAUUGUGAAGAGGGUGAUGCGGCUUAUGCUGGGUCGGUUUGUGCGGCAGAAGAGUUAAAGUUCUACAAGGACAAUGUUGAUCUGGCAGAUAUGACUCCUCUGAAGAAGCCCACCACAGAGCAUGACCCAACCCUGAAGUUUAAACCGGAUGAUGAGACUAAAUUGUUGACUUUGUUACUGGUGAUUCAUCUAAACAGUUUAGUAUCAACACUAAUUUGGAUCUGAAAUAGGAAAGCGCGCUCAUCAAGUUCAUCCGCGAGAACCGGGACAUCUUUGCGUGGAAGCCUUCCGACAUGACAGGUGUACCGAGAGAACUCGCUGAGCACAAUCUCAAUAUUGAUCCCAAGUUUAAACCGAUCAAACAGUUUCUUCAUCGCUUCAACGAAGAAAGGCGCAAGGCCAUUGGCGAAGAGGUAGCCUGGUUGUUCGCUGCUGGUUUUAUCGUUGAGGUUUUUCAUCCUGAGUGGCUGGCCAAUCCGGUACUAGUGCUUAAGAAGAAUGGCACUUGGAGCAUGUGUGUGGAUUACACGGACUUGAAUAAAGCUUGUCCGGCCGAUCCUUUUGCCCUCCCUCGUAUUGAUCAGAUCAUUGAUGCUACGGCGGGUUGUGAGCGUUUGAGUUUCUUGGAUGCUUAUUCUGGUUAUCAUUAGAUCAAGAUGGCAGUUAAGGACCAGGAGAAAACAACUUUUAUCACUCCCUUUGGAGCCUUCUUUUAUGUAUCUAUGCCCUUUGGGAUCAAGAGUGCCCAGGCAACUUAUCAGCAUUGUGUGCAGAAUUGUCUUCAUACACAGAUUGGGCGCAAUGUUCAUGCUUAUGUGGACGAUAUUGUGGUAAAAUUCAGAAAAAAGGAGACAUUGAUUGACGACUUGAAGGAGACCUUUCACAAUCUUCGGGUUUACAAGAUGAUGCUCAAUCCGGCCAAAUGCGUUUUCGGUGUUCCGGCAGGCAAGCUCCUAGGUUUCUUGGUGUCUAACAGGGGCAUUGAGGCUAAUCCAGAAAAAAUCAAGGCUAUUACGUCUUUGGCUAAACCGGCAUGUAUCAAUGAUGUUCAACGUCUAGCAGGUCGGAUUGCAGCUCUGAGCCGGUUUAUCAGCCGUUUGGGAGAGAAGGCGAUCCCUCUAUAUCAGAUGUUGAGAAAGAAAGACACUUUUGUCUGGAGUAACGCUACUGAUGCGGCAUUUGAGGAUUUGAAGAGGCAGUUGGUUGAGCCGCCGGUCCUUGCCGCUCCGGUCGACAAUGAACCACUGUUAUUGUAUGUGGCUGCUAAUGUCCAGGCUAUCAGCGUGGCUAUUGUGGUCGAGCGCAAGGAGGCGGGGAUGGAAUAUCCGGUUCAAAGGCCUGUUUACUAUAUCAGCGAAGUGCUCAUCGAGUCAAAGCAAAGAUAUCCGCAUUGGCAGAAGCUGGUGUAUGGGGUUUUUAUGGCAAGCCGGAAGCUUAAGCAGUACUUUCAGGGCCAUCCCAUCAGAGUGGUCAGUUCUGCUCCUUUGGGCGAUAUAAUUCAGAACAGGGAGGCAACUGGCCGGGUUGCAAAGUGGGCUAUUGAGCUUGGACCGCACGGGCUGAAGUACAUGCCUCGGACAGCUAUCAAGUCUCAAGCACUUGUCGAUUUCAUCAAUGAUUGGACAGAGUUGCAGGCACCGAAAGACAAACUGGAUAACACAUACUAGACUAUCCACUUCGAUGGGUCCAGGCAAUUGGAGGGCUCGGGGGAUGGAGUUGUCCUUACUUCCCCUCAAGGUGAUAAAAUUCAUUAUGUUCUCCGCUUAAUGUUUCCUUGUACUAACAAUGCAGCUGAGUAUGAAGCCUUGCUCCACGGUCUUCACGUGGCUAAGGAAAUGAACUUAAGACGGGUACGAUGCUUUGGAGACUUUGAUCUGGUGGCUCAGCAAGUUUCUGGUACUUGGGACUCUAAGGAUCCGCUCAUGGCGGCUUACAGACAAGAGGUGGAUAUUGUGGCUGGUCACUUCAAGGGUUAUCAGGUUGAGCACAUUGACCGACGCAAAAAUGAAGCAGCAUAUGCUUUAAGCCGGCUGAGGUCUCACCGCAAACCGGUGCCACCCAAUACCUUUCUGGAUAUCCUGCAUAACCCGUCAGUUAAGUUGCCUACAGAGGAGGAUUUGGCUAUUCCUGAUCCGGAGGCACAGUUGGUGGUCGCUUUACAUGUUAUUCCGGAUUGGACGGUUCCAUAUUUGGCGCAUAUGAACCGGGGCGAGUUACCAGAAGAUGAAGUUUUGGCCAGACAGAUAGUUCAGCGAUCUAAGUCCAUGGUUAUUCACAAUGGCGAGUUACAUCACUUCAGUGUCUCAGGUGUGUUCCAGCACUGUGUUUCUCCUGAAGAGGGCCAAGAAAUUUUGCGUGAGAUCCACGAAGGAGAUUGUGGUCACCACGCUGGUUCAAAGUCCUUGGUUGCUGAAGCCUUUCGGCAUGGCUUCUACUAGCUGACGGCUCAUGCUGAUGCUCAGGAUUUGGUGAAACAGUGCGACGCUUGUCAGAAAUUCUCACGCAGCGCUCAUGUUCCGGCUCAAGAGCUAAGGAUGAUUCCAAUCACUUGGCCGUUUGCUACUUGGGGGCUUGAUAUGGUAGGACCUUUUAAGCGAUCCAAAGAUAAAAAGACCCACCUGUUGGUGGCGGUUGACAAAUUCACUAAAUGGGUUGAAGCGGAGCCAGUAAGCAAGUGUGAUGCAGGCACGGUGGUUCAAUUCAUAAAGAAGGUGAUCUUCCGCUUUGGCUUUCCACACAACAUCAUCACAGAUAAUGGCACGAACAUUUCCAAAGGUGAAAUGGAGGACUUCUGUCAAAGAGAGCACAUCCAGCUUGAUGUGUCAUCAGUGGCCCACCCUCAGUCUAAUGGUCAACCUGAGAGAGCUAAUCAGGAAAUCUUGAAGGGUAUCAAGCCCCGGCUUAUGGUUCCUUUGAAGAGGACGGCGGGUUGUUGGGUUGAAGAAUUGCCUUCUGUGUUAUGGAGCAUAAACACCACCCCAACCGGUCUACGGGUUAUACACCUUUCUUCAUUGUUUACGGGGUAGAGGCGGUCCUCCCAAGUGAUAUUCGUCAUGACUCGCCCCGGGUUGCCAAUUAUCUUGAAGAGGACAACGAGCAGGCACGUCAAGAAGCAUUGGACCUGUUAGAUGAAAAACGGGACAUGGCAUUGGCUCGCUCGGCGGUUUAUCAGCAAGACCUGUGGCGUUAUCACAGCCGCCGUGUUAAAACAAGAACCUUUCAAGAAGGCGACUUAAUGCUUCGGCUCAUCCAGGAUCACACCAAUAUGCACAAGCUAUCCCCACCUUGGGAAGGACCCUUUGUGGUCAGCAAGAAUCUUCAUAAUGGGUCAUACUACCUCAUUGAUGUUCGAGAGCACGCAGACUCACGCAAAGCUGAGGAGGAGACCUGGCGGCCGUGGAACAUAGCUCUCCUUUGGCCUUACUACACUUGAGCCAUAGGCUCCUCUUAUAUACAUAUUUUGACAAUGUAUAUAUUAUGAUCAAUAUAAUAAAUCGACAUCCUUGCUAUAAGCAGGGCCUCUGCUGUUUUUCCAAUAUCUCUUGAUGACAUGGGGGCUUCAGCUGACAAAGUGGAGUUCUAUCUGUCAAUCCGGCUAUCACGCCCUAACAUAGCUUUGGAGCUUCACACCCAAGGGGCCAAAGAGAGUCUUGUUGCUAUGCAUAGCUCAAACAUAGGCACCCAUAGAGCACAACUCACAAAGUUACUUGGGGGCUCUUUAUGCAAUGCAGCAAAGAGUUUGAAAGGACCCUUGUAAUAUGCUAUCAAGCACGGCUUGGAAGCCUGGUGUAUUCACCUAAAACCCCGGGUUAACAUGCCUUAUCAAGUAAGCCACUCCUAUCCAGGUAAUCCUGGCACGACCCGCCGAACGUUUGACAAGUCAAUCUUAUACAGACCCUGAACUUGUCAAAGUUAAAACGACGAUUGGUUAGUUGGAGGCCCAUCUUGAAAGGCUUUGCAAAAUGGUUUAACUCAGUGACCUGGCAGCCCAUGAAAAGCCUCGAAUUUGGGCCCGGCAGCCCUUGAAAAGCCUCGACUACACGGUUUGUUUGCCUUUAUCAAGAUUUUUCUCUUUUGAUAAAGUGUUGUGUUGAACCGGCGUCUAUUGACCCGGCAUGACUAUUAGUCAUUAAAUUAACCCGGUGUUUGUUAACCCGGUUUGGUUUUCAACUACAAGUUGACAGACCACAUCCAAUUGUAAACCAGAGUUUAUUAACCUGGUCUGGCAUUGACUAUACGUCACCAGGUUGAUCAUCCGGUGUUUAUCAUAACCCGGCAUGGUUUCUUAUGCACCAGUACAGCAUGGUGUGAGUUGUUAAACGCAAGUCUUGGGUUAUCACCCUUAUUACAAUCAAGUUGGUAAACCAACUAUGUGAUUCAAACAUCACAUGUAUGAUUUAAUUCAUAUUUUCAUAUUCCUAUAGCAUUGGUUAUAAACCAAGCUUUAUAUUGGAUAUUAUUAUUCGUCCGGCGGUAAACCACCAGGACAAUAUUUCCAUUCUAUCUUGUGCAGGAAUAAGAUUGCAUAAAAAUACUAAGGCAUAUAAGCAAGUACAACAAUAAUCCUGAUGGAUCAAAUAGUAUCAUGCAACACUACACGAUGGCGGUGGAUCAAAGUAUUUCAACUAGCCUAUUACAAGGCACUCGGAUGCCCAAGAGAAUAAAGUAUUUAUUUCACAGAAUUCAAUCUAUGGAAAUUAAACCGGCCGAUGGUCUACGAUUCAUCACCAGGUUAACGUGAAGUUGACAGAUCAUCUAGCGCCGGUUCACCCUCCUCCUCCCCAUCCACUGGCUGGAAGUCAAUGUUUGCCCAGUCAAUUCCAGACAAAGCUCGGAAGACGGCUUCAUCACUUAUAAGAUCUGACGGUUCAAUGUCAGGGGCAUAAGUAUGCUUACGGAUUGGUGGGAUAAGAUUCUGCACUUCAUUCACAGAUGCAUCAAUCCGUUUGUUAUCUGCAUCAUAGUUGGACCGAUGGACAGACAAGUCAGUUACUUUGGCCAAUCUGCUCGCAAGCGGGCGCAUCUCCUUCAUCAAAGCUUUAAGGGCAUCAUUGUCAAAGUGUGACCCGUAUGCUAUUUGGCUUGGAUAGCCAUUUCCAAUGUUCUCCGGAUCAAGAUCAGCUAUCCAACCUUUGGCCCGACUGAGUGCAGAUAAAGCGCCAGCCCUUGCAGUAGAUCUCUUCAAUUCUUCCAGCUGAGCAGGAGUCAUAGAUAAUCUGGCCAAUGUAUCCAUGAUUAAGGUCGGUGGUGGUUUAUUGUAUGAGGCUGCGCGGAUGACCCGUUGAGCGCCAGUAUACAACUGCUCUAUCAAUGUGUAGGCAGCCUUCAACUUUUUUCGCAUAUCUGAGCCAUGAUGAGCAAUACGACUACCUGCAAUGGUUUAAGAAAUUACUGUUAAACCGGCAUGAUCAAAGAUGUUUCCUAAAAAGCUGAAGAAGAGUACUUACCAAAGAUAGCAGAAGUCAUCGCAUCGAUUUGCCGCUUAAAGCCACUCAGCUCUUCUGCUACCGGUUUAAGUGCUGCUUCAGCAUCUUCAGCCCAUUUCAGCAAAGCGGCCUUUUCAGUCUCCCAGCCUGCCCGCUCGUUCUUGAAGCCAUCCUUCAAUUGUUCCAUGGACAUCAAAGCGUCCUUCAAAUCAUGUGUUGCUUUUGAGGUUGCAGCUUGCUGGGACUUAAUGUUUUCCUGGAGGUCGGCAAUUUGGGCAUCCUUGCUGGUUAAGUCAGCCUGCAAAAGGCAGAUAUUAAGAUGGUAAUACUUUUUUCAUAGUCCCAAGCACAUAACAAGUUAUACACUUGGCACUUGGGGGCUAAUGCGGAUUGUUUCUCUCAAGCUGAUAUUUUAAAGUCCCAAGGCUCAAUACAAGUAUUCAUCUUGGCACUUAGGGGCUAAUGCUUAUUUGAUCAUAUAAACUGGAUAUGAAGGAACUCAACAAGGAUAAGCCUUGCAACAUAAAGUACCGGUUCAUCUUCAAGAAGAUAAACCAGCCCUUGGGGGCUACACAGUUGAAGUUUUUCAUAUUGAAGUACCGGUUCUUCUUCAAGAAGAUAAACCGGCCCUUGGGGGCUACACUGGAGUAGACAUGAAGCAAAAGAAUAGUUUUAUGAAAUGGUUCGAGCAAUAAUUACCUCAUAGCGCUCCUUCAUCAAGUUGACUAAACCGGCUUCAUAGUCACAACUUGUGUAUAGGCGGUUUAGAAAUCCAGAGUGGAGUUCCUGAGCAGUGAGGUUAGCACAACUGGCUAAAUCAGUCUUCCACUUGCCUUUGCCCAUAGCAGCAACUUCUUCCUUGGCAGUAUGCUUCGCUAGAGCAACCGGGUUACCAGGAAUAGUAUGACCAGUACCAGUAAUGACAACGUCGUCAUCACCAUCUUUGGUUGUGCUUGGCGGAAUAUCAGUAUUCCUGGUUGGACUUGGCGGAUGGUCUUCAUCCUUGGCUGGACUUGGCGGAUCAGUAGGAUGGUUCAUAACAUUACUCUCAUCCGGUUCAACAAAAGUAUCUUGAACCGGAGGUACUGGAUCUUCCUGAACAACAUCGGUAUCCAGGUCAUGAGGUUCAAGGGUCUUCUCCGAUUCAAGGGUAUGAUUAUCAUCAAUUGGAACAGUGAAUUUGGCUUUCUUGCUAAGCCUGCCUUUAGCACUGAGAAGAGUAAAGUACAGGCAUUAGUACAGUAAACCGGAGCAACAUAUAAAGUAAGUAUACUGCACUUACCCAGGGACGGUCUUGAGUGGAGGCAUCUGUGUGGUCAAUGAAUCGCCAGAGGAUGAAUUGGAAGCUCCCUGAUAAUUUGAAUCAGACGAAUUAAGAGGAUAUCGAAAGCAACCCGCCUUGGGAUAAGAUGUAUUGGAAGUACAAGAGACCUCUGGUCGGCGUUUGCGAAUCGGAGUAUCCGGUAAACCAGAGGAUGUAACCUGUUGACCACUGUGACGAGUUGUGCGACGAGCCUCAUGUUGAUGUGUCUUCAAAGAAAAGUGCGGAUCCAAAUGAGCAAGAGGAUGUGAAUGUUUUACUUUCCGGACUGCGCGAUGGAGUUUCUGUACCGGCACAUGAUCUGAAUCAGAGGAAAGGGAAAUUACCUCUACAUGGUCAGCACGACUUGCCUCCACAUCAUCCCGAUAAUGAUUAUUGUCAAUAAGGUGCAUGAAAAGUGAACCAAGUGAAUCAAUUUCUACCUCCGUGUCUGAGUCAUCAACAUCUUCGGCCGGAUCAGAGGAUUCGGCGGUUCUCUUCUUAGCAGACUUCUUGGUAACCUUGGACUUAGCCUGAGGCGCUCUCACCGGUUUGUCUUGAGCUUUGGCCGGUUUGACCAGCGUUUUCCUCUUCCAAAAUGGAUCAUUGCUCUGCAAAGGUAAACAGAAGGGCUGUCAGAAAGUGUCAAAAAGGGCGGAGUAAAAUAGGAAAAAUGCAAUUCUUACAGCUGGCGGUUUAUGGAGAGCACAUAAUGGACGCAGCCCAGUUUUGCUGCAUUCAGCUACCAGUUCAUCCAGCAUCCGCUUGACAAAUUCAGUAAUCACGUCAUCAGUCAAUUGAAUGUCAAUAUAAUGUUGAGCAUCUUUCACAUCUCCUGUAUACUCGCACAUUAAACCGGAACGACGACUUAAAGGCAAGAUACUCCAUGAGACCCAGCAACGGACAAGAUCGAUACCGGUCAAACCGUUUGCCAUAAAAGCCCGGACCUUAGAGAUCUGUGUGGCAUAUUUCAUUCGCUCCUUAGCAGUCAGACAUUGAGGCAGUGGAUGUUCAUUACUAAGCCGGUGAGCACAAUAACCCGGCAGAGGGUUUUCAUCUUCAGGGGCAAUGUUCCGGCAGUAAAACCAGGUUUGGUUCCAAUCCUUGGGGUGGCUAUGAUGUUUGGCAUGAGGAAAACUAACUUCUUUCCUCUUCUGUAUUGACACCCCGCCAAGUUCAGUAUUGGGGCCAUCGAUGAAUUCAGUAUCGCGGUUCAAGUGAAAGAAACCUCUAAAUAGCUCAACGGUUGGUUCCUCUUGCAGAUAAACCUCACAAAACAGUUGAAAGUUGCAAAGGUUGGACAUAGAGUUUGGUCCAAUGUCUUGAGGGUGGAGUUGAAGGCUGGCAAGUACAUCACAGAAAUUUUUUGAUCCAGGAGGGCUAAACCCCUGGUCCAGAUGAUGUACAGACACAAUCACCUCUCUGUCUUGAGGUUCAGGAGGACAUUCAGUACCUGGGACACUCCAAUGAAUAAUUUCCUCUUUUGCUAAAUUGCCAGUCACAACGUACUCAGUCAGUUGUUCUUUAGUGACCCGGGAACGGACCCAAUUGCAAGUAGAGAACUGCUUGGCCAUUGUUGAUGACAACUGUAAAAGAAGUUCAAAAUGCCGGUUCACGGUUCAAUAUUGAUAUGUAUAAACUGGGGUCAAACCGGAGGAUUUAGUCAGAGCAUAUGUGCACGUCAAACCGAAUUCUUAUGUUUAGGUUAAGUUGGCGGUUUAAGUGAGGGCUAAUGGUGCCUGGCGGAUUGUCAUUUUCUAAAGGUUAAACCGCCUAUAGUGGAGGAAGUAGAUCCGAACAUUUCACUAAGUACUGUAGAAACAUGUUUCACAGGAUGGUGUUAUAAUUUUGGAUCUACUGCGGUUCAGUAAACAAAAAUUUCUGAACCCUAGAAUGGAGACAUCAGAACAGCGAAGAUCUAGAUGGGAUUUAUCCAGGAACGAAGAGAUACUAUGGUGAAGCAAACUAAAGCUACAGCUUCGGCCGCAAAAGGAGGAUAUCAAGUUUAUAUAGAUUCGAUGAUACAAUAAGGGCAAAGAGACGAACGAGGAUGAACACUGAUGAACACGGACGAACACCAAAAUCCUAAUACAGAUCUGAUAAGUUGGGAACAGGAGAACUUACUGGGGCUGCGGGGCAGCGGAAGAGCGUCGCAGUGUUUCUGGUCAAGAACAGGUUGAUGCAGUGGCCUUGUUGGUGCAGAUGCAAAAGUCGACGGCGCCGGUGAUGCUUGAGCUCUUCGGAGUCGCGAGGAAGAAGAAGAGGCAAGGGGGAAAAAGGAAAGGACCCCUGGGCCUAUUUAUAAGGCGAAUGGAUAAGUAAGGCAAGCGCAUGAAUCGAGGAGCCCGAAAAUGAAUGGGGCACAACUGUUGCCUCGAUCUUCGGAGAUCAAUUAAUAAAAAGAAAUCUUUAUGAGUUUUUUACGCAGAUGACGUCACAUCGGUUUAAUGUGAUUCCCGAAGAUGACGUCACGACAGUUUACAAGGACAACAUGGAGAUGUUCAAAUCAGAGUUUCUUUAAGUGGAAGAUUGACAUGAACAAGUUCAAAUCAAUCUGGGGCCUAAUGUUGGGGAUAUGACUACUGAGUUAAACCGCCCAGGAAAGGGCCGGAUUAACUCACAAGGAUUCCUGUACAAGAGCCCAUGAAGAUGAAGGCUAUGGCGCUUUAACCAUGAAGACUUAGAGUCCCAGAGCCCGAUGGCGGAUUAGGGCCCAUAAUGGUAAACCACCAUAGAUGUGUAACUUCUGUUGUAAGUCAAGGAAAGGAGAAACCGAGCUGGACACUUGUAUGAGCCGGCCUCGGGAUUAUGUAAACCGGCCGAGCGUCAACCUGUGUAUAUAAAGGGACGACCAGGCGGCGGUUCAGGGACAAGAAACAACAACUAUAAAGCCAGGCAUAGCGUGUUUGCUCCCUGGUAACCGAGACCACAUCAAAAACACCCCAACUGGAUCGUAGGCUUUUACCUUCACCGCAAGGGGCCGAACCAGGAUAAACUCCCCGUGUCCUUUGUCCGGUUUAACCCCAUUAAGCUAACCCGUCGCGAUGGCUCCACGACUAAGUCCUUUCACUAGGACAUCUGACAUGAUAAUUCCACGACAACCCCCAUGGCGGUUCACUCAUGGGCCACUUCAGGCAGCCCAUGUCGCAUACAAGGAUUAUUCCACAAGACUUGGUGAUCAAGACAAGGACUCCUAUCCACCAACGUAUUCGGCUAGGACUCUUGUUAUCCUAGGCCUCUGGUGCAUUAUAUAAGCCAAGGCUAGGCUAGUCGAUAGAUCAUUAUGAAAAUCAUACAAGCUAGACUUCUAGGGUUUAGCCAUUACAAUCUUGUGGUAGAUCAACUCUUGUAAUACUCAUAUUCAUCAAGAUCAAUCAAGCAGGAAGUAGGGUAUUACCUCCAUAGAGAGGACCCGAACCUGGGUAAACAUCGUGUCCCCUGUUUACUGUUACCAUCGACAUUAGACGCACAGUUCGGGACCCCCUACCUGAGAUCCACCGGUUUUGACACCGACAUUGGUGCUUUCAUUGAGAGUUCCAUUGUGUGAUCGGUAAAGGAUCGAUGGCUCGUCUGCAGAUUAACUGCGACGUCAGCAUCUUUGUCAUCAGCUCGACUGGUCAACUCGGCUUGACCGAGGACUGUGCCCUACCUCCGAUAGUCAUGUUCGAACGAGUGCCUUCAUUAACAUCAACUCCGAUCUCGAUCAUGAUCAUGGAGGAAUUAUCCUUGGAGCUCGGGGGCUCAACGUCAACACUGCCCUCAGGCGACCGAGCUAUUUUCCCGGAGAACAAACUUGUAUCCCCUGCCACCACCUCCUCGAGCAUCGCUUUGAUGAUUCCUUCGAUGGAAUUGUGUGGAAUUAUGUCUAUAACAACCAUGCAAAAUUUCGCGAGUUCCGAUGGAGGAAUCUCCGGCAAUCUACGAUAUACCAGAGCCUUGUCAAAUUUGGACAAGAAUCUGGACGAUUUUAGGGCGUGGUCUCCAGAUCCAAGCUCGCUCGGAGGUCCUUUGGAAGAUCCAACCGUUCCUCCGCUGCGGAAUUCUCAUAUCUACCACCCCUCAAACUUUCAGCUCGAUCUGACGGUUGAAACUCCAGGAACGUUCCGAUGAGUGGACCAAUUUUCUCAUGUUUUUUCUUCGCGAGAACAAAUCCGAGCCUAGUUCAUCUUUUUUAUGAACGGGAUUUCGGACAUCCUUUUUGAAGGAAGUUCUGUAUGGGGUAUUGUGUUUUGUUCCCAAACACAUCCCACAAAUUUUAAAGUCUUUCCCAAUAUGGUCUUCAAUGCACCGGUGUCAAACCAGCCUGACAACGUUACUCCACGGCUGCCGACCUGCGUUAAACAAGUCGUCCCUUUGUUGAGCCGAUCUCAACUUCUUCGGAUCAUCAUCUCAGCAAGCCGGACAAGUGUUCGGCACCGUGAAGGAUAGAUCACCACCAACAUCGCCGCCCCACGGAUCAUACGGAGCGGGCACACCGGCAUCGCCGCACGGUCACUUCAUCGAGCUGGCAUUUACCGCGUCAUAAGUUAUGACCUGCACCGUCAUGUGGCGGCAUUGUUGGUUCUUCAAGCCGAUGUCCAUCACGCUGAACUGCUUCAAUACCUCGGCUGACACGGCAGCUGCAAUGUCUCCUUACCGACCUGCUCCGUCACCUCGGCUAGACCGGGGGCUUCGCCAUCCCUUCUUCAACCUACUUCGGAGACUUCGGCGUCGUCAACCGACUAGCUUAGUCACGUUAUCUAGACCGGGGCUUUGCCUCGGUGAGCCAACCCUUACCAGCAUCACCAUGCCGUCACUUCACCGCCAUUAGGCAAUGGGUGUGCGGAUCAAUUCUCAAUUUUGGGAGUCACUUUUCUUCGGACUGCUACAACAAAUAAACCAGGUGCUAUUAAUCCUAGCAAUUUUUGCUUAUUUGGGUUUUAUUUUUCUCAAGAAAUUAUUAUUCUGCUUCGUUCCAUCAUCUGUACACAGGCCUAUCAAAUGGCAGCCACAUUAACAACGGUCGCGUGGUGGUUCGGUCAGUUUCCGUACAUAGUUUGGCGAACGCCGCAUCCGGAACUCGGACUGACCUUUGAAUUCAGGCUUUGCCACGCCUUUACCACAUCACGUUGUUGUCUGGCAUCGACAUUGACUUCGGCGCUAUGACACAUAUUUUUAAAUAAAUUAUCUUGCGUAAAUUAAUUACGCGAGGAUUUUUAUAUUAUUAUUGUCGGCCUGCACUAUUUUACUUGUACAUGUAAUCGACUUCGACUGCGUCACUUGGUCACUUUGACAAGCCGACGCCGUCGUCCCAAUCGGCUUAAAUCAGCUCGCGUGAUUACCUUGUUUGUCGAAUUGCCAUACCGACAUGCUCGGUCGCUUUGGGGACUUCGGCAUCGCUGAGAGAGCCCUACCUCAUCGACUGUUCCACACACGAGCCAUAUUUCUUUUAUUACUCACUUUGCAUAAAUUAUUAAUUAAUUAUUUAUUUAUUAUUACUACUAUUAUCUCCGGUUUGCACUAUUUUCUGUGCACACGUAAAUGAUUCGGGUCGGGCAGUGUUAUCUCCUCGGCGUACUGACAUAGCACGUCACCUCGGCUGGACUGGGGGUUUCGUCAUUGAGGGAGUCCUAGAUUAGGGGGUAUUCGGACAGCCGGACUAUAUACUUUGGCCGGACUGUUGGACUAUGAAGAUACAAGAUUGAAGACUUUGUCCCGUGUCCGGAUGGGACUCUCCUUUGCGUGGAAGGCAAGCUUGGCGAUUCAGAUGUUAGAUCUCAUUCUCUGUAACCGACUUUGUGUAACCCUAGCCUCCUCCGGUGUCUAUAUAAACCGGAGUGUUUUAGUCUGUAGGACAAGAACAAUCAUAAUCAUAGGCUAGCUUCUAGGGUUUAGCCUCUACGAUCUCGUGGUAGGUCAACUCUUGUAUUACCUCCAUCGAGAGGGCCCAAACUUGGGUAAACAUCGUGUCCCCAGCCUCCUGUUACCAUUGUCCUUAGACGCAUAGUUUGGGACCCCCUACCCGAGAUCCGCCGGUUUUGACACUGACAUUGGUGCUUUCAUUGAGAGUUCCUCUGUGUCGUCGCUGUAAGGCUCGAUGGCUCCUUCAAUCAUCAACAAGGACGCGGUCUAGGGUGAGAUUUUUCUUCCCGGACAAAUCUUCGUGUUCAGCGGCUUCGAACUACGGGCCAAUUCACUUGGCCAUCUGGAGCAGAUCGACAGCUAUGCCCCUGGCCAUCAGGUCAGGUUCGGAAACUUGAAUUACACGACCGACAUCCGCGGAGACUUGAUCUUUGACGGAUUCGGGCCUACUCCAGGAGCGCCGGACGGUCACGACGGGAACGACUUAGACCGGUUGUCGGACGGUAUUCGGGAUAACGCACCUGCAGCGGCUCUGGACCUAAAUCCAAGGCAGAUCGCGUCGUCCGAGGACGGGUGGAUGGACCCCGCCACGGAGGCCGCAUACUCAUCGGCGGUAGAGCCGAACACAGACUCCACCUCUAAGGAAAUCUGUGUCACCGGACCCCAGGACGUGUCUCCGGCCUCAGGUUCCAGAUCGCGUGCAUCCGGGCCUAUCGAAUUUGAUUGGGCUCCGAUAAUGGAGUUCACCACCACGGAUAUCUUUCAGCACUCGCCCUUGGGCGAUUUGCUGAAUUCAUUAAGGUCUCUCUCUUUGUCAGGAGACUCUUGGCCGAACUAUGUCCGGCUCGAGUGGGAAGCAGAUGACGAAGAAAUUCGUCACCCACCCACCACCCACUUCAUUGCCACUGUCGAUGAUUUAACCGACGUGCUCGACUUCGACUCCGAAGACAUCAACGAUAUGGACGACGAUGCAGGAGAAGAACGGGAACCACCGCCCACAGGGCGCUGGACAGCCACCUCCUCAUAGUAUACAUAUAUAUGGUGGACACACCCAAAGAAAACAAUGGCGAUGAGGCAACAGAGGAUAACCCCUUAGGAAAGCAAUCAAAGCAUGGGCAUCACCGAUGCCGCUCUAAGCCCCGCCACAGCAACACCGGCACAGGAGACGAAAACAAUCCGGAUGGUGCCGAAGAUUAAUAUAAUCCCAAUCAACCUACCUUCGAGCAGACCGAACAGGAGGACGGGAAAGCUAGCCCAGAUGAACAGGCGAUGGACGGAGACUUGGAGGAUGACAAUUAUAUGCCUCUCUGCGAAGAUGGGGUGAGCCUAGGCGAUGAUGAAUUCGGCGUGCCUGAGGAUCCCGUAGAGCAGGAGCGCUUCAAGCGCCGGCUUAUAGCCACUGCAAGAAGCCUGAAGAAGAAGCAGCAGCAGCUCCAAGUUGAUCAAGAUCUGCUCACAGACAGAUGGAAUGAGGUCCUGGCAGCCGAGGAAAACGGACUCGAGCGCCCCACCAAAGGUUACCCAAAGCACAAGUUGCUACCUCAACUCGAGGAGGAGGCCAUAGAGCCUACACUACUAGCACAGGACGAGGCUGACCAGCCACCUCGUGGCCGAGACAAAGGGGUGUAUUAGCCCGAAUACCAACCCGCACCCCGACGCCCAUAUACUAUGGCCCGGGGCAAUACACAGGACCUGCGACAUAUUGGAAAACAAUGCAGGACAACCAAGAUCGAUCUACGGAUCGCGGGGGCGCGUCACAUCACAUGACGAUGAUCGUCAUGCCGGAUACACUAACAAUAAGUUCGACCGGGCCGAACAUAACCGACCAGACUUAGUUGGACUGCGUCGUGACAUAGCCCGGCAUAGAGGCGCCGCACACCCCCUCUGCUUCACUGAUGAAGUAUUGGAUCAUGAAUUCCCAGAAGGGUUCAAACCCGUAAACAUCGAAUCAUACGAUGGCACAACAGAACCCGCGGUAUGGAUCGAAGAUUUCCUUCUCCACAUUCACAUGGACCGCGGUGAUGAUCUACAUGCCAUCAAGUAUCUUCCCCUUAAGCUUAAAGGACCAGCCCGACACUGGCUGAAUAGCCUGCCGGCGAACUCCAUCGACAAUUGGGAAAAUUUGGAUGACGCGUUCCUCGACAACUUCCAAGGGACCUACGUGCGACCACCACAUGCUGAUGACUUAAGUCACAUUACCCAACAGCCCGAAGAGUCAGCCAGGAAAUUCUGGACUCGGUUCCUAACUAAAAAGAACAAAAUUAACGACUGUACGGAUGCCGUAGCCGGCCUUUAAGAAUAAUAUCCGUGACGAGUGUCUUGCCCGACACCUCGGCUAAGAAAAACAGAAAUCCAUGGCGGCCCUCACGACACUCAUGACCCGCUUUUGCGCGGGCGAGGACAGCUGGCUGGCUCGCAGUAGCACCACGCCAAGAGACUCUGGCACCUCAGAUGUCCGCGAUAGUAACGGCAAGCCUCGGCACAACAUACAUAAGCGUCGGAACUAUGGCGACAACACCGAAGACACGACAGUCAAUGCCGGAUUCAGUAGCUCCAAAUCCGGUUAGCGGAAAAAGCCGUUCAAAAGAAACAAUCCGGGAUUGUCUAGUCUGGACCGCAUACUCGACCGCUUGUGCUAAAUUCACGACACCCAUGAUAAACCAGCUAACCAUACUAACAGAGAUUGCUGGGUGUUCAAACAGGCCGGCAAGUUGAAUGCCGAGAACAAGGACAAGGGGCUGCACAGCGACGACAACGAGGAGCCCCAACGGCCGAACACAGGGGGACAGAAGAAAUUUCCUCCCCGAGUGAAAACGGUGAAUAUGAUCUAUACCACCCACAUCCCCAAGUGGGAAUGAAAGCGUGCACUAAGGUACGUUUACACGAUGGACCCGGUCGUCCCAAAGUUCAACCCAUGUUCAUCCUAUCCGAUCACUUUCGAUCGCAGGGACCACCCUACCAGUAUCCAUCAUGGCCUGAACCUGCUUUACCAGGACACAGUGUGCAAAAUGGGCAUUGAUCCCUCAAGGAUCAAACCCACCAAAACUACCUUUAAAGGUGUAAUUCCAGGCGUAGAGGCCUAUUGUACGGGCUCAAUAACACUGGAAGUGGUCUUCGGAUCUCCAGAUAACUUCCGAAGGGAGGAGUUAAUCUUUGAUAUCGUCCCUUUACGUAGUGGCUAUCAUGCACUGCUUGGACGAACCGCAUUUGCUCGAUUCAGUGUGGUACCACACUACGCAUACCUCAAGAUGAAGAUGCCAGGACCUCGAGGGGUCAUAACAGUCAAUGGAAACACAGACCGCUCUCUCUGUACGGAAGAGCACACUGCGGCCCUUGCGGCAGAAGUACAAAGCAGCCUUCUUCGGCAGACCGCCAAUUCGGCGAUGACAACCCCGAACACCAUCAAGCGAGUCCUGAGUACUCUGCAACAGGAUCGGCAGGCACGCCAAGAGCUCAACUAGCAAUCUGGCCUCCAUCCAAGUCCCAUUCAGGCCGCAUUUGUGUCGCGCGUACACAAUUACGGACUCAAAAUACCACGGGCAUAGGCGGAGGCGCGAUGAUGAUGCGGUCCACAAUGCGGCUCAACCGCCACGAGACCCGCAUACCUCUAUAACCUUCUUUCUUUUUCAGGACCCUACUUUCGGGCAGCCCCUUCAGAGAGCCUAAUCAUCGGACUCGUCAUAGGAGGGACAACCAAGGGGGCAAGAGGCUUUGCACACAAGGGAAUACUUAGGUGGUCUUUGUUAACGAUCAUUAUGCCUGUUUUACAUACCCACAUGCAGCCUGCCCUUGGAUAGGACAUGUCAAAUAGUACUAUUUUUGCUUGUCGCAUUAACUUGUACACAUACGCUUUGACAUAUUAUUUAAAUAACAACGGGAAACAAUAUACAGCGUCAACUUAUUAUUACUAUUUUCAUAUUUUCCCUGGACUGUUUAUUUAAUAUUGCAUCCCUACACUCUGGUACGUUCAGUUUGCUAGGGGCUUUUUAUUGUGCCCCAUAACACGGCAAGAAAAGUCCGAACACUUUUGAUAUUGCGGCACCCCGAACUUAUAGCAUUAUAUGCAUCUGCCCCGAAUCAUGUAUUGGGUCAAUAGUUGGGUUUGGCGGGCUCCCUUGUUUUGGUACCUUACGUUCCGUUAUAUCGGCUAAGGUAGUGCAGGGAGAACUACUGCGAUUGUGUCCCAGUUCUUCCGGACGAGCAUCUCAGUAGAGAAAGCGGAAAACUGACUGUCAUGAUGCGGUGAGAGUUGGUCGCUGUUCGAGAGGUAUUAAAUCCUUAAAGAUUUUUUCCUCUUCAGGCGAGGAAUCGGCCUUGUCCGGUUUAUGCAUGUAUAGCGCCCCAAUUCGGCUUUCCGAAUACUAGGGGCUUCACCAAAAUUUAAAAUUGUAGACUUCUAUGGCUAAGUGAGAGUUAUAAAGCCGCAUAGUCCGAUUGCCUUGUUCACUGUGCUAAACACCUCCUUAAAGGACCAAGAAUUUGUAUACAGAGUGUUUGGGUUUUCCACAAACACCCCAGUACUAGUUACACGGGGGCGGAAGCUGACGACUUGCCUACUUUCAGAAUUUUAUAAACAGCCGCACAGAAGGUAAUAUUUCAAAUCAACAAAGCGUCAUAUAGCGCAAACGAACUCGUUUUCAUAUUACAAAGAUGACAUGAGUACAUUCACUCAACGAUUAUGUCCUUGGUACAUUCAUUGGCCACAAGGCAAGCGCCUUUUAUAACGCCAUCAUAAUAUUUCUCGGGGUAGCGAUGCGCCUUACCCUCCGGGGGUCCAUCCUUCACCAGCUUCUCUGCAUCCAGUUUGGCCCAAUGCAUCUUUGCACGGGCAAAUGCCCGGCAGGCACCUUCAAUACAAACGGAUUGCUUGAUAACUUCAAGCCACGGACAAGCAUUUACCAUCCGCUUUACAAGGCCGAAGUAACUGUCGGGCAGGGGCUCGUCAGGCCACAUCCAGACUAUGAGGUCCUUUAUGGCCAGUUCGGCCGCCUUGUGGAGUUCAACCAAUUGCUUCUGUUGGUUACUUAGAGGCAUUGGGUGUUCGGCUCCAGUAUACUGGGACCAGAACAGCUUCUCCAUCGAGAUCCCCUCUUCGGCACGGUAGAACUCCGUGGCAUUCGAUAUGCUGCGUGGUAGAUCUGCGAAUGCCCAGGGAGAGCUCCGAAUUCGAUUAAGUAAAAGAAAUGUCUCCUCCACAUGCUUGCUUCGCAUAUUGAAGGCCUUACCCGCCGCUAUCUUCUUGGCCGUCUGGAUUUCCUAGAGGGCCUUUUGGGCUUCGGCCUUGGCGUGUUCCGCGCUCUGGAGGGCCUUGGCAAGCUCAGACUCUUGCGUCUUGAAGUCAUGCUCCAAGGACUCGAACUUCUGGCCGAACUCCUGGAGCUCUUGCUGUACCUCACUCACCCGAGAAUCUUGCUUUUCACGCUCAGUACGGUCCGUGGCUGCUUUAUCUUUGGCCUCGGAUAGCUCUUUCUUCAGGGCCGCCACUUCGGUCAUGGCCCCUAUUAAAAAUCAUGAUGCUUUUUGUUAGCGUCACCAAUUUUUUCCUCUAUAUGACACACGGACGGGGUAUCACUUACUUCGUUCUCUUCGAGUUGCCUCUUCAUGAGGCUGAGCUCUUCUUCGGCCUGCUUCAGGUCCCGUUUGAGUCCGGCGACCUCCGCAGUACGGGCGGUAGCGGCCAGCAGCAACACCUGCUUACUCACAUAGACAUUCAUUGUUAGACUCCUGCGGAUUAAAAAUUGACCCUCCGUUUGGCUUUUCUUUCCGAACACCAAACAGAGUAUCAGGGGCUACUGUCUAUUAGGUGAUAUUUUCUCACACCUUUCAUCACUUACCUCAAAGCCUGUUAGGAGGCUGGUGCAGGCUUCUGUCAAUCCGCUUUUGGCGGACCGAACAUUCUCAAUCACCAUACUCAUAAGAGUAUGGUGCUCUUCGUCAAUGGAAGCAUCGCGAAGCACUUCCAACAAAUUAUCUGAUGCCUCCAGCUGGAUGGAGGUCAUCGGCACGGCCGGCUCGCCCUCCUUAGAGAGGGGCUACCUACUUGAAUCCGAAACCUUUGGAGGCUCCGGCGCAGUAACUGUCUGGGAGCCAGACUUGUUGUGGCUCCCGUCCGCAUAAUCCAUGGGGAUCUUACCCCCCACAUGCCCGGUGGCUGGGAUUUCGCCUUGGGGCGUCUCUAGAACCGCCAUCCCCUAUUCUGGUAUCCUUUGGGACAACACCUCGGUGUCAUCCGCGGGCCAAGGGGAGGUGGCCGUUGGGAGUGAAUUCAUCUCCGACUCGCUCAGGGACCCGUCCGAAGACGAUACCUCGAGGCGGGACCCAGUCGGACUACAUAUGCGUGUUCGGCAUUGUCACAAACCAUGAAAUUAAGAUGCAUGAAAAAUACUAUAGAGUGUGGAUACUUACUAUCUCGCCAGGGGCUUGCCCCUGGGCAACCACUCCUCCUCGCUGUAGGCGGCCGCGGUGGAGUGAUCCGGAAGGGAUGCCUUUCCCUUCUUCGGUGUCCUGGCCUCCCCGUAUGGGGUGGCUUUCCUCUUCUUCUCCUCCCCAAUGCGGGGAGGGGGAAUUUAUUCAGGUUUCCCCCCAUCUCCGUGGGAGGAAUUUGCCUCGGCGUACUCGGACGACGAGUCUAUUACAGCCUUCACCGGAGACCUUUCCUGGUCCCUGCGGCCGCUUUCUUGGACCUUUCGGCCUCCUCAGAUGGGGCGGCCUUCCUCUUCCUCUCCUUCCCUUCAUGGGAGGACUGUGCCUCAUCGUCUUCAGAUAAGGCAUCCGGCGCAACCUUGUGCCGAAGACCCUUCCUGGUCCCCGUGGUCUUCUUUUCGGCCUUAUUAUCCGGCACCUUGUAAGGCGCCAGAACCAGCAUCUCCGUGAGGAGUGCGGUUGCUAGAUCUUCCGGCAGCGGAGCCGGGCAGUCGAUCCGCUGCGCUGUCGCCACAUAAUCCUGUUUUGAUAAGCAUGGUGACUUAAAAUCCUCCCACGAGUUUUCUGGGAAAGGUACAUCUUGUGAUGUUCGGAGAACUUACUGGAUUGGCGAGGCACGUGGCGCUGAGUCCGCGGUCCUCGGAAGCGGGAGGAGGUACUUCGGCGGCCUUGAACAGCACCUUCUAGACGUCUUUAUGCGUCGUGUCGAAGAGCUCUCGCAGCGUUUGGUGUUCGGCUGGAUCAAACUCCCAUAUAUUGAACGCCCGUCUUUGACACGGGAGGAUCCGGCGAAAGAACAUGACCUGGACCACGUUGACAAGCUUGAUCUUCUUGUCUGUCAGGACCCCGAUCCUAAGUCACACCGAUCUGGCAUGUAACACAUCAUAUCACUCUGCGGCCUCACGCACGGUAUUCCCACGGGUGCCACCUUACCUGGCCCGGGACCGUUUGCACCUUUUGGCUCACAUAUAUGAUAGUGCCGCUAGCAUCCAUAUGACAAAGAACCCGGGCUGACAUGGCUAGUCGUGAACCCAAAGUGGCACUAACUUACAGGGACAUGCAUACAUGACCCAGCAACGAACGUGUCGGUCAUCAGCGAGUGAAUCUGGGCUGUAGCAACUGGGCUAGCAGGACUCCGGUAAACCAGGCUGUAGCAGGCUAACAGGACUCCGGUAGACACCGCGUGACAUUUCCCCGAAGGGAUAGACACAGGAAUGAAGAAGGACACAUGCCGGCCAGCCUAAGUGUUCCGGAGCAGUAUAAAGCUACCAAGGCUCAGUGGAAGCACUAGGAGACAUUUCCCGGUAAGAGAGGCUACCAAGGAUGAACAACUAGAUAGUCAGAUCCCACACAGACCAAGCAUUUCAAUAACAUACACACAAUAUGCUCGAUAUGUGCAAAUACAACAUGGCAUCACAACAUGACUCUACAACUCAAGUAUUUUUCAAUAGGCUCCGAGGAGCGAGAUAUUACAAUCAUGGGUCGCAUGACCCAACAUUCAGAGCAUACAAGUCAAAGCACAUGCGGAAGCUUAACAUGUCUGAGUACGGACAUCUACAAAAGAAAAAGGCUGAGAAGCCUGACUAUCUACUAGAUCCUGCCGAGGGCACAAGAUCGUAGCUGAGGUAACAAGCUAAACGUCAAAGUCCACAUGGAACUACUAGCGAGACUGAAGUCUCUCUGCAAAAACAUAAAUUAAGCAACGUGAGUACAAAUGUAACCAGCAAGACUUACAUCAGAACUAACUACAUAUGCAUCAUUAUCAACAAAGGGGCGUGGGGUUUAACUGCAGCAAGCCAGCUUUGACUCGAUGGCUAUCCUGAAUUAUGACUGUAAGUAUCUCUUUUGAGGUGACGCACACGAGUCCACAUAUUCACCAUAUCAAUACACCACUAUGGAUCCGCUCCCGUCUCCCUAUGAGAACGCCAUCCAUAGCACUCACGUAUAUCUUGCGUAUUUUAGAGUAUCCACUUUCACUUGUCUAUGAACUGUAUAGGCAACCCAAAAGUCCUUUGCCGCGGAAACGACUAUUCGAAUAGAUCAUAUUAACCCUGCAGGGGUGUACUUCUUCACACACGCUCUCACCACUUACCGCCGUUUACACGACAUGUACUCGGCAACCUUCAAGCGGAAGCCCAGCGAGGGUGUCGGCCACGACCUGACUAACCACACAAGUCUCUCAUCCAGGUUUAUCGCCUAUUCGGGUUCCAUCCGCAAGGAGAUCCGGCCGGGGUGUCGCUCACGGCCCCAAACGAUGUGUGCAGGGUUCCCAAGCCCACCAUCCGGGUGCCACUUGGUACACCGGGCCACUGUGCCUAGUCUGUCCCAAGCCCACCUGUACCGGGUGCCACUUGGUAGACUACUAGCACUACCUACAAACACCAGAAACUAGCUGCAACUCUUGGACACAGAUCGAGUUGAUUAAUAAGUCGAGAGAGUCAAUUAAGGAUCCCAAUGUGUGGUAGUAGCUGUUAAUGGAUCACAAACACAGAACUCAGUUCCUGAGGACGGCUGCAAUGAGACAACCCACCAUGUACUCCUACACGGCCUCUCACCGCUACCUUUACCAAAUCGUGUUCACACACUUAGCUCACACACAGUAGGACAUGUUCACACACCUCCAAUUCAUUCCCGAUGAAACAGACCUGACACAACUCUAAGCAAUAGCAGGCAUGACAAACAAGCAUGAAUGAGUAGGCACAUCAGGGCUCAAACAACUCCUACUCAUGCUAGUGGGUUUCAUCUAUUUACUGUGGCAAUGACAGGUCAUGCAGAGGAUAAGGGGUUCAGCUACUGCAACAAGUAACAAAUAUGUCAUUGUUGUCCUAAUGCUGUAAAAGAGAGCAGGAGCGAGAGAGUGGGAUUUUAUCGGAAUGAACAAGGGGGUUUUGCUUGCCUGGCACUUCUGAAGAUAGCAUUGAGUCUUCAUCAGUGUCAACGAUCACAAUGUCGGUACAACGUCUACCGAGGGGGAACAACACCGGCAAACAGAGAAGAAACACGAUCAAUGCAAUGCACAAUAUGAUGCAUGCUAUGACAUGGCAAUAUGAAUGUGUUUUGGGCUAAUGCAAGCUAGAACAGGUUGAGAUGAGUCCAUUUGAACCAAAGAUUCAAAUGCAAACCCAUUUUAAAAGGUCGUAUUAGUGCAUUACCUUGUUUCACCUAAACAGCAAGGUUAAAGUGUUCUAUCAUGCAUGAGAAUGGUACAGAUGGAUAGAUUGCAUUUUUCUGAUCAUUUUUCAUAUAUAAAUUGUUUGAUUUGGAGCUACGGUUGAUUUUCUAUGAUUUUUAGAAGUUUUGGUUAUUUUCUGGAAUUCCUUGUAUAAGAAAAUUCCAGUAAUUAGUUAUUGCGUCAGUGUGACGUAAGUGGUCAAAGGGGACGUCUAGGUCAAACUGACCUGUGGGCCCUGCGUGUCAGUAGUUAGUUUAACUAACUAAAUUUAGUUAGUGCUAAUCCUGGGUUAGUUAGCAGGGCGGGCCCCACCUGUCAUAGACCCAAGGGUCAAAUUGGGCCCACCUGGUCAACUCAGUCAACAGGGUCAACUCGCCGGCGUUUAGCCGCCGGCGAGGUCAGUGGCGCUCUUGUGCCUCGGGUUUCCUCUGUGGUGCUCCAAAUGACGUGCGGCUAGGCGCGUUGGAGAGCUAGCUCGACGGCGCGUCGGGUGGUGGCCGGGGUUGCCGGAGUCGACGGCGGUGAGCUCGAUUGCGGCUGCCGGAGUUCGGUUGCACUCGGAACCGACGUUGUGGUGCACGGCAUGUCGAGCGGUGGGGUCCUAGGUGCUCCUGCAAACGUGCUGAGCACGGUGACGCUCUCAGACGCGGCGGAGGUGGGCUCUAGCCACGGCGGCGAAGAAGCGCAACGGCGGCGAGCUUCGGUCGGGGUGGCCAAAGGGGCUAGAGGAGGAAAUCAACAGAGGGAAGAGAGGUGUUGGGAUCAGGGGCUCGCGGCGAUGCCGAAGAGGAGAUCAGCGAGCCUGGGGAGGUCCUGGCGGCGCCGAAUCGACCGGAGGCGAGCUCGGGUGCCUGGGGUUGAAGAUGAGGCAGAGACGUCGCUGUGAUGCUCCCGUGGUCGAACAGACUGGUGUAGACGACGGAGGAGAUGACGCCGGUCCUUCUGGAUGCUUCGGCAAGGCGAGGGGUGGACGGUGGCCACGGUUUCACGGCGGCAAACGCUUGGCGGUUGCGGCCAUGGCGAGGAGAGGGCAAGAGAGAGGGCAGAGGGGGGAGAGUGAAACGUCCAGGGGGUCGGGGCGGCACCGAAGAGAAGGCCCGAGGCGUCGUGGUGGCCUCAGUGACGCAGGCAAGCAGGGAGGUGUGUGGCGCCGCGGGCGCGCGUGCGCUGUCUCCCUCCUUUGCCUACUGGCAGAUGUAGGUGAUGACUGGCACGGGCCAGGUGGGCCGGCCCAGCCAGGUAAGUGGCCUGUGGCCUUUCUCUCUCUCUCUCUCUCUCUCUUCCAUUUAGUUCUAUUUUUCUAUAUUUCUGUAUCUUAUGGGCUUUAUUAAAAAUAUCUAGGCACUUCCAAAAAUCAUGAAACUGCUCAAUGUCACUUUUUGGAAUAUUUCCAACAGCAAACAUUUCAGUUUGUGAUUAUUUGAGCAUUUAAAAUAUUAUUUAGCAAAUAAAUGCCCAAAUGCAAAUACCAUAUGAUUUAAUUCAAAAAUCCAGAAUGGCCUAGAAAUAUGUGCACCAUUUUUGGGAGAGGUUCUAGACCAAUGCAAAAAUGAUGAACUUUCUGAAGGGCAUUUUGGGUUCAUUGAGAAUAUUUUUAUUUGAACCUAGUUGAUUUGAUCUGGUGCUAGGGUUUGAGCAAUCCCCAUUUCAGGUUUAAAAGAAAUUUAAACAUGAUGCAUGAUGCAACACAAGACUAACUAACUCAGAGCAGAUCAGAACUAGGGAUGUGACAUUGUCUAUCAUAUUUUUGACACAGUACUUGAGUCCUGUCAGCUCUGUAGGUUCGCCACAGGCCAGACCCUUCUUUUCAGAGGAGGUGAGCCGCGUGGGGAUGCCAGAUCGGAAUUCGGGGGCCGACGCCCAGUUGGCAUUGCAUGGCUCGGUGAUGUAGAAAUACCCCGAUUGCCACCCUUUCACGGUCUCCAGGAAGGAGCCUUCAAGCCAGGUAACAUUGGGCAUUUUUUCCACCAUGGCGCCUCCGCACUCCGCGUGCUGGCCACUCACAAUCUUCGGAUUCACGCAGAAGAUUUGUAGCCACAGGCCGAAGUGGGGCUUGAUGCGGAGGAAGGCCUCGCACACGACGAUAAACGCCGAGAUGUUGAGGACGAAAUUUGGGGCUAGAUCGUGAAAAUGUAGCCCAUAGUAAAACAUGAGCCCACGUACGAAUGGGUGGAGUGGAAACCCCAGUCUGCAGACGAAAUGAGAGAGGAACACUACUCUCUCUUGAGGCUUGGGUGUGGGAGUAAUUUGCCCCUUCGCCGGAAGCCUGUGCGUGAUGUUUGCGUCCAGGUAUCCGGCCGCCCGAAGCUUGGCAAUGUCCUCCUCUGUAACGGAGGAGGCCAUCCACUUGCCUCCCGCUCCGGACAUGUUGCGAAUGGUCCUACGGAGAAGGUGAGAACUUGGGCGCUGGGGCUCAAGGGUGCGAGAAUGGAUGAGCAAAGGAGGAAGAAGGCAUGGGUGAAAAUGGGGGAUCCUUAUACCUUUAUAAAGGCGGUGAAAACUGUGCGCCUCCCCGCUUGCCAGUCAAAAUCACUCAUUUUCCAGGCGCCACGAUUGAUGGUGCGGUUGGGUUACCCAUACCCGUAUUGAUGAGAAUCCCGUGAUAAGGGGACACGAUCUCUGCUUCGACAAGACGUGCAAAGGAAACCACCUCGCAAUAUGUGCGGUGGCUGGUUGUGAGAAAACGGUUCGAAUAAUGACCGGACCAUGGCGUGAUGUCAUUCAACAGAAGUUGUUAGUAGAUUUGAUUUGUCGAACAUUGUGCUCUCUACGGUGGUAUGUGGAAAAAAAAUUGCAGAGCCGGACACGAUCCUUGUGUUCGGAAUCUUCUACGGAGUAUUCGGAUAUGGAAACCGCCUUGCAAUGCCGAAGAAAAUCUGCGUGUCGGACUCAUCGUCAUUGAAGCCUGGUUCAGGGGCUACUGAGGGAGACCUGGAUUAGGAGCUAUUCGGACAGCCGGACUAUAUACUUUGGCCGGACUGUUGGACUAUGAAGAUACAAGAUUGAAGACUUCGUCCCGUGUCUGGAUGGGACUCUCCUUUGCGUGGAAGGCAAGCUUGGUGAUUCGGAUGUUAGAUCUCCUUCUCUGUAACCGACUCUGUGUAACCCUAGCCUCCUCCGGUGUCUAUAUAAACCGGAGGGUUUUAGUCCGUAGGACAAGAACAAUCAUAAUCAUAGGCUAGCUUCUAUGGUUUAGCCUCUACGAUCUCGUGGUAGAUCAACUCUUGUAAUACUCAUAUCAUCAAGAUCAAUCAAGCAGGAAGUAGGGUAUUACCUCCAUCGAGAGGGCCGAACCUGGGUGAACAUCGUGUCCCUAGCCUCCUGUUACCAUUAGCCUUAGACGCACAGUACGGGACCCCCCUACCCGAGAUCCACCGGUUUUGACACCGACAAUCAUCACUUCAUCAACCCACGCCGGGGACUUCGGCAUCACUCUGCCGGCCUGCAUUGGCUGAGCCAUGUCACUACCUCGGAAUGCCGAACUCCUUGCCCGGGCACCUCAGGCUUGGAGGCUGGGACCUCAGCCAUACCGAGGACUGUGAACCUUGUCGGAUCUGUCACGGAUCAAUGGGCAUCUUCGUCCCGCCACAAGCCCGAAUGGCGUCAUCAACAUCGAGCACAUUAAUCAGCUAAGUUGCUUUCAUGCUCAAAAACUUUGUUCGGUUCGACCAAGCAUUAUACUUUUUGGCAAAAAGUUGUUUGUGACAAAAUUCCUUGUCAAAACUUUGUUUGUGACACACAAAUUCAAAUACCCCAUUUAUUUGGGGGCUUCCUUUAUAAAGACUCUCCUCUUGCAUAUGAUUAUACUUGUAUGGCUUCGUUCCUUGUUCGUGUAUUACACCACAAUAUGCACCAUGUUGACUUAAUUAUUCCGCAAGCUGGAUUGCCUUGCUCCAGUAUUUACCCCUACGUUUCUGAUUGUUCGGCUAGGGAGUAAAGGGAGCACCUCUGCGAUUGUCACGAUCGGGUCAUCCGAGCUCGGACCUCAGACUGGGUGAAGCCGAAAGCUAGCGCUCUUAUUGUUUUCAAUCAUGGUCGGCACAUAACGGAACUCAUGUGUACAAAAAAUCUAUUGCACAAGUCUCAUAGUAACAAUGAGCAACCGAAAAAAGGUAUCGGUGGGGGUACUAUUUUCUUCGAAGAUGCUUCUUAAACUUCGUCAGUAAUAUAGCAUAAGUUCCCUGAGCGUGCUUUGUCUGUUACAGCCUUAUGGCCUGAUUGUCUGGUUAUCGGAAACACCAUCGAUAUUCUCUACAUGUGGGGUACAUAACACUUUUCAGCCCUUGACCGAAGAGGGAGAAGUUGAUGGUCAGUUAAGACGCAUUUAAAGUUCAGGUGAAUACAAAUAUGAUAUAAGUACUUCGGUACAUACAAUAAUCAUUAUACAUAAAAUUCUUUUACCCAAGUCACUUGGGGGUUCUUAAAAUUUAUAUGAGCUGUUUUAUAGUAAAUGUGUUUUCUUCUGGGUUGUUGCAAAGUCUUUUUCUACCGCUCCUUUUUCGACUCGAGUGUAUGGUCAAUAGACAGAUAGCCUGUCUUCUCUCUAAAAGCCGCUCGAGUUUAGUUCGCUAAACUGACCUCGGAGAAGUACUCCGCCUUUGGGAUAAGGAACUUGAAGCCGUAGGCUGACCUGCGUGAAGUCUUGAGAUCGGAUAUGUCAUGUUAAAGCACGACAAAAGCACAAUUUUUUUCCAAUUUUGGAUUGGCACCGAACACUUGAUCUUGUUCGGACAUCAACUUUUUACUGACGUUUUUUGGUUUUCCAAGCUUAUGGCACUUUUAAACUAUUUGUGUGUUUCCAGCAUAAGUCUCGCAGUGCAACAACGGACACCUUUAGAGAUUCGUCAAAAACAUUCUCGGAUAUUUCUAUAUAUGCAUCGGUUUGAAAUUGUGUCUUCGGUCAAUAGUUGGGUUGCCUGGCUCCUCUGCUUGCCUCCUAGGUUCCGCUUUGUUCGGCUAGGUGUGCAAAGGGAGAACCACUGCGAUUGUGCUUCCAGCUCGCAUGGUUAAGCACCUCAGUGGAGAAAGCCGAAAACUGACUGUCACAAUAAGAGUAAACUGGUCAGCGAUCCGAUGACUAUGUUAAAUGACGGGCCAUUCAUAAUAUUGGCCGAAGUGUUUACGGCUUGAGCUCGGCUGUCGCCAAACACUAACCGGAGGCUCGUAGUUAGCUUCCCCAGUUUAAAGCUCCUAUGACUACGUGAAAGUUAUAAAGCCCGCAUAUCUGAUUGCCUCAUUUCCACUAACACAACCGCCUUCGGGCACCGAGACGUUGGCUAAGGGUUGCCUUGUUAUUGCGGAAACACCCUGCGUAGUAUCUACAAAGAGGUAGAAGCCGACGAUGGGCCACUUUCAACUGAUAAACGGUCGCAACGGAGUCAAAAUAAACAUAUCAUCGGCAUUUGUAUUUAUUAUACAAGGGCCGCCUUCCAUAAUCAUCGUUAUAAAGCCAUAAAUAUGCAUCAAUUUGACUUAAGAUUUUUGCCAAGCUGGGUUGCCUGGCUCCUGUGCUUACCCCUACGUUCCCGAUUGUUUGGCUAGGCGGUAAAGGGAGCACCUCUGUGAUUGUUACUACCGGGUCAUCCGAGUUAGUACCUCAGACUGGGUGAAGCCGAAAGGGAGCAAUCUUAAAAGAUCAUAUUGGUCGGCAACAACGACAGAUUUUGGUUCAUUAAUACCAUAGAGUUCGGGAACUUUCCCCGAACUAAAUCCUCAAUAUUUUCCUCCCACAUUGAUCGGAGGUGAGGUUUCAUGAUCAUGAUAAGCAUGACGACCCAAAGAAAGGAACCGAUAGCGGGACUAUUUUCCUUGAAAGAUGUUUCUUACAUUAAGUAAUAUAACAUAUCUCUCCACGUAACUUUGUUUAUAAAACCGUAUGACCAGAUUGCCUUGUUUCUCAUAAAUCUUUGCUCUCAUGAAUGCUUUAUAAAUAAGGACAAACACUCCCCGGCUGCUGGCCGAGGAGGUGGAAGCCGAUGGUCGGUCAACAAAGUUUUAUAUAAUGCGGACCCAAGCAUUAAUGAUGUAAAAUACUUGGAUACAUAGGAUCCUAAAUUGCCAGUAAAGUCGAUUUAUUGCAGCUCAUCUUUUAAAGACCAAGCGAGCAACUUACAUAAAUCUCUCCUAAAUCCCAAGUGGCAUCGAUUUCCUAUCUAUUAAGCCCCUUGGGGCCAACCUUGGCUAGCCCAGCUUUCGCUGGCUCUAGCUCCUUUAAGAGAUCUUUAUUCUCUUUUCGAGAAGUUUGUGUUAAACACAACAAAAUUUUCUGUCACACGAAUAUCGAUCCUUAAUUCAGCCACCUAUGCCCAUAUUAAGGCUCGGGGGCUACUGGGCUUCACGCUCAUUAUUUAUUUAGAUAUAUUAAAACUGAUCACCUUUCCAACCAUCUCAGGCCAUUAGCAUUCUUGGCCGUCGGAUCUUCAAUUCUAAGCUUUUUUGGCCGUCUAAUCAAACUCUUGAGCACUACUUCUGGCCGCUGGACCGGGCAGCUACUCUGAUAACUAAAUUGAAGGCAUGCAGUUAAUUGGCAGCUACUCCAGCGGGUGUUUAGCGAGGCAUUAAAGAUGCAUCAAUGGCGCAUGUGGGCGAUUGGAGCUGAUCAGGGGCACAUCGAUCCCUUGAUCUAGUGUUGCCACCCCACCAGUGUCUCGGGGGCUACUACGUUGCCUGUUCAAUGCAGAAAAUUCAAAGUGCUUAGUGUUCGGCUUGACCGAACUAUGGGCAAACGCGUCUUCGGACAACAAUAGGUACCAUCUGGACCUAUAUGGCGUCAAGCUAACAUAUUGCGGCAACUUCUCAAGACCCUCUCUCAAGGGCCCGUUCGCCGAUCACUAUUAUCUCUAAUAAUAUUACACUGCGUUUCUAUUCCUACGUAUGCUGCCGAGCUAGGAGUUAAUUCUCAGGCCGAUUUUGCAAAUCGACCUGAGUCUCAGGGGCUACCAGGAUCAACAGUUUUAUGUUUUCCUUCACGUGCACCUCGGGUUUAGACCGACACACACCUUGAGGGCUACCAGAUAUACAUAUACUGGCUAUAUACCUCGACAGAGAGUAAAUUGUACCAAUCAAAAAUAUAAACAAAAAUCGGCCCGCGGUCGGAGUGGUGCACCACCUCGGAAGCAGUCCGGCAUAAAGCUCGGGCUCCAGUGGCUGGCUCCAUAGAGGACAUUUCCGGCAUUAAGCUCGGCUGAAUUUGUUCAAUAUUUUAAAAGACCGAGGUAGUUUACGACACCUCAGACGCUGACCAUCGUUGGAGCUCAGAAGUGGUCCGGCUUAAAGCCCGGAUUCGAAUGGCUCGUUCCAUAGAGAACUUUUCAGCGUUAAACUCGGAUAACCUCCCUCAAACUUUUUCAAGCCAAGGUGAUCUAUGACACCUUGGAUAUAGUCCGGCGUUGGAGCUCGGAUAUAGUCCGGCGUUGGUGCUUGGCUGCAAAAGAUAUCUCAAAUGCAGUCCUGCGUUGGAGCUCGGAUGCAAGAGGACACUGCCGCACGGGAACAACUUCAAACCCGAGGUGUGGCGUAAAAAAUAAUCCUAAGGAAUUGAUAAAGGCCGAGAACUUAAAGGGGCUCCUCGGAUACCCGAUGUGUAAACCCUUCGGAUUCAUUUCGGCAAUCCUCAAGAUCAAAGACGAGAAGAUUUAUUGAACCAGUUUUCAACACCGACGACCGAAGAUUAAGAACAGUUUGAAAGGAUGGAGGAGCGUCCCCCACUUCAAGACCAGUUCAGGGGGCUACUGACGGUGUCCUGGACUAGGGGGUACUCAUCACAUCGUCUCCGGACCAGGUGGAUCGGGCCGAGGACCCCCAUGGCGGUUCACUCAUGGGCCACUUCGGGCAGCCCAUGUCGCAUACAAGGAGUAUUCCACAAGACUUAGUGAUCAAGACAAGGACUCCUCUCCACCAGCGUAUUCGGCUAGGACUGUUGUCAUCCUAGGCCUCUGGUGCAUUAUAUAAGCCAAGGCCAUGCUAGUCGAUAGAUCAUUAUGACAAUCAUACAAGAUAGACUUCUAGGGUUUAGCCAUUACGAUCUCGUGGUAGAUCAACUCUUGUAAUACUCAUAUUCAUCAAGAUCAAUCAAGAAGGAAGUAGGGUAUUACCUCCAUCGAGAGGGCCCGAACCUGGGUAAACAUCGUGUCCCCUGUCUCCUGUUACCAUCGACCUUUGACGCACAGUUCAGGACCCCCUACCCGAGAUCCGCCGGUUUUGACACAGACAGUUGCUAACCUUUGCGAACUUGGAUGGAUGGGGUGCCUUGAAAUCUUGACAAAUUUUGGUAAAAAUGGAGGUGAGCUUGAGAAAGAGGGGAAGAAAACAGAGAUGAGGGAAAAAACAGAGCGCUUCGGCUCGGGCUAGACAAAGCACUAUAUAUAGUGAUCUCUUUAGUCUCGGUUGAUUAUACAAACCGGACUAAAGGUGCACCUCUAGUCCUGGUUUGUGACACGAACCGGGACUAAAAGUGUUCGUGGGGCCCCAGCCUGACACCAGCCUGCCACCACCCCUUUAGUCCCUGUUCGUGUCAUGAACUGGUACUAGAGGUUCAACAUGAACCGGAACUAAUGAUGCCCACCCCACUAGCCGUUGGAACCGACACUAAUGGUCACAUUAGUACCGGUCCGUUUCCAAACCAGAAUUAAUGGGGCUCACGUAAAGUCAUUUUUCUACUUGUCUUGCUCCAUAUGUAGUCACUUGUUGAAAUCUCUAGAAAGACAAAUGUUUAGGAACAGAGGGAGUAGAAGCCGUCGGCCAAGGAGGGCCGAGCUCGAUCUCCCUUGGCCGGCGCGGUACCUACUUUGUGCUGGCGCUCCAUUUUCCCUUUUCGCGUGCGUCGAACGGCGACAAUGAAGAGGUAAGCCAAUUUAGCCGACUGCUGAGGGUCAUGUCUCCGAAUUUAUGGAGGGGUCAUGGCUUCGCGUGUGUUGGCCUCUGGAUAUCGGUCUCGAAUUCAUCACACGGAUGAAUGUCCAGACCAUCCAAACACCGGCAUUCGGGGCAAACAACGCCAAUGCCAAAUUCUUACUCAGAAUGUCAACAUCCAAAUGGCGCCUAAGGGUUUUUCUAGAUAUUUAGCAUAUAUAAUUCGUUCAAACUUUUUGAACUGCAAGUUCAUGAAAAUGCUCAAAAAUGGGCUGACAAUGUUAUUUGUGUUAAUGAAUCUAUGUUUAGACCUUAUCCAAUAUAAAUAAAAGACACCCAGACAUCAGGGUGCGAAAACACGACCCCAAACAUUGAGCUUAUUAGUUUUUUAAUUCCAGAAAAUGCAAAUAAAAUGUGAAAAAUAUGAAAACUGGCAUGGUGUCAUGAUAUGAUCCCUAGAUGUCGUAGUAAAAAUUUGAGUAGUUUUCACAGAAGUUAUGACAUACACUUCUUGGAAAUUGAAAAUCUCUCAGGAAGAAUCAUGGUUUUGAAAAGAAAUUGAUCGGGUUUGAAGGCAAAGUGUUAGUUGCUUUAUCAUUGGACCUUGAAACUUUUUCUACACUCAACAUACACCACCAUAUGCUACAUGCCGUAAUUUGGCAUUUUCAGGGUUUGUUUAUUUAAGUUAUUAAGUGAUUUUCUAGAAAAUCAAUGGAUAUAAUUCAAAUUUAAACUGCAAGUACAUGAAAAUGUUGCUAAAAAUGGGUUGAAAAAUUCUAUUUGUGUUAAUGAGUUUACUUUUAGACCUGAUCCAAUAAAAAGAAAAGGCAUCCCAAACAUCAUGCUGCCAAAACUCGACCCUAGACAUUGAGCUUGGCAUGGAGAAGAUCCUAAAGGUGGUGCUCCAUGAUUGUUUACAUGCACUCUCCAUUCUUACUAUCCUACUAUUCUGAAUGAUCUCUCGAAACAGGCUUGCAUACACUUUUAUUAAUAAAGCCACACUCUCCAUUCCUACUCUUCCGAUUGAUAUCUCCCUUUUGUCGUUUUUUUUGGAAAAAAGGUUUAAACCCUAUCUCUACAUCAAUCAAUGCAUACACCCAUCUUUAUUAAUUAUUCAACAAAGUUUUGACAAAAACAUGCAUCAAGCCACUUGAAGCCACCACUCACACCUAUAUCAAUGCCACCGGAAGCCAUCACUCUCACUCCCCAUAUCUAAAAUCGGUGUCGUCGCCGAUCCAUCCGCACAAUGUAUCGGAACGAAUAGCCGAUGCAGAAAACCUAAAGCGUACACCACUGCACACAUUUUAGAAGCCGCAAUUAUUAUCGAACCGCUGACUCAUCUUCAGAAAAGAGACCCGCAUCAUCCUUGCCAGUCCGGCCCUUCAUCUAUGCCACCACGGCGCCGAACAGCACCACCUCCGUACAAGCAAACUGCUGAGCACGUUGUGCUCGCCGUCGGUACACUGCAACACCAUGCUGCCAAGUACCACAGUCCCACACAGCUUGAAGUCUCUCGAAGAUCUCGUGCGUAUCACCUGCCGAACAGGCAUGACACGACGUAGCACCUAUUGCCAAGGAAUGACUUGACAUCUCCACUGAAGCUCCGUGCACGACGAAAUCGCUCCACCUCCUGCCUCUGUCUUCCAGGGCUACUCCACAAACGAUGCUCCCAAGAGAGAAACGACACCGUAGUGUCGCCAUCGUCCGAUUUGAAAGACCAGAUCCUAGGGUUUUCCCUUGAGCACCACGAGUGGGUCGACAUUAGUUACACGACGAUGCCUUCAUCAAGGUAACAACGUAGAACGCCGCCAUCACCCGCCGUCGGCUUGGUUUUCACCGGAAAGUAUGUCUCCCCGAUUCACAGCCGAGACUACAUGACGGGUCUCGUGAUCCGACCACCCAGCCUCAAGCCGACCACCUCCGACGGAAGAGACGACCAUCACCGCCAAGCCUAGGGUCGCUACCCCAGGUGCGCGUGAUGCAGAUCAAGACCAGGAGCGCCAGUCGCCACCUGCCGCCCGGAGAUUCGAUUUGCCAGCCGCCACCGUGCCACAUGAGACACGCAAACAAGGCAGAGAUCCACCACCGCCUUCGGCCACUGCCGCCGAAAGGGAAGCAGUAUACUCCGACCUGCGCCACUUGCCGGCCAGAUCCGGCCGCUGCCUCGAGCACGCCCCUCCCACCACGCACUACUAGGAAAAGGCCUACUAAUGGCGCACCAGUUUUGCCUACUAAUAGCGCAUCACUGGUGCGCCAUUACUAGCACGCCAUUAGUAAUUUUUACUAAUGGCGCACCACUGAUGCGCCAUUAGUAUCUGGUAUACUAAUGGCGCACCACUGGUGCGCCAUUAGUAUAGGCCACAGUGCUCCAUUAGUAUAGGCCACUGGUGCGCCAUUAGUAUAGGCCACGGUGCGCCAUUAGUAUUUUUGAAUUUUGAAGGCGGGAAAAUAGAAGUGGCGCACCAUCUAACCCCCACCGUGCGCCAUUGCUAUUUUUGAAUUUUGAAUUUGGAUCUGGAUCGUGAUUUUUUUGCCCAUUUUUUGCUAGUUUUUUUGCUCGUUUUUUGGCAUGAUAUUAUUUCAAAUUUUGUUCCUGUUUUUGGAUCUUGUACGUUCUUUUGCCGUGUUCUUUUGCCGGAGAGGAGUUCGCCGGAGAGGAGGAGGAGGAGGUGACCGGAGAGGCGCUCGCCUACAUCGCCAGAGAGGAGGAGGAGGUCGCCGGAGAGGAGUUCACCGAAGCAUCGGAGAGGAGGAAGGAGAAACCAUGAGGGAAUGGGAGGAGAGGAGGGAGGAGGAGCUCACCGGAGAGGAGGGAGGAGAAACCAUGAGGGGAGGGNNNNNNNNNNNNNNNNNNNNNNNNNNNNNNNNNNNNNNNNNNNNNNNNNNNNNNNNNNNNNNNNNNNNNNNNNNNNNNNNNNNNNNNNNNNNNNNNNNNNNNNNNNNNNNNNNNNNNNNNNNNNNNNNNNNNNNNNNNNNNNNNNNNNNNNNNNNNNNNNNNNNNNNNNNNNNNNNNNNNNNGGAGAAGGAGUGGAGGAGAGGAGAGGAGGAGAUGGAGUGGAGGAGAGGAGAGGAGGAGAUGGAGUGGAGGAGGUGCGCCCAGCCAUAUAUACGACAUAGUAAUGGCGCACCGUGGGCAGGUGCGCCAUUACAAACUUUUUUUUAUUUUUUUGACUUAUUUUAUAUUUUGAAGGCGGGAAGAUACUAAUGGCGCACCAUGGGCCGGUGCGCCAUUAGUAACUUUUUUUUUUGUUUUUUGACUUAUUUUGAAUUUUGAAGGCGGGAAGAUACUAAUGGCGCACCAUGGGCAGGUGCGCCAUUAGUAACUUUUUUUUAUUUUUUUGACUUAUUUUAAAUUUUGAAGGCGGGAAGAUACUAAUGGCGCACCAUGGGCAGGUGCGCCAUUAGUGAGUUUGAAUUUUUUUUUGAAUUUUUUUGCCUCUCCAGAUCUUAAAAGCCCUGUAUCUUUUUUUCUGUUAGGUUUUUGAGGAUUUUGAAAAUGUUUAACGGGGUUCCCCCAGUUAAAUUCGGAUGUAAUUUUUCGAGUAGAUGAUUUUUCAUAUAAAAAACUUUUUCAUCCGAGUUAGUAUGCAAAAGUUAUGCUCAUUUUUAUAAAUUCUCGAGAGAUUUUGCAAAUGAUGUCGAAAUUCAUAUUUGCAAAUUUUCCCAACAACUAGACCACAUAUCACAUGGNNNNNNNNNNNNNNNNNNNNNNNNNNNNNNNNNNNNNNNNNNNNNNNNNNNNNNNNNNNNNNNNNNNNNNNNNNNNNNNNNNNNNNNNNNNNNNNNNNNNNNNNNNNNNNNNNNNNNNNNNNNNNNNNNNNNNNNNNNNNNNNNNNNNNNNNNNNNNNNNNNNNNNNNNNNNNNNNNNNNNNNNNNNNNNNNNNNNNNNNNNNNNNNNNNNNNNNNNNNNNNNNNNNNNNNNNNNNNNNNNNNNNNNNNNNNNNNNNNNNNNNNNNNNNNNNNNNNNNNNNNNNNNNNNNNNNNNNNNNNNNNNNNNNNNNNNNNNNNNNNNNNNNNNNNNNNNNNNNNNNNNNNNNNNNNNNNNNNNNNNNNNNNNNNNNNNNNNNNNNNNNNNNNNNNNNNNNNNNNNNNNNNNNNNNNNNNNNNNNNNNNNNNNNNNNNNNNNNNNNNNNNNNNNNNNNNNNNNNNNNNNNNNNNNNNNNNNNNNNNNNNNNNNNNNNNNNNNNNNNNNNNNNNNNNNNNNNNNNNNNNNNNNNNNNNNNNNNNNNNNNNNNNNNNNNNNNNNNNNNNNNNNNNNNNNNNNNNNNNNNNNNNNNNNNNNNNNNNNNNNNNNNNNNNNNNNNNNNNNNNNNNNNNNNNNNNNNNNNNNNNNNNNNNNNNNNNNNNNNNNNNNNNNNNNNNNNNNNNNNNNNNNNNNNNNNNNNNNNNNNNNNNNNNNNNNNNNNNNNNNNNNNNNNNNNNNNNNNNNNNNNNNNNNNNNNNNNNNNNNNNNNNNNNNNNNNNNNNNNNNNNNNNNNNNNNNNNNNNNNNNNNNNNNNNNNNNNNNNNNNNNNNNNNNNNNNNNNNNNNNNNNNNNNNNNNNNNNNNNNNNNNNNNNNNNNNNNNNNNNNNNNNNNNNNNNNNNNNNNNNNNNNNNNNNNNNNNNNNCGAGGGUCCAAUGUAGGUUGAGGUUGAGACGCAAAUAGUUGGGAGAUCGGUUUUUUCUAUGAUUUACUUCCAAAUGAUAUGGUCGUAACUGGUCAUAUACAUGUCUAUGAGUUGAGCUCCAUAUGUCCAAGUUUUAUGUCUUUCCAUAAACAACGCUCCUCUGUUCUAAUAUACUUUACCUUAUAGACCGUUAUGAUGUUGCAAGAAACCCGAAUGCUGAAACUAAUGUAUGGCAUCAGCUUGGCGUACUUGGUACCACCCAGGAUUUAUAUCAGACUUUUCGGUGCCAGCUAUCAAGGGUAUCAAUAGGUGCUGAUCAAUGUUGUGUUGUGUUGCUAUUGGGCUCCCUUUCUUUAAAGUAUUGCCCUUUUUUAAUACAUCUAUAAUUAACUCGUCUGGUUUCUGUAGUUGUUCUUAAUUUUCAAAUUAUGAGCUUUUCAUUUGUAUGAGUGAUAAUUAGAAGAUUAUUGAGGUCUAUUAUGGCCUUACCAAACAUCAAAUUAAUCACCAUUAGUUGUAUGCCCAUGCUUUGCCGCCGAAAAACAAGGAGACGUGUAAAUUUGAAAAAUUUAUUGAAAGGUCAUACAUACAUUGCAUAAAUGUGUAGCUUCCCCGACUACAUUGUCCUCUUUCCUGCCCCCUCUCUGGCAACCAUCACAUGUUAAGUAACAUGAUUGUAUUAGGAAACAUAGAUUAGACCAGGAAUUAUUCUGGCUUGCCUUGUACUCCAAGUAGAUUAUGUACUCCUAUAUAUAUGCCCACGAGGCUCAAGCAAUACAAAGGACUAUUCCACCAAUCCUCUCUCUCCUCUUCUAACAUGGUAUCUAUCGCAAGUCGAUCCUAAACCCUAGCCGCCACCGCUUCUGCACCUGCCCGCCGCCCCCGGGGCGGUCGGCCUCCAUGACCGCCGCCGGGGGCCGCGCCGCCCGUACCUAGGGUUCGUCCGCGGGUCGUGUUGACCGGCUGCCCUAGAGAGUCUUUUUCCCGAGCCCUUGCUCCAGAUUUUUUUCGCUCUCUCGCCGGUCGUUUUGAUCGGCGUUUUUCUUUUUGGUUUUCCGAUCUAUGCUUGAUCGGUAUGCGUCGCCCGCCGCCGCCGUCGACACCGAGCGCCUCUACUUCGACCCCGGCGCGACCAGCCGGCCUCUCCUCCGACCAGGCAGCCACGCGCGACGAGGUGGCCCGUCAGGACCAGCCGUCGUGCGGGCGUCGGUCCACCCGUCGCCCUGCGCCGGCUGUCACCGCCCUGCUUCGACCGGGACACCUGCAUCGCCCCGACCCGGUGGCCACGCGCCACGCGAUGGCCAAUCAUGCAUAGUCGUCGCUCGCGUGCCGGUCCGCCCAUCGAUCCACAUCACCCGCCUUCGCCGCUCUGCACGGCGGCCCGGCGGUCUACCUCGCCGGCCUCGUCCUCGGCUGCGUCAGGCUUGUCGGCUGCCCUCAACUCGGGCACCGCUGCUCCGUUGGUCGCUCGGGCCUUGCUGCUCGGGCGCCGGUGUUGCUUUGGCAGCCCGGGUGCCGGUGCUGACAAGCUCGUCCGCACGACGUCUCACGCCGUCUGUCGUCACCGAUUUCAUCUCGGACUCCGCCGCCACCACGCCUCCACCGGGCGGCGUCCCCGACCUCGCGCGCGAUCGGCUUGAUCACCCGCUCGCCGCCGCGAUCCGCCUCCUCUACGCCGCGCAACCGACCUAGCCCAUUGGUGACGCGCGCCUCCGCAGGUCCCGUGAAGAUCGUCCUGAGUACCGCGCGCCUCUCCACCGAUCGAGUAUCGGGCUGCCGCUGCGUCGCCCCGUCGGGCCGCAGCGCCGCCGCCCCGUGGUUCUCCUCGUGGCUGCAUCGACUUGUGUGUCGCUGAUGCGUCGCCCCUUCGGGCCAUAGUGCCGCGAUACGCGGUCCCCGCCGCCGCCCCGAGGCCAUCCCCGCGGUUGCACCGACUCGCGAAUCGCCGUUGCGUCGCCCCUUCGGGCCGCAGCAUCGCGGCCCACGGUCCCUGCCGCCGCCCCGAGGUCUUCCCGCCGUCGCCCCGACCCGCCUGCCGUCGCUGCGUCGCCCCUUCGGGCCGUAGCGCUGUGGCCCGCGGUCCACUCCGCCAUCACCGCGCGUCGACCUCCCGUGGUAUGCGCCGCGCCUUCUCCCUUGGCGCGGGAACGCCACCGUCCGCGCCGGUCUUUGUCACGCUGUCAGGGUUCUUCACCUACUUCGAGCACCGCCGCCGCACUCCUAACCUAGCCGCUGCCACCGUCAGGCCGCCGCCGCCGCUCUUCUUUGGCCACUGCCGCCGCUACCUUAGUAGCCGCCGUCGCCGCCCGUCCACCCCCUUCGUCUUCGUCCAAGCACCAGCCUGUCGCCAGCGUCGCCGUCAUCUACGCCGACCACUUUGUCUACUCCGACCACCGUUGGUGCCAUCGGCCCCGCGCCGAAGGACGCCGCAAUCGUCGUCGAGUUCUUCUCUGUUGGCCCCUCCGACUUCUUCGACAUGGCGUAUAGCUCGUGCAGGUCCCUCGUCUACGCAUGCCCGAUGCUGACAACACCGAUGCGUGCCUUCAUCCACGACGUGUCCCCGGGCCUGGCAAGCAUGGUCGGCGCUUCGUCAACUUCGUCUUCAUCCGUCUACGCAUGCCCGGUGCUGGCAACAUCGAUGCGUGCCUUCGUCCAUGAUGUGUCCCGGGCUUGGCAAACCCGCUGCGAUGCGUCGUCAACAACAUUUUCUUCCCGGUGCACCCCUACUCCGACACCACUGCGCCCAUGCUAAUCAGGCGCCCCCUUGCACCCGCGGCUCCACGGCGACUUCCUCGACACCGGCUACCCCGACUCGACAUCAACCACGGCAUUCUUCACACGGCUACCUCGACCACGGCUUCACCACCCACGCUCUCGGCUACAUCGACAAACGGCACAAAGGGCUACCGUCUGCUUGAGCAUCCUCGUCCGUUUUCACUCCAGCCACGACUCCGCGAUCCAUCGACCGUUACGACUGUGGGGGGUGUCCGUCGGCUUGCCUUCGAAUUAUUCUCCAGUCUCACCGUCUGCGUCACUACCGUUGUGACUGCGGGGGGGAUGUUGAGUAACGUGAUUGUAUUAGGAAACAUAGGUUAGACUAGGAAUUAUUCUGGCUUGCCUUGUACUCCAAGUAAAACAUGUACUCCUAUAUAUAUGCCCACUGAGGCUCAAACAAUACAAGGGACUAUUGCACCAAUCCUCUCUCUCCUUUUCAACAUCACACACCUCUUUAUUUCCCAUUCUCCUUUCCAUGUGUUCCUCUAUUCUCAUCCUGACCCCUUCUCCUCCAUCUCUGCUCGCCCCUUAACCUUAUCUUUGUGUGUUAGGCUUCACCGUUGUCUUCUCAACUCUGAUAAAUCCAAGUGAAUACUUGGAAACCCAUAGCUUUUGUCUCAAGAGGCUGACACAAUGUAUAAAACCCAUCACCUCGAUGUGGAUAAUGAAGGAGACAACUAAGACGGCAGCCACCACAUGCCACCAUCGUCUCUAGUUCCAUAUUUGUGGACACGUCCCGUUGUCCGCUUUGUCGAAGUCUCCGCCUCUGACUCACUCGAGGGUAAUAUCUCACGGCCGGUAUGCUCACGUGCAAGAGAACAUCUUAGUGUGGAUUUUUUUCGAAAAGGAGGAUGACCCCUGCCUCUGCAUCUGAGAGAUGCAUACAACCAUUUUAUUGAUUAUUCUCGAGGACCUUACAAAGUAUAACAACAAUAUGCCUGAAACCGCCAUCUUGACAGCAUCUGCCGCUACACCUAUCCAAAUAAUGAAGGGGUACAAGCUGGACCACAUACCCAUACCUCUCACUAAGCCUAACAUCUAAAGCCGGAGGCCCGACCGAGCCAUCUGCCGGGUCCGGGGCUCAAACCGGUCUGACGCACUCACAUGUGUUGUCGCCGCCAUCUUCCACUAGUCCAUCUUCAGAGCAGAUUGAGGUAACAACCUUGGCAGGUCCUCCGCCAUCAACGCCACCAUGACGCCAAACGACGACCUUCACCUACGCGAGCCUUGGCAGGUCCUCCUCCAUUGACACCACCACGACGCCAACCGACGACCUCCACCUACGCGAGUCCAUCUCCAAGCAACGGACGUAAAUCCAUGCUAGGAAAGGGCCACACCACCGCCGUCACCCACCACCCACAAGUGCCACCCAACCCCAAGGUUCCCAAAGCAGUGCCUUCAAGAAGGCAAUGGCGCCGUGAGCGCCGCCUGCGCCCAACAGAGUUAGGGCUUUAGCCUGGGAGACCUAGGGGAAGGUGAAAUGAGGAGAUCAGUCCAUGCCGACGCCUCCAAGGAGGGAAACGGCGCCCUCAGGCAUCGCCAUCGGCGCGGCCGGUCAUGGCCGGCCAGGAAUUUCGCCCGAACUAGAUUUCCGCCACCAGCAGCACCUCUUGUGCAAAACCGGCGAACAAGAGGAAGCGCGGCCCGACCAAGCUGGCCCGCAUGCCGAAUAGGGGAGGAAGGGAGGCGCCAGAUCGCGCACACCGACCGCCGCAGAAGCCGCCGCCGACCACCAACGACUACCAGAUCCCGCCGCCAGCGCGGCCGGGACACCGGAUCCACCACCCGCAUAGCUGUUAGCCGGGCGUGCCUUGCCAAUGGAGCCGCUGCUCCAGAUCCGGCGUUCCCCACAUGUGAACAGGGCAACUGAGGCCCCACCGACACCAUCGUUGGCGCCCCAAACUUGCCCGACGGCUGCCUCAGGUGGCGGUGAGGGAGGAAGGAGGGGAUGGGUGGGGAGGAGGAGGCGGCUAGGGUUCCUUAGUGUGGAUCCUACACUUGUAUGUCAAAUACUCCCUCCAUUACAUACUAGUUUCGCUCAAAAGGAGUCCUAAUCCUACUACUACUAUAGGUGCAUAAUCAGAAUCUGACUAGGAUACACCACUACACGUCAUGUUUAUUCCUACAUUCACCCUCUAAACAUGACGUCCUCGGUGCGACUAGAUCCCAAAUACGAUGACUACUACUCAUAGGCGUCACCGUCGGCACUGCCUUCAUCGUUCCUCGCAACAUUUUAGGGACCAACUUUACUGCCGAUAGCUCAUCCAUUGCUUGACGGCAACACUCUCCUUUGAUCACAUUUUCAAACUUCACCUGUUCUUCGGUGCUUGAUAGACUGUCUUUCCUAUCUUCGAGCGUGACCAAACUUCGGUCUAACUUUGAGUUCCAAGCUCUUGGCGCUUGCUUCAGCCCGUAAAGUGCCUUCUUGAGCUUGUAAACUUUCCCUUGUUUGCCUUUCUUCUCGUAGAAGAGGGGUUGUUCCAGGUACAAUUCUUCUAUGAGCUCACCAUUGAGAAAAGCGGAUUUAACAUCCAUAUGAUGAACUUUCCAAUCCUUUUGUGCUGCCAAAGCUACGAGCACUCUCACCGUCUCAAUUCGAGCAACUGGUGCAAACACCUCCUCAUAGUCAACUCCUUGACGUUGUACGUAGCCCUUUGCAACGAGUCUUGCCUUGUACUUCACAUAAACUCUCUGCCGCGAUCUGUUCGUAGAGCGCGAACCUUCACCUUGUGUUCCAUCUCCGUUGCAGCCUUUAGCUUCUUGAACGCUUCAAAUGCCUCAUCUUUAGAUCGUAGGAGAACAACCCACAGGUAUCUUGAGUAGUCAUCUACUACAAGGAAGAAGUACUUCUUUCCUCCGUGAGUUGCUGGGGUGAUAGCUAGGACCACAUAGAUCGCCAUGGAUCAGCUCGAGUGCAUCACUUGCACGCUAGGUAGACUGAACAGGGAACGGCCGGCGGUGUUGUUUUCCAAUCAAGCACCCGUCACAUACUCGAUAAACAUGGUCAAUAAACGGCAUCCCAGAUACCAUCUCCAUCUUUGACAUCUUAAAGGCGUAGAAGUUAACGUGUCCAAAUCUAGCAUGUCAUAACCAUGAAUCAUCAUCACUCUUGGCGAGCCAACACUCCGGUUGAGAUUGAUCAAGGUUGAGGAUAUAAAGCCUGUUCCGCGUGCGAUUCACACGGGCUAGCACGUUUCAGAGGUUGUCAAAGAUCGUCAUCACUCCGUUCUCAAUAUCCACGUUGCAUCCAUUCUCAUCAAAUUUCCCGACAAAGAUGAUGUUGUUGCGAAGUCAUGGGAUAUAGUACACUCCGAUGAGUAUGCGAUGUUCUCCCGUGAGACCCUCGAAGAGGACAGAAUCUUGCCUGCAAAUCUCCACAUUUGAAUCAUCACCGAACUUGACCGAGCCUUGAACAUCAUAUUCUAGCUCGAGGAAUUCUCCUUGCACCCUGUCAUAUGGUUACGGGCACCCGUGUCUAGAUACCACGACACAUUUUGGCUACCGGAUAACUUUGGUGUUACUUUUUUCUCAUGAAGUAGCACCUUCCGGGUUGGUUUCACAACCACCAUAUCAUAAACUUCGGCCAUUAGAAGACCUGGACGUUCGUAUUCCUGCUUCGCCAAAUUUGCCUUGAUCUCCCGCUUGUUAGGCUCCGGAUAAUCCUUCGCAAAGUGACCCAUCUCAAAGCAGUUAUAGCACUUGAGCUCGGACAUAUCCAAGUUGCGUGGCUUCCGCUCUUUAGACCGGUCCGCCUUACCACGACCUUGUGGCUUGCCUUUUCCUUUGCCUUUUCCGGUUUGUCCGCCGCUCUUCGCGUUGCUUGAUCCUUCGCCAACGUUGUGCCUUCCUUUGCUACUUGGAGACCCCUAAUCUGCGACGAGUAGAUGAGUUGGUCACUACCUCCUCCUUUGCCUUUCUGACAACCAUGAUCAUUCUAUUCCCAUGUCCGCAAGCAUCCGAUCGCCUCCGUUAUGGUCAUGUCGUCGAUGUCGUAAAGCUGAUCGAGCGUGCCGAUCAUGUACGUGAAUUUAUCAGUCACCAAACUAAAAAACUUCUCCACAAUCUCGGCCUCCUCGAGCUUUGCACCGAGCGCGCGGAUCUCUCCCACCAAAGUAGUCAGACACAUGGCAUAGUCAUUCACCAAUUCAGUUUCCUCCAUCUGCAACUUGUGAAAUUGACGCUUCAGCACUUGUGCCCGAACCUUCGUGACGUGAUCUUGUCCCCUCAUCCCAUUGAUUGCGUUCCGCACCUCUCUUUCUGUCUCGAACUCCGCCAAUGUCAUCAGCACGGAAUCCGGCACAGGCUGAGCUAUGGCGGCCAUGGCACCAUCGUCACACUCCUUGUUGACGUCGUCGUCCGUGAUGGCCUCCCACACUUAAAGGGUUCGGAGAAUAAUCUUCAUCUUUACCGUUCACACGCCGUAGUUGGCGUCUGUAAGCAUCGGACUGGAUGGGGAUGUUGUGAUGAGCCAGUACGUUGGCGUCGCCGGCUCCGCCACUACUGGUUGCUGACUUGCCUCCCUUCUUAACCUUGUCGCCGUUCUUAUUCGCUUUGGAACCACCGUUGUCGGACUUGACCGACUCAGCAUGGCUGUCCCCAUCAUAGAUCGUAGAUCGUCAAGGCUCUAGAUACUAAUUGUUGGCUUCUGAACUGUAGUUCAACUCACCCGGGAACUACACGUACGACGUGCAAAGCUAGCUAGCUAGAAACCAAGCAGGAAAGCUGCUGGAUCGCGUCUAGCCGGCGACUUGCGUCUACGUAUGCCAUGCCAUAGCUUCUGUACGUGAGUGAGCUAGCGAUCAAUUCACGGCGGCGGAACUCGUGUGUAACGUGGCGAUGGGUGGAAAACACAGAUCGGUAUGAUGGCCAAAGGCUCGUAUCGAGCCUUGCUCUUACUUUGUAUUUCGUUGCUCUUUUUCGUUGGUGAUUACAGGUGCUAUAUGUGAGUAUAUACUACUCACUCCGUUUCAAAAUAAAUGUUUUGAGCUUAGUACAAUUUUGUAUUAGAGCUAGCACAAAGUUAAGACACGUAUUUUGGGACGGAGGGAGUACUAUUAUAGGUGCCUAAUCAGAGUCUGACGAGGAUACACCACUACACGUCAUGUUUAUUCCUACAACAAUUGGCGUGCUGUAUGCUAAAAAAAAACCAAUUGGCGUGCUGCACGUCUGAUCCGUAAUGGAUUGGAUACUUGACAAGGACCCGAGUGACGGUGACUGCGGGUCUGGCCUGAUCUCCGCCACCCCUGAACGCCGACGGGGAGCACGCCAUCGCCAUGAAGUGGACGGCAGCCCUCCGCUCGCCGCCUGUCUACACCGGCUGACGUGUUUUUGGGCACCCCGCACGGAUGGGGUCUGUACAAUCUGCUGAUCAAAGUACAGUAUGAUGCAUGCAUGGACGUGUCCAAAACUAUACCGGUCACUUGAAUUCUGAUGAAUAUAUGCUGUAAUUAUCUCAGAACAAGUGAAUUGCCGGAUGAAUUCUAUUUAGUUCAACUCUGCAACUGGUAGCAACUGACCGAUUCCCGUAAAAUAUUGGCCACAUCUUUUCUAACCUUCACCGUAGAUCUGUGCUUACCCAAGGCAAUCUCCUCUUAUCUUUUUUUCUCGAAUACGCACGAGUGUGCGUACUAUAUUAUAAAGAAGGGAUCGGGGUAAAGAGCCCGUCCACGUUAGUGUUACAGAUUACAUAUUUACACUGAACACUAACUCCACACUCCACCUAUCUCUCCUAAGUCUACGUACUCUCCCCUGCCCACUCCUCCACCUCGGCAAAGAAGGCGUCCAUGUCUCCUCACAGUAUGCCCGCUUGUUUCCAUAUACGGCCCUCUCGGAUGACUGCCUGGAUGAUCCGGUUCUUCGAGGGUGUGGCUCCGUCAAAGACGAUCGAGUUGCGAUGCUUCCAAAUCUGCCAUAGUCCUAGAAUGAUGAUUGCGUUAGCAUCCCUCUCAGCAGGCCUUCUUCCUCCCUUGUCUUGACACCACGCCCCGAGGUUUUCCCUUGCAGAAGGUAUCCACUCCGGCCUUCGCAAAGGGUGACAGAUCGCCGUCCACACUUCCCGUGCGACAACACACUCAAGGAGGACGUGAUUUAUGCUCUCCUCUUCUUGGCUGCACAUAGGGCAGUACUUUUGAUGGUCCAGUCCACGCCUAGCUAGCCGGUCGGAUGUCCAGCACCUGUCCUGGAUUGCAAGCCACGUGAAGAAACGGCAUGGCGCCGGUGCCCUUGAUUUCCAAGUGAAAGCGGCCGUGGGAACGACCUGCCUGCCCCAGAACUUGGCCGCAUAGGCGCUCCGCACUGAGAAACAUCUGCUAGCCUCCCAUGUCCAAGAGAUGGCAUCAUUUUGUGCUGGGUCCAGCUCAACUCGUUGGAUCAUCGUCCACAAUUGCAGGUAUUCACGCAACGAUUCAGCAGUGACCUCUGGGCUCACCUGGGUGACCCAGUUGUCGUUCAGGAGCGCCUGGGAGACGGUGCAUGUCCUUCUUAUUUUCCUCUUGACUCGCUCGCAGGCCAAGGGUGCGAUCUCUCCGAUCCUGUGGCCUUCAAGCCAUCUAUCUUCCCAAAAGAGCGCCGUAUUUCCAUCCCCUAGGGUCCAGCGAGCAGCCGCGUUGAAUAUCUGUGUUGAGGUUUUUGGCACCGUGAUGUCAAACUCCGCCCAUGGCCUUGUUGCAUCCGAUCGCUGUAACCAGGGCCAUCUUGCUUGCACCGCCUUGUUCAUCCAUCCUAGGUUGGGGAUGCCUAGUCCACCUGCCCACUUCGGGGCGCAGACCGAAUCCCAAGCGACCGCGCAGCUGCCACCGGACGAAUUCGCCUCCGCGCACCAAAGAAAACUGCGUCAUAUUCUGUUCAUUGCUGAGAUUGUCUUCUACGGGAGGCCAAGUGCCAUUAUCGCAUGUAGCGGUAUUGCACACAGCACGGACUGUACAAGGAGCAUUCUUCCACUCUUUGGCAUCUUCGCAGCUUUCCACUUUGGCAACGCCAUGGCAAGUUGAUCCACAAGGCCUGAUAGUUGAACAUGGGACUAUUUUCUGAGGGUGAGCGGCAAUCCAAGGUACUUGCACGGGAAGCUACCUCUCGGACAUCUCCUCUUAUCUUAUUUAAUGGUAACGGACUAGAGUCAAACGAAUUACAAUUUCCAAUUAUGCUAUAGGCUAUAGCAUUGCCCUAGGUUUAGGGUAGAAUAAUAGACUAGAGUCUAUCGAAUUUCAGUCGGCACACAACAACAAAAACCAAGUUCCAAUUUCUGUCAGGCUUGUGUAACCAUUAGAUAUGUGAAUAAAAGUACAACAUGAGCUAUCAUUAUUUUUAACUGCACGAUGUACUAUGUUAGAGGGCAAUCUUGAAUUUGUAGUGAACGGUUUGUUUUAGAAAACCAGGCACAGAAGGUCACAUGCACGCACAUGCACUUACUUCUAUGAACACACAUACAUGUACACCCUAUAAGCAUAUCCGAGAGAGCGUGUCGGCGAGUCUUGUGAUUGAUUGAGUCACCAUAGGAGCCUCGCUAUCGAUUGAAAGAAUAUUUGGUCUCAAAUGAGACUCACAUGUAUGGAACUUGAGGUAUGAUCCGUGAUGGGCUUGACUACAACUACCAUCCUAACUAUUGAACCACCCGUUGGUUCUCAAUUUACAUUACACAGAUGAAUGGUAAUUAACUUGUAGUACUAUUGCAACGAACAGGUUCCUCGCAUAGAAAUAGGGUACACAAGAAUACAAUCACACACAAAAAGAUCUAUUCCAUCCCCUCCGGUAAUGGCGGAUAGGUUGAAGCUUUGUCCCCUCCAUGCUACGCAACGAGAGACCGCGCACUUGCCUCCCAUCUGUCUGGCGCUCCAGUGCCCGGCGGCGGCGAGGGGAGUCUUAGUGAUUCUUUGGGCAGUAGUUUAGGAUAGGUUUCUUAGUCAUCAUAGGGACGACACCUUGGUAAGUGGCCACACUUCAUCUUCGAACUGGUUUUUCAUGUUUCGAUCCUCCUCGAGUUCGUCCGUCGAGACCGAAUCCAGCGCUCUGACGUAGAUUCCUACUAUCUCCUUGUGGCGGUGAGGUUAGGGUUUAUCACUGUGCAUCCAAGAUGGUAAGAUUUGGUGUUAGGCGAUUCAGAUCAAUUUCAACAGUUCAAUGACAACGACAAUAACUCUGAAGCGUUGGCCUUAGGGCUAAGUGCUCGAAGACUUCCUAGUUGUGGUCGACAAGAUUAAGUCAGCUCCAGUAAAGGAGCAGCGACUGCGAUGCGUCGACAACUCUUUCUUGCGGCGGUAGUGAUUUUUCAAUGGCCUUGGGAUCUCGAUGUAAUCUACUAUAUCACUAUGCUCUCUAGGGGUAAAAGGCCUCACAAUCAAUUGAGGUGUCCAAUUGGAAUUGGAUCACCCAAUUUCAACCAAGUCAAUAAUUCUCAAAGCUCUCAUUAAAUUCUGUUAUACUAUACACUAUGCUUCCUGAUUUUUGAGUCAUCACAAUUAACUGAGGUCUUCAAUUUAGAACUUGGUCACCUGAUUUUGACCGGGUCAAUAAUUUCUCAAGGAGCUCUCCCAUUUAAUUAUUUUAUUUCACCAUAUUUCCUAAUUUUGAAGCUCUUUUAUUCGAUUGAGAUAUUCAAUUUUGAAUUUGGUUUACAAUUUUGGUCGGACCAACGAUUUUUCAAAUCAAUCAACACCAAUCGGCUAGAAAAACAUAUCAACCCCGUGCACCCUCUUACCACAUAGAAAAAAGAGACGCCGCCAUAUGAUGAUACGGUAGCACCAAUAUAGUACAUGUAGGCACCGACGCAAAAAUAUACCCACAAAAGUAUGAGUUGAUUACUACAUAACACAGAAUCACACCAUGAAAGACCCACAAAUAACCGCAUUAUAAAUAAAUAUAAAACACACUCCAUCAUCUUCCCCAUCCGCCAAAUUAAAUAUUCCAUCAGUUCCAAAAUACAAGAGGUAUUAGUUCUUUGGAAAGUCAAAUUUCUUUAACUUUGACCAAGUUUAGAGCCAAAAAUAUCGACAUCCACAAUAUUAAGCCAAUUUCUUUUGAAAAUUCAUUUCAUGAUGAAUCUAAUAACUCUAAUUUGAUAUUACGAAUUUUGAUAUAUAUUUUCAUACAUGUGAUCAAACUUAAAAAGGUUGGACUUUUCAAAAAAGUAAUACACCUUAUAUUUUAAAACAGAAUGAAUGACUUUUUAAAAGAUUCCCAACAACACCAAUGGUGCAGCAAAGCGUGCCCAACCCUUCUAGUUCCCAUUAUGUUUUGGACACUUCAUUCUUCUGGUGAACCUUUAUAAUAGAUCCGGGUCCCUUUCACAACAAAAGAAAAAGAAAAUUGAACAUGCUCUUCAAUGAUCUUAACCUUAUGUAGUUUCGGUGUCCCAAUUUGAUUGCUAGAAAAAUAAGUUUUUAUAUCUUUAUUUCAUGCCCAACCAGGCACCACAUAUUAUUUGGUAAUUUAUUAUAGCGCUGUGGCAUUUUCCCAGAAUUUUCCUAUUAGUUGAUGGAACUAGUCGGCGUAAGAAAAGACGACGUAGUCCUUGCGUGCACCAGCCCUGUCACAAUCCGCCAUCUCUUCCGAGCCUAUCCACAUCACCCACAUCAUGUAGGUUGGCGUACAUGAGAUGCCACACGAGCGCCACAGUGCAUCGUAUCUUUUGAUGCCCGCAUAAUAAAAUAUUUCCAGUAUUCUUUGUGUUCCCUCUUUCUCUAUGCAAUGGAACUGUGGCCGCACGGGAUCACUGAGCUAGCCAUAUGUGACAAGAGCCGUAUCUGUGCUUGCAUAAGAGCUAGUCCAGUAGUCGCCAUAGCAGCCCCGCAUAUGCAUACAGAGCAUUUCAUAUGCAUUAUGGAGGCCGUUCAGACAAGACGAAAGUCAGUCUUUUACAAGGGCUGCAUUCGUAUUGUAGGACCUCUAGUCAGUGGCAUGUUCUUUUUUCCUCCAAUCUUCAAUACACAUUUAGUUAAAUGAAUAACAUGUUAAAUCCGAGCACGACGGCGAGGGCUUGGAUGACCACGGGCACGAAGGUGAGGGCGAGGACGAUUCUGUUGGGUAUUGAUUUCGGUGGCGAUAGUGGCAACUUGAUUCCAGCAGUGGUGACUCGAUUCCGACGGUGAUACUCAAACUGUGGAUGCCUGUCAUAAUGCUUUUCACAAUUUCAAGCAUCGCCAUUGAUUUCACGAAUUCACAGCUAGAGCACACAUACAUAGCACAUGAUGACAAACUGCUCGUCCACAUGCACAGAUCCACCCAAUGAUAAAAAUUAUACUAAACAUUUUGGGGACACAUAAGAAAACAAUUAAUGAAAUCGUUGUAUGUCCCAUGAAAUUGUGAGUAUAAGUUUUGACAUCGCUUCACGGUGAUCCCACUCAUACCCGAGAUCAUCACCAGUCUGUCGGCGUGAUAGUGGAGGUUGUGGAUGGCUAGAAGGAAAGUGUAGGCUACGGGCGCCGAGAAGGCAAGUGGAACUUGUGGAUCUUUUCAUAGCUGCGUCUCACACCACCCUGAAGACCAAGGCGGAUCGGCUGUUCAGAGUCUUCACCAAUUUGACCAGGGCCAAGAAGCUACUCCCUCCAUUUUUAUAUAUAAGGUCACUGUCAGAAUUACAAUUUUCAGCUAUAUUAGGUCACUAACAGUAAUCGAGACAAAAUUGAUGGUGUUUGUCUCGUACUAGCAACCAAGGGCAAUAAUAUCCCUUGCAUGCAUGUAGGAAUAAGAAGUUUGGUUUGAAUGCGCUGCAUUAAUCAACCAAUGAGGAGUGAGAUGGUUGUCUUGUUGUGAGUUGAACAGAAAAAUACACAUUAAUUGAUACACCAAAAAAGGAGGAAAGCUAGAUUUCAACAAUGGAUAAAACCGACAUUAAUGUUUACCUUAGUACCUGUAAUAUGAGUUUGCGGCGUUGUAUACAAAAAUGGAAGAAAUAUUAUAGUUGGACCAGCUAGUAACCUUCGGCCUGAAGGAAGCCAUUAAGACAGACGAGAAACUAAGGUCCUGUUUGGUCCAUAAGUCCUAGGAUUUUUUUGAGUCUCAACUAAAAAGUCGCUAGUCCCUAAAAAGUUCCUAUCUGUUUGGUUUCUAGGACUAAACAUAGACUAAAAGACCAUGUUACAACUAAAAAUCCCAAAAAGACUCUUCCUCAGGGUCUUCUUUCAUAAGUUCCAAAUGCCCAUUCUAAGUCCCUAUAAAUCCCUUAUGCUUGGUUUAGAUGGGACUAAAAGGGACUUUUUCAAGUCCCUACAUCAAUAAGUCCAUGUAAACAAACACCCCCUAAGGAGGCGACAGGACGGAGAUCCAGACGGUGAUGCGUGAGCUCGAGAAAAGGGACGAUCUACUCAAGAGUGAAGAGCGCGAAGGAGGUGAUGCAGGACAUGUUCUCAGUCCUUUGGCCCAACGAGCUACGAGCAUCUUUGCCCUUGUCAGCACAAUGAAGCAGGGGCAGUGAGGUUGGGAUUUUUCGUUCCGCAUGCAAGACGAAAAGAUUGCGAUGAUUACAUGCCGUCAACAGCUCGCUCUUGUGACUAUAGUGGUCGUUCAGUGGUUCAAGGAUCUGAUUAUAAUUCUUCAUUAUGGUGAUGUUGAACAUGUAUAUAUGUAUGUAGGUCCGGGUUUUGUAUGAUGCAUCUGUAGUGUCUCUCUCCCCCUUAAUCUACUUGUAUCUUGGAAGACAAGACACCGGUCGCACCCCUUGUACUUAUAUAUGUGCUUAGUGCACGAUCAAUGAGAAUAUCGAUGCACACAAUCCCUCUUUCCCAAACUUACAUGGUUUCAGAUACCGUAUCGAUCCUUUCUUAAUCGCUUCCGCAACCCUAGCCGCCACCAUCUGCUGUUGCCGCCGCUACCACCUCCCCAUGCCCUGCCCCCCUUCCCGCAGCCGCGCCCUCCACCAGCCAUCGUGCCGCCGCCACCCCUUCUCCAACCCUAGCCGCCACCUCCACCCUAGCCGCCUCCCCUUCCCUCGCGCGUCGCCACCAUGUCCAUCGCCUCAUCUACCUCCAACCCCUUUGCCAGUCCAGACCCCGCCGACAUUCGCGACAUCAACAUCCAUGACCGCGUUCUUGUGAUCCUCGAUGCCACCAACUCCACGUACUACACGUGGAAGACCUAUUUCUCGCUCCUUUUCCAUGAGAACAAUCUCGUGGAUCAUGUCGACAGCACCGUCGACUCUCGCGCCAUGGUGAACGACUCCAAGAGGACUGCGAUCGACGCUACGGUCAUUCGGUGGUUCUUCACCACCAUCUUCAAGGACCUGUUUCACACGGUCGUGACUGAUGGGGUUGAUGCACGCGCCAUGUUGGUCAAGCUCAACGGCCUCUUCACCCGACAACAAGCUUCAACGUCGCGUCUUUCUGCAGCAGGAAUUUUUGACUAUGAUCAGGAUGAAUAGUCCAUUGAUGACUAUUGCCGCCGCCUCAAGACGUUGUCGGAUGAGCUCCGUGACAUCGGCGCCAGGAUUGAUGACGACCACCUUCAAAGCACGCUCACCGCCAGCCUCAACGAGGACUUCGGCAACGCCGCCGCCAACCUCACCUUGAUGUCGGAGCCCUCCUUCCCCAAGUUUGUGGCAUACUUGCGGUUGGAGGAGCACCGGAUGAAGGGGGUGACGAAGCGCGUGCAGCACCACGCCCUCACCGCCGGCACCUAUCAUGGCACCCCACCACCACCCGCGUCGUGGCAGCAAACGCAGCCCCCCGCACCCCAGGGGUAUUACCCCCUCCCGCCCGCGCCCCCCACUCCUCUCGCUGCUCCCUAACAGCGGCCUCAAGGCGGCGGGCGGCCCGGCAACCGCCGCCACGGCGGGCGCAAGCAGCAGGAGCAGGCGCACGGGGGUGGCCAGGAGUACGGGGGGCACCUCAUCAGCAAUAGCCCUCCCCGUCGUGGACUUAUGGCACCAACCCGUGGACAGGAGUUGUCCACGCAUACUCGAUGCCAGUGCCCCGGCCCCCCGCCCCGGGCAUCCUUGGGCCCCGUCCGGCGAGGCACCAGGCAAAUCUUGCCGCGCCCUACGCCGCCCCCCUACCCGGCCCUCCCUGCAUCGCCGACCACGGGUGGCUAUGGUGCCGCUCCAGAGCCACCUUAUGGCAGGUUCUACCCUCCCCUGGUGCAGCCGCCGUGGGAUCCCGCCCUCCUCGCCGCCUUGCACUCGGCUCCGCCACCUAGCAACUACGGUGGCGGCGGUGACUGGUACAUGGAGUCGGGCGCCACUGCUCAUAUGACAUUUCAUCCCGAUAACCUUACGUCUUCCACUCCCAUUCAUACUCCCACUCGCAUCACCGUUGGUAACGGUUCCUCUUUACCCAUUACACAUGGCGGGUCAUAUGUCGUUUCCAUCUACUUCUACUCCUAUUAACAUAUCUAAUAUUCUUGUCUCUCCUGACUUAGUCACAAACCUUGUAUCUGUUCAUCGCCUUGCUCGUGAGAAUCCUAUUACUGUCGAAUUUGAUGAUGUUGGCUUCUCUGUGAAGGACGCCCGUACACGGAUGGUACUCCACUGAUGUGAUAGCCCCGAUGAGCUCUACCCGGUGCAUCCCUCUGCCACCACCGCCACCCGUCCAGCCGCCCUCACCGCUAGCAUCGACCUUUGGCACACUCAUCUCGGUCAUCCCAACUCCUCGGUUUUGUGUCAUAUUCUUCAGAGUUUUUCCUUCUCAUGUAAUAAGGUUGACAACCACACUUGUGCGGCAUGCCGUCUCGGUAAGCAUGUUCAUCUUCUGUUAGCGAGUCUACACACAUUUCCACUUUUUCGUUUCAAUUAUUGCAUAGUGAUGUUUGGACGUCCCCGGUUGCAAGCAACACGGGCUAUCUAUACUAUUAGGUGAUAUUCGAUGAUUUCUCUCAUUAUGCGUAGACGUUUCCUCUCCGUCGCAAGUCCGACGCCCUCACCAAACUCACCAUCUUUUAUUCAUGCGUAGACAGUUUGGUCGUCCUAUCCUUACACUACAAACUAACAACAUAAAAGAGUUUGACAACGUCGCCGUCGGUAAUCUCCUCACUUCUCAUGGCACCAUCUUUCGCCUCACUUGUCCUUACACGUUCUAGCAAAAUGGUCGCGAUGAGCGCCUCAUUCGCACUCUUAAUGACUGUGUCCGCACGUUUCUCUUCCACUCCAACGUGCCCCCUCGGUUCUUGCCACUGCCAGCCUCCUCAUUAACAUCCGCCCGGGCCGCCCUCGCUGGAACUAUGCUCCCCACCAGCUCCUCUUUGGUGCGGCCCCAUCUUAUGAUGGCCUUCGCAUCUUCGGGUGCCUUUGUUAUCCUAGCACCGCAUCCACCACUCCUCACAAACUCGCUCCCCGGUCGCUCCCUUGCAUCUUUCUCGGUUAACCGCCCAACACCAAAGGUUACCGGUGCUAUGAUCCAGUGUCCCACCGCAUUUAUACAUCGUGGCACGUGUACUUUGAUGAGCUGGUGUUCCCUUUUCAGCAGGUACCGUCCCUCCCCAUGCAGCCUUCAACGCGUCCCGCGGCGCAGCUUGCCCCCGCCACCACCUACGACGGGUCGUCCCCUUCGUCGAGAAGUGCCCUGGCCCAGGCCCGUCCCGCGCACCCCGCACCCUCUAGCCUGGCCGGCCCUUCCAGAGGCCCCGCAGACAUGGCGGGUUUAGCCGCCCCCUCCAGCGGCGCCUCAGGUGAGGCCCUCUCCACGGACGCCCCUGCCGCCAUGGUCUCCGGUGCCCCCUUGGGUUCUCCCGCCACCGCAGUAUCUGACUCGGUCCCGCCGGGCGCUGCCGCAGAUCUCUCAGCAUCAUUGGAGACCGGCUCGCCCUCCUCAUCGCCGAUCUCCACUUCAGCUCCGCCGACGACGACUGCACCCCUCACCGGUUUGGUCACUCGGGCUCGGACCGGGACGUUUCGUCCUAGCACGCGCUACACCUCCGACGAGUACGCAUGUGUCGCGUCUUCCUCGACCCCGUCUCCGCUACCCACCUCGGCUCGCGCAGCCCUUCGGGAUCCGAACUGGCUUGCUGCGAUGCGUGAGGAGUUUGAUGCCCUACAGCGUAACCGUACGUGGCAGCUUGUACCGUGGCCUCACCGUGCCAAUGUUAUCACUAGCAAGUGGGUUUUCCGCCACAAGACUCGCCCCAACGGUUCCCUCGAGCGCUAUAAGGCACGUUGGGUGGUGCGCGACUUCCGACAGCACGCUGGUGUGGACUUCACGACACCUUCGCCCCGGUUGUCAAACUGGGCACGAUUCACGCCGUUCUCCAGCUGGCUGUCUCUCGCGCCUGGCCAGUUCUCUAGCUCGACGUGUCCAAUGCCUUCUUGCAUGGUCACCUCGAUGAGAAGGUGUUUUAUUAGCAGCCCACUGGCUUCGUCGACAUCGCCUAUCCGGACCACGUGUGCUUGCUCUCCCGUUCUUUUUACGGGUUGAAGCAGGCACCUCGGGCCUGGUACCAAUGUAUUGCGGCCUUCCUCCAGCAGCAGGGGUUCUAGUCCACAUGGUCUGAUAUCUCCCUGUUUGUUUAUCAUGAGGGCGCCGCUAUCGUGUGCCUUCUCCUGUACGUCGACGACACCAUCCUGACUGUGUCCUCGCUAGCGUUACUUCAGCAGAUAACCGCUCGCCUUGGCACCAAAUUUGCCCUCAAGGACUUGGGGGCUCUCCACUACUUCCUCAGCAUCGAGGUCGUUCGCCGUGCCACUGGCUUCUUUCUGCAUCAGCAGAAGUACGCCUACGAGCUUCUGGAGCAAACGGGCAUGCUUAAUUGCAAGCCUGCUUCCACGCCUGUCGAUACGAAGGCUAAGGUGUCCGCCGUCGAGGGAUCCCUGGCGUCCGACGCUCCCUUCUACCGCUCCAUCAUCGGUGCUCUUCAGUAUCUCACGCUAACGCGGACGAAUAUUAAGUAUGCUGUUCAGCAGGUGUUGCUUCACAUGCAUGCCCCUCGUGACACCCAUUGGGCUCUAGUGAAAUGUAUCCCCCGGUACAUACGUGGCGCCAUGGCUAUGGGUCUCACCCUGACGGCGUCCUCUGACACCGGCCUCGUCGCCUACUCCGACGCCGACUGGGCUGGGUGCCCCGAAACACAGCGCUCCACCUCCGGCUACUCUAUCUACCUCAGGCCCUCUCCGAUCUCGUGGUCAUCUAAACGACAACCCACGGUUUCAAAAUCGAGCGCCAAGGCUGAGUACAGGGCUAUGGCUAAGGCCGUCGCGGAGUGCUCCCGGCUCCGACAGCUACUUCAGGAGAUGCUAUGUGAGGUUCCCAAGGCCGCGAUUGUCUACUAUGACAACUCUCCGCGGUCUACCUCUCUGCCAACCCUGUUCAUCAUCGCCGAACGAAGCAUAUUGAGCUCGACAUCCAAUUCGUCCGGGAGCACGUCGCACUUGGUCGUGUUUGAGUUUUGCAUGUGCCCACUGAUCAGCAGUUCACGGUUCGCAGAUGUCAUGACGAAGGGACUACCUACCUCGACUUUCAAGGGCUUUCGGUCCAGUCUUUGCGUCACCGGCGACGCUUCGACUGCGGGGAGGGGGGUGUUGAACAUGUAUGUACGUAUGUAGGUUCGGGUUUUGUAUGCUGCACCUGUUGUGUUUCUCUUCCCCUGUAUCUACUUGUAUCUUGGGAGACAAGACACCGAUCGCCCCCUUGUACCUAUAUAUGUGCCUAGUGCACGAUCAAUGAGAAUAUCGAUGCACACAAUCCCUCUCCCCAAAAUUUACAGUUGAAAUGCUUCGUACUUUUGGUGGAAGCUUAUAAUGAAUCAUGUCCUUUUCGCGAAAUAAAUAAAUAAACUAAACAUGUUCCUAUGUCUUUAUUGUUUCGUCGUCUCACUUGGUUUUGCUAGAAAAAUACUGAGUUUCUAUGUCUUUAUUUCAUGCCCAACCAGACGCAUUAUUUGGUAAUCAAUAAUAGUGAUGCGGCAUUUUUCUACAAUAUCUCCUAGAAUCGGAUAGAAGUAGUCGGUGUAAGAAAAGUCGAUGUAGUCCUUGCAUGAUACUAGGCCGGUCACAAUCCGCCCUCUCUUCCGAGAUUAUCCACGUCAUCUAGAUUGGUGUACAUGAUACAUUGAGAUGCAAUUAUCACUAUGGGUGCGGCUAAUCUGCAUCCGGGCUCAUCUGCACCCACGCUUAGAAAAAAAUUCAAAAAAAAUACCGAAAAAAUUCAAAAAAUUCCAAACUUUUUUGUGGUGGUAGAUAAUUUUACGUGUGAGGUGCGCCCCGAAAUUCAACUCAUUUGAGCAUCUGAGCAGCUCUCGGUAAAAAAGACAAAAUCAGGGUCUGUAAAAAUGUGUAUUGUUCACGCACUGUUUUGACCCCGAUUUGUCUUUUUUGCCGAGAGCUGCUCAGAUGUCCAAAUAAGUUGAAUUUUGGGGCGCACCUCACGCGUCAAAUUAUCUACCACCACAAAAAAGUUUGGAAUUUUUUGAAUUUUUUUAGUUUUUUUUUGAAUUUUUUACUGAGAGGGAGCAGAUGAGCCCGGGCAUCGUUUUGAGUUUUUCUUAUCGCUAUAGUGCAUUCUAUCUUUUGACGUCUGCAUAAUAAAAUCAUCCCAGUAUUCUUUGUGUUCCUCUUUUUCUGUGCCAUGGAACUGUGGCCGCACGGGAUCACUGUAUUUCACUGAGAACACGCAUAUCUGUCCAGAACUUGCAUAGGGAAAAUCUCCCCUCUCAAUUAGCUAGCUUGAGCCAGCAUCAUGUCCACGACAAGGAUUGAUGGACUAUGGCCGAGCUGUCCACGUCAAAGGCACGGGAGUUGAGCAGUACGAGUUGCUAGUUGGGAAAUAUCUGAGUGCACUCGUGCUUGUGAUGCUGCCGGUGCACCGGCUCUCCAUAGCACAUUUUAAAAUGUGAAAAAAAUGGAAACAAUUAAGCACAUCCAAACAACAUCACUAUUUGAUGUCGUAAAUUUUUAAAUCAAAAUUAUCAUUUCUUGAGAUAAAGAAAUGUCAACUUUAACACUAAAUAGUAUAUAAGUUGGGCUUUAGAUUUGAUCCAUUAUCACAUUGAUGUUAAAUUUAUCAUUUCUGUAUCUCGAGUAAUGUUUCUAAUUUUGAUUUGAAAUUUUGUGACAACAAAUAUGGAUGUUCUGGACGGUGAGGUUAGGGUUUCUUGGUGUGCAUUCAAGACGACAAGAUUUCGGCGACUGCAUGGCGUCGGCAACUCGUUCUUGCAGCGGUACUGGUCGUCCAAUGUUCCAGGGAUCUCGAUGUAAUUCUUAAUUAAGCUGGGAUGUUUUUGUACUUCUCGUGAACAUUUAUAAUGGAUCCAAGUCCUUUUCACACAAAUAAAUAAGUAAAGUAAACAUUUUGCUCAGUGGUCUUGGCCUUAUAUUGUUACGUCGUCUUACUUGAUUUUGCUAGAAAAUACUAAGUUUCUAUGUCUGCAUUUCAUGCCCAACAAGACCCACAUAUUAUUUGGUAACUAGAACAGCAUAGUGGCAUUUUUCUACAAUAUUUCCUAAAAUCUAUAUCAGUAUAAAAAUACUCGAAGAGGCGUAUCCAAGUAAUUUCUUUCAUAAAUCCAUGAUAAUAGAAUUACCUAGAUUACUUCCAUGGUGAGCUCUCAACAUGUUUAGUAUGCAAUAAAUACAUAUAUCUAUAUCAAUACAAAUAUAAAAAGACUCAAAUGGGCGGAUCCAAGUAAUCUGAACCAUCAAGUCAGGUUAAUCCAACGACCUAUGCUGCUUCAAUGGUGAGCGCUUAACAUGUUUAGCAUGCAAUUAAUAUCAUACUGAAUAUCAAUAUUAGUGCUAGUCACAUAAUUAAGGCGUAAAUAAUAUCCUAUCAGUAUUUGCAUGCAACUAAUACGUGGUCUAAUAUCAACGUGCAUGACAUGUGCACAUUUAUUAGUAGUAUACAAAAUAUCAAUACCAACACCAAUCACAUAUUACCAUGCAAUCAAUAUCCUAUCUAGUACUACAAUUAAUACCUAAUCCAGUAUCAUCGUGCAAUUAUUAUUCUUUUAAAUAUCAGUGUGCAGGCAAGUACUCCGUCCGUUUCUUUUUAGUCUGCACAUAAGAUUUGGUUAAAGUUUGACUUAUUUUACGGAAAAAAAUAUCAACAUUUACAAUACUAGUGUUAUAUGUUAUGAAAAUUAAUUUUAUGAUACAUCUAAUAAUAUUGAUUUCAUAGUGUGAAUGUUAAUAUCUUUUUCUACAAAGCUAGUCAAACUUUACAAAGUUUGAUUUUGACCAAAUCUUAUAUGCAAACUAAAAAUAAACGGAGGGAGUACGCAUUUACUAGUCGGAUAGAAGUAGUGGGCAGAGAAAAGUCGACAUAGUCACAUUUUACCGUCUCUUUUGAGAUUAUCCACAUCAUCUAGAUUGGUGUGCAUUUAUUUUGCGAAUACGCAAAGCUUGUGUAUCCAUUCAUCGAUAGAAGAAGCUAAAAUGUUAAUGAAGGCAUGGUACAUCACAUGGCAAUACACUAUUAGGGAAAACCUUAUACACAAAACUUUAACAAUAGCGGAUCCUAAAAACAACGCUAGUGCUAAGUAGCAGUAGCACAUUGGUGUAAAGCGCAUUACCGAUAAAAUUGUAGCAGUAGCGCGCCUUCAGAUAACCGCGCUACUACAAAAAUUCCCACGGCUUAGCCGAUGGGCUACACAUAGUAGUAGCGAGCUGCGAAGAACCGCGCUACCGCUACAAGCUUUGUAGCAGCGCGUUUAGGCGGAAACGCGCUACUGAUAUAGGAAAUAAAAUUAAAUAGAAAGAAAAUAGAAAAGUAAAUGAAAAUGAAAAAAAUAGAAAAAGGAGAAAGGAAAAAUUAAAAUGUAAAGAAAAUUAAAUGAAAAAGGGGAAAAGAGAGAAAGGAAUAGCAGUAGCGCGUAUCCAGGAACGCGCAAUAGCUAGCUUAGCAGUAGCGCACUUUCUUGAACGCGCUACUGCUACUUCUAACUUAACCGCGCGAUUCUUUCUUCCCCACGGCCACUUCCCCCAAAUCGAAACUCCUCCGCUGUCGCCGUCGCCCGUUGGCCGCCGCGCGCUCUCCCGUCGCUCUCCGCACACCCUCGACGCCGCCCCCGCCCCCGAAUUCGACGCCGCCCUCGACCACGACCUCGACGCCGGCCCCGACCUCGAUGCCGCCCCCGACCCCGACGUCGACGCCGACCUCCGCCAUGCACCCGCGCCCCGACCACGACCUUGACACCGCCUGCCACUCCCUCGCCGCAGGCACCCGAGGUGAGCACGCCUGCUCCUCCCCCUCUCCUACCUCUGCCUAGGGUUCUUCAAAUUUUAAUUGCAUCAAAUUAGCUAGUUAGGGUUCAUCUAUGGGUGGAAACGAAUCGGAUGCGGAUAUUGCUUAAGUGUAUUAGUCAAUAGCUAUGUGACAUGAAGUAUUCAACUUGUGACAUACAAUAAGUCAAUGAUAAAUAGGUUUAUGAAUAAACAAUAUUGUAAUGCAUAAUAAUUUCUAAGAUCAAUCAUAAAACAAGUAAAAUUUAACCACUUAUUUGAAUUUUAAGUUGGAUAAUUGAAAUAUCCGAUCGAAUACGAAUAUAGGAUAUUUCAGAUUAUCCGCUACCACUUUUUACCCCUAGGUUCAUCAAAUUAGAUGGUAAUUAGAGUAGUUCCUAGGUACUAAUUAGUUAGUCAGAACUAGGUACUAAUUAGGUACUAGUUUGUUUUUAUUUAUAGUAAGUUUAUUUUAGUAAGAACUAGUUGAACAUGUCACUUUUGUUGUUAUUUUUUUAGUUAAAGCAAUUAUUCCCGUAUCGACGUCAACGAUGCCUAUCCCGCAUCCUCGUCAUCGACUCGGCGGAGGACACCUGCUUGAGCAGAUGGGCCAUGUCCGGGACUGGGCUCCGCCGGGCUGAUACUGGGAGGCGCUACCUAGCAGGGGGGCGCAACUUGAUGAGGAGUCAACCCGUCAUUGACCCGAACCUUUUUUGGUGACAGUCACGUGGGCCAGUGACGGUCUAGAGGCUUGAUGACCUCGCGGAGGUGGUGCGUCAUCGUGUCAGCGAGGAGGACACGCACGUCCAUCGCUACUUGGUUGUGUUGGAGCACAGGUUCUGCAAUACCUGGCAGGUUCUCCAGGGAUCACUAGAGCUUUGAUCCUAUGAUGGUUCCUUCUUUUUGGGUGUCCACCGCCCGCGCCGAUACCCGUCGUUCGCUAGGGUUUUAGUUGUAUUAGUGAUACUAUAGGUAUGAUAUUAUUCGGGAUGUUCCAGUGAUAAUAUUCGACGCAAGAGAUGAUUUACUUUUGCUAGUGAUAAUAUUCGACACAAGAUAUGAUUUACUUUUGCUUAUUGAAUGCAUGCUAAAUUGAAUACUUAUUUAUUUUACGAUUUGAUUUUGCUUAUUGAAUGCUCAUGUCAAUAUGAGUCCUAUAAGAUAUUUUGAAAUGUAUAUAUUGUGUUGCUCAAAUAGGAUAUGUGCUUGCCCAAGUGGUCGGUCAUGUUUGCAGGUUACACCUCCGAGUGGCCUAUGUUUUGCCGGAGUGUUGAUUCAUUUUCGUUCCGGCAAAUUUCAGGCGCUCGAUAUGUCCUAUUUUAGCAAAGUCAUGACGGAUUUUUUUCGUGAAUUUUGGCAUGACUUAUGCCAGAAUAUGUAGGAAAUAUCGAGUGCCCUGAAUUUGUGUGUUGAGUAUCCUGGUAGUUGUCUUCGAUCGAUUUUCAAUUAAUGUUUCAACUAUGAACAUAGGAAAUGUCUGACAACGAAAAUGAUUUCAGUAUUUGCAAAUACUGUGAAGACGAGCGCGACCUGUGCGACGGAAUCUUCCUAGAUGAUGAUAGGCGCUUCAGCAUCAAGCUGGACGAGAACUUCGAAGUGGAUACAGUAAGUCACAACGACAAGUCCUUUUUCGUAAUUAAGCAUGACAUCUGCUUCAUUUGCUUCAACUUAUAUUUUUUUUACUAUUCUACUAGCGUAUCCCCUGCCAUGCAAGAGCUUUUGUCUUGGAUAAAAUAGAUUUCAGUCGUAUGAAAACUACUAUGGAGGUAAAGAGAGUUUACUUGAAGAUCGAGUAUGGUUAUACUUUCCACGCAAAAUUAUACAACGCAGACACCUACACCUAUUUUGAAUGCAAAACUUGGCAAGCACUAUGCAAGGCCUAUGCAUUUGAGCCUGAUAUGGUUAUCACCUUUGAUAUUCGUCCGGAAGAUGAUAUUGAAGGUAAUACCGAUAUUUGGGUCGAUGUGCAGAUGCCUCCAGUUCUACCAUUAUGUGAGUGUUCCUCAACCAUAUUUAUGUCUUCGAUAUUGUUUAUUUCAAAAAUAGUUCACAACUAAUUUCUAUUGACAGCUUAUUUCCAUUCAAACAAACAUGUUCAGCGCUUGGUAGACAGGACCUACUACUGUCCCGGGGCUGAAAUAAACUGCUAGGAGAUAAGUCAUUAUGUUUCAUGGCUUGAGAAUCUCCAUACUGUCAAGACAAAUUAUUUUUCUGGACUUAAAAAUCUUAGUACUCAAAACGUGCAACCUAUAGUGUUCGUACCGAACUACGGUCACAUCUAUUUAGGAAAGAUGGUAAGAUUUUUACUAUUUGUCCUCGGUGCAUCUUUUGCAUACAUUAUUUUUUAAGCUAAACUUCAUUGCUAAGUAUGUUACUAUACGAUGUUCUUCAACAGGGACUCCCGAUGAAUGUUGUGCCUCAUUGGAUCGAGACUAAAGGUUGCAUGAGAAUUGUUAGCUUACGGCCAAGACAUCCUACAAUGCACUUUAGUGCAUUCAGGAUUCCUAAUAGCGAGGAAUGCUUAAUAGUGAAAGACUGGAGCAAAAUUGUGAACGAUCGCUGAGAAGUACUAGGGGCAGCAAUCAGAAGAGCAUCCCAUGAUUAGGAGACAGGUUCAUCUGCAUGCUCCAACAUGAUGAAGAAGGAGUGUGACACAUAUUUUAUGCUAUUUUACCUGAGAGAGAGCAGCAGGAGUGAUUAGCUAGCUAGAAAUGAGUUUGAAGAUGAUGAUGUGCUACACUAUGACUAUGAUGAUUAGAUAGCUAGUGUUGGUGGUAAUGACUGAUGAUUAUUAUUAGCUAGUGUUGGUGGUGAUUAGAUAGCUACCGUAGCUAGUGUUGGUGAUGAUUAGCUAGCUAGAAUGAGUUUGAAGAUGAUGAUGUGCUACACUAUGACUAUGAUGAUUAAAUAGCUACUGUUGGUGGUAAUGACUAUGAUGAUGAUUAAAUAGCUUGUGCUGGCAGAUUAGAUUCAAGUGGAGUCAACAUGUGGUGCACAUCGAAAUUACUACUAGUCCAAACUUGAUCAAGUUUGGAUUAGUAGUAUACUUUUGACAUGCACCACAUGUUGCCUCCACUUGAACCUAAUCCACCUUCAUUUGACACACUGUUAUGGACAUAAUGAUAUAAACCUCAUAAUUGGUAUUGUACCAAAAUUUGUAUAACGGCGUAUAAAUAUACUAAAAAUAAAAAAAUGAAAAAAAAAGAAUACUAGUAGCGGUUGACAGUAAACACGCUGCUACUAGCUAGAUUAGCAGUAGCCCGGUAGCGAACACAUGCAGCGGCUAUAUGUCUUAGCAGUAGCGCAUGUGGCACCCGCUACUGCUAAGUAAUAGCUGUAGCGCCUUACUAUUAGCGCGGUGUCCCGCGCUACAAGUGGGCAUUAAACUCGCGCUACUACUAGGGUUUUACCUAGUAGUGCAACCUCAAACUGGCAUAAAUAUAGUGCCCGAAGUAGAAAAAAUUGGGAUGCUCAGCUCAAACAGAAUUGAGUUAAUUGCAUGGAGAUACCACACUUGGGGCAGGUGUGAUGGAUCAAUACCACUAUUCAUUUUUUGCAUGUCGGUACCAUGUCUCGGGCAACUUGUUAUAAAACGGUAUAAACAACGUAUGACACCGUAUUGAUGAUGUAUCUGACCAUGCAGCCCCACAUGUUAGGUGACUUGGUGGCCAAUCGGCGCAUGCCACUCCGCUAAAUAGGACGAUGCCGGCUCGGUUAGUCUUGGAUGGGUCAAACCGAUUCAAACCAUACGAACCCUAGUUCCUCCUCUUCCUCUCCCCAUGCGGCUCUCAGGCGAUGGCGGUGGUGACUCAGGGUGGAGGUGCCGGUGGCUGUAGUAGCGGUGGCGGUGUGGGCGGCUAUGGAGACCUUCUUGGCCUUGGGAGUGAUGCACACGGAGGAAUCGACAGUGGCUACUCUAGUUCUUCAUAUUACUAUAACGACAAUGACGCGUGCAUGGAGCCGCCAUUUUCCAUGGAGCAGCGGGUGUGGCUGGCUGAGAUUUGGGCGGCCAACCCGACCACGAGCCAUCGUUGGACCCACGGAGUGGGUGGCGUGUUGUAAGUUCCUCUCCUGCCACUAGUAGAAAAAGGCCCAUUUGUCCCGGUUCAUGAGGCCAAUUUCUCCCGGUUGACGAACCGGGACUAAAGGGUCGGUACUAAAGCCCAACACCUUUAGUCCCGGUUCGCCCAAGAACUGGGACAGAUGGGCUCCAUGUGGCCGUUGCGGCUUUCCCAGGCAGGAGGGCCUUUUGUCCCGGUUGGUGCCACCAACCGGGACCAAAAGGCUUCCACGGGUCAGCNNNNNNNNNNNNNNNNNNNNNNNNNNNNNNNNNNNNNNNNNNNNNNNNNNNNNNNNNNNNNNNNNNNNNNNNNNNNNNNNNNNNNNNNNNNNNNNNNNNNNNNNNNNNNNNNNNNNNNNNNNNNNNNNNNNNNNNNNNNNNNNNNNNNNNNNNNNNNNNNNNNNNNNNNNNNNNNNNNNNNNNNNNNNNNNNNNNNNNNNNNNNNNNNNNNNNNNNNNNNNNNNNNNNNNNNNNNNNNNNNNNNNNNNNNNNNNNNNNNNNNNNNNNNNNNNNNNNNNNNNNNNNNNNNNNNNNNNNNNNNNNNNNNNNNNNNNNNNNNNNNNNNNNNNNNNNNNNNNNNNNNNNNNNNGUUAAUUUAGGGGUUUCAUAUAUUGUGUUAGCUAGCUAACAGAGAGAAGUGUCCUCUCUUAUCUCCGUGCUAGCUAAUAUAUUAUGUUAGCUAGUUAAUUUAGGGGUAUAUAUAGGCACAUCAUUGGUCCCGGUUCGUGGCUUGAACCGGGACUAAAGGACACCCUUUGGUCCCGGUUCAAGCCACCAACCGGGACCAAUGGUGGUGGGCCAGGAGCGAGGCCCAUUGGUCCCGGUUCAUCCCACCAAACAGGACCAAAGGGGCCAGAAAAAUCGGGACCAAUGCCCCCACGAGGCCCGGCAAGCUCCCCGGCCUCAUGAACCAGGACCAAUGCCCCCAUGGGUCCCGGUUCGUGACUGAACCGGGACUAAUGGACUUAUCUGGCUUGAACCAAAGCCCUGUUUUCGACUAGUGUCCCUUCUUUCUAUCUUCAUUUUAUGCCAUACUUGGGGGCUAGGGUUUACUGAAAAUGUACAAAUUUGCUGUCACUUGUAGUUUAGAUAAUGAUGUUUGGGGUGUUAGGAUUCACUUUGAUGCUCAGCAUAAUUUGGAUAGGCAGAUAUGCAACUCAUAUGUCACAUUUCUGAAUGUGUGUGCAUUCUUGCAAAUGCAAGGAUUUACUUUGUCAGAUAAACUGUACCACAUGGAUAAUCCAGGCAUAGGAGAGCAGAGAGAGCAUGUCUUAGAAUUGGUAGACACAAACAUCAAAUCGCGGCAACUUAAGAGGCAGUAUGAGGAGAGUAGAGUUCUGAAUUUUUUAGUGAGGGCAACAACACCUGACAGUACUAUAUCUCACAGAGAAGAAGAAUUAGCCGCAAUUGUAUAUGAAGCACCUCUUAUGUAUGAUCUCAGUGAGCUUGUUGUGCUUGUUGUUGAUGAUCAAGGUAUUGUUUUUGAGAGCCAGUGCAACAGCAGUAGUGAAGUACAACCUCCUGAUAUGUGCACACAAAAGAGCAGAAAUGUUUGUAAGUAGAAGCUCAAAGCUGUGGUGGAAGAAGUAGCGGAGAAGGGAUAUACGAGUACUGAUGACUCAGAGGGUGCAACAACCCAAAGUAAACUAAAGAACAUCAGAGCAUCCGCAUUGCAAACUAAUCUCCUGGACAAAUAAUUUAAGAAAUGAACUUUACAAAAAGUACAACAGCUAUAAUGCAUUGAACAUUGAGCAUCUACACUAAACAAUCAUCGAGUUGCCCAAUUAAACAAUGAGCACCUUCACUGCAAACUAAACUCUGGGUCAAAUAUAAAAUUAACAUCUUCUUGCCAAAUUAAAUAUACAAGGAGUGCAUGAGCACAUGCCUACACAACUUACUCAAAUGAUGAGCAUCAGUACUACUAAAUGGCUAAAAAAUGACCACUAGUACUACUAAGAGCAGAAUCUUACUUGCUAGCACAAACUAGUACCAAUUUUAAUACAGAGAACAUGCUACUACCAAUUUUAAUACAAGCAAUAGAGAAUACACAGAAUCGUACUCUCCGAGGACAAACUAGGAACCUCCCGCCCAUCUCAAAUCCUUCACAGACUACAUGCCUCUCAGCUGGCAGAAGAUGGAGCUCGCAACGAACAAUGGGUCCUGUCUCAAUGCCCAUGUAGUCUUGGUCUUCAAUGCUAGCAGGGAUCUAUAGGAGAAAAAUAAACCAAAACCACGAAAUCCAAAAUCAAAUCCCCACUAGUAGAAAAUGGGCCUUUUGUCCCGGUUCCAAAGGGCCUUUAGUCCCGGUUCAGGAACCGGGACAAAAGGGUCGAGACUAAAGCCCCCCCCCCCUUUAGUCCCGGUUGUGUUACGAACCGGGACUAAAGGCCCUUCACGUGGCCGCUCUCUGGAGCUUCACCUUUAGUCCCGGUUGGUAACACCAAGCGGGACUAAAGGUUGUUUUUUUGAAAUUUUGUUUUUCUGAAUUUUUUGAAAAAGAAAAUUGUAUUUUUUUUGAUUUUUUUUACUUAUUUUUAAAUUUCUGAAUUAUUUGACAAUUCAGUCUCUAAUCACCCAUCAUCACUGCUCAAUUAUGAACCACUCAUUCCAAAUCAUCUAACUUCUCGACCGGUCACUCAUCCUCUCACUACUCUAGCCUGAGCACGCUUAACUUACUAGUUCUAUUCCCCCUAGUUUUCAAGUCUGCACUUGUUGUUUUCCUGACAAUACUAAGUUGUCAAUCCUAUUAACCCUUAGGAGUUGAACUUGAGCAUUAAGCAUCGUUUGAGUUUGAAACUAUUAUUCUAAAAACAAUAAUUAUUUAAUAACAUUAAUAUUUCUUGAAUAAGUAGUUUACCAUAGUUUGACCACAGUUUGACCAUAGUUUGACCACAGUUUGCCAUAGUUUGACCACAGUUUGACCAAAAGUCAAAAAAACUAAAAAUAAUUAUUUAGUAACACUAAUAUUUCUUGAAUAAGUAGUUUGACCAUAGUUUGACCACAGUUUGACCAGAUUUGACCAAAAGUCAAAAAACUAAAAAUAAUUAUAUAUUAACACUAAUAUUUCUUGAAUAAGUAGUUUGACCAUACUUUGACUAGAUUUGACCAUACUUUGACCAGAUUUGACCGUAGUUUGACCAUAGUUUGACCAAAAGUGAAAAAAAACUAAAAAUAAUUAUUUAUCAAUAUUAAUAUUUCUUGAAUAAGUAGGUUGACCAUAGUUUGAUCAGAUUUAACAAAAAGUAAAAAAAACUGAAAUUGAGCAUAUAUUUUUUUUCCUUUCACAAUUUGAGGAUUCUAAAAAUUUGCAAACAGGCCUAUGGCUGUCAAAAUCAGAUGCGGACUUUCGUGAUGAUUUUUUUGAUGUAUUAUGCGUUUCUUUUCGACAUCUUAUGCAAAAGAUAUGGCCGUUUUACAUUUUAUAACACCUUUUUGCAAAAUAUGUCCAAAUUUAAGUUUUUUAAUUUUCCUAACUAAUAGAAGUAGUAACAUAACUACAUCUCGAAGGAUUUCAAUUUUUGAAGAUUUUGUCAUUUUAUUUUUGUUUUUUACAAACUGAAAAGGCGAUAAGGGGGGGGGGGGUAGAGUUUGAACUUUUAGUCCCGGUUUGAGAAAUGAACCGGGACUAAAGGGCAUCACACCCUUUAGUCCCGGUUCAUGUCUCAAACCGGGACUAAAGGUCCCAUUUGAACUGGGACUAAUGCCUUCCUGACGCCUUAGCCGCUCGAACCGGGACUAAUGCUCACAUUAGUCCCGAUUCGUGAUGCAACCGGGACUAAUGUGUACAUUGAGCUGUGACCAAUGCCAUGUUUUCUACUAGUGCCCCAAAGCAGAAACCCUAACCCUAGCUCUACCACUCACCAUCUACUGCGUGCCAUUAGAGGAGUUGUUGUACUACAUGUUGGAGUAGUCGUCGCUGCUCUCAUCCUCAUCCACCAUGGUGUGGAGGCGGUGGCGGACUACACGAAAGUCGAUGGCGAAUCAGAGACAGGAGGGCGGGAGCAAGAGAGGGGACUAGGGUUCGAGGGGAGUUCGUCCGGUUCGAAUCGGUUCGACUGGCGCACAUACACCGACCGAGCUCGCUUCGUCCUAGUCAGCGGAGUGGCACACGCCCAUUGGCCGUCGUGUUACCUGAAAGGUGAGACCGCACAGUCGGAUACAGUGUCAAUACGACGUCAUACAGUGUUUAGACCGUAUUGUAACAAGUUGCUCCAGACAUGAUAUUGACAUGAAAAAAACAAGCGAAUAGUAGUGUUGAUCUGUCACACCUGUCCGGAGUGUGGUAUCUUCAUGCGAUGAACCCAACAAAAUCUACAACACAACGAGUCUGUUUGGAUCCAUGGGUUAGAGUUAGUUUGGACUCAACUAACCUAAAAAUAUCCAAACAGGAGGGUUAAUUUGGGUUAUAGGCAUCUAACCCUCCCAAAAAAAAACCACCCAAGAGGUGCUUAUUUGGGUUAGUUUUCCUCGGGACCACUAAAAAGCACAUUUUUCUCUUGCUUUCUCCACAGCAGAUCCCUCCUCACUUCCUCAAAGCUUCUCGUCCUCUCCCUCCCUCCCUCUCGCACCACCCUUGAAAGUGCCUCGCCAUAUCCGCGCUCCUGUCCGCCGCCGGUAAGUAGCCCCGCCCUAUCCUCCAGUUCCAACCCCCUCGUCUCCUCGGGGCCCGUCCACCCGACUGUAAGCAGUCGCGGCUCCUUGCGCGGCCCGUCCCCGUCGGCCUCGGCCGGCGCGGCUCCUUGCGCAGGAACGGCGGAUUCGGCCGGCGGGCUACGCGAGAGGCCAGCACGGCUCCUUGCCGAGCGCAUCCCCGUCUGCCUCGUCCACACCAAAUCCGGCAGAAAAUAGGAUCCAAAGUAGCCAAAUGAUUGAGAAAGAGCAUUCAUUGACAAUCUAACCCUGCCAUCCAAACACCUCUUUAGAUAGAGUUAGUUCGGGAUCAAUUCAGGAUUAGAAUCUAACUCUAACUGAGUUACAGUAUCCAAACAGGACCAACAACGCAAAACUAUCCUGACCAAGACGAAGAUGGGUGUGCAUGAGAUGACACGAUCGCCACAGUGCAUUGUAUCUUUUGACGUCUGCAUAGUAAAACUACCCAGUAUUCUUCGUGUUCCAUCUUUUUUCUGUGCCAUGGAACCGUGGCCCCACGAGAUCACUGUAUUUCACUGAGAUUAGGCAUAUGUGACAGGAACCGUAUCUGUGUUUGCAUAGGGAAAUCUCCUCACUCUCUCUCUCUCUGACUACUCAAUUACCUCUCCGGCAUCAUGUCUACGACAAGCAUUGAUGGACUAUGGCCGAGCUGUCCAUGUCAACAGCGCUUGAGUUGCUACUAGCGCCUGCGCCCAUGCCACCCACGAGUAUACAGUAGCAUUGCCCUAGGUUCCAGGGGGAAUCAUCCACAAGCAUUCAUGGACUAGGGCCGAAUCUGUACACGACAACUAGAGUUGAGAAGGAGCGGUGGCCAGCUCUGAGUCCUUUGCGCCCACGGGUUUGCGUCGGCACACAACAACAAAAACCAAGAUUGAACCGGGAGUCAGAGCAUCUCCAACAGCCGCGCUAAACUAGCGCCGCGCCGCAAAAUAGGCCUUUUUAGCGCGCGCGCAAUGCGGCGGCUCGCUCCAGCGUGCGCGCAAAAACGGCGCGCGCGCAAUAACGGGUUGGGCGCGCGGUCAAAAACACUUAUCCGCGCGGUGUAUUUGGAGCGCCAGCUACAGCGCGCGGCACACUAGAGCACUCGCGCCCGCACUCUCUCCCUCUCCUCCUCCUACGCCCCGCGCGCGCCGGCGCCGGCGCCCUGCCCCCCGCCAUGGACGCGCACACCGGCGCCCCGCUCACUCCGCUGUACAUCCGCGACCCCCCCGCCGCCGCCGCCGGAAACCCUAGCGCGGCGAGCGCUGGCGUCGCCACCGCCGGAGCUCCGCCGCCUCGCGCGCAGUCUCUUCUUGCCGCCGCGGAUGACUACGGCGCCGGCGCCGGGUGGCGUCGCGCCGGCGCCAUCCCGUGCCGCCGCCGCACCGUCGAAGAAGGUACCCAAUGCGGCGCGGGCGAAGAAGGGCAAAACAUCCGCGAAGAAGAACAAGGCGGCGGACGGCUCCGACAUGGCGAGGGGGAAAAAGCUUGCAGGGCGUCCGCGAAGAAGAACAAGGCUCCGGCAGGCAUGGGUGCACCUCCGGCCGCCAUGGGUGCACCUCCGGCCGCCAUGGCUUCUCACACACAUUCCCAUGAAGAUGCCGUUGAAGAUCUUGCCAACACCGUCGGAGCUUCACAUGAUGCGGUGCGUGAUGCGGUGCGUGAUGAAGAUAGGGAGGAAGGUUCAUCUUCGGAGGCGGAAGAGUCGUCUUCGGAAGAGGACGAAGACGAAGAAGAGGAAGAUGAAGAUGAAGCUUGAUGUGUCUUUCAUGUCUUGAACUUUUAGUUUGCAUUUGAACUUGGUUGGAUGAACUUGUGGGCAUGAUUUUGAUGAACUUGUGGGCAUGAACUUUUAUUCAUCAACUUGUUUGUGUCAAAUUUUACAUGUUCAUUUUUGUCCAAAAUAUCCAUAUAUGCAAAAUGCCCGGCGAGUCGCGCGCGCUGCUGGAGCGGCAUUUCAAAACCAGCCGCAGCGCGCGCUAACAGGUUUUUUGCGCGCGGCGCUUUAGCGCGGCCGUUGGAGAUGCUCUCAGUCGUGGGCCUGGUGGCCACGGACUAAUAGUACUGUAGUAGUAGUACUGAAUCACUUGCAACACGUACGCAUGCUUACCACGCGCGCGCGCACACGCUAUAAGAUGAGACGCACCGCCCAGCAGGUUUCUUACAGAGUAGCUGCGUUCGUGUAUACAUAGCAUAUAGCAAACCACCACUGAAUCCAUCAUCCAUGGCGAGAUGCUGGCUGCUGCUCGUCUUCAUGGCGUUCAUCUUGCCGGCGGCGAACGCGACGCCGUGCCACCCUGACGACCUCCACGCUCUGCGGGGCUUCGCCGGGGAGCUCGGCGGUGGGGGAGCCCUCCUCCGCGCCGCAUGGUCCGGCGCCUCGUGCUGCGGCUGGGAAGGUGUGGGCUGCGACAGCACCAGCGGCCGCGUCACGGUGCUGCGGCUCCCCUGGCGCGGCCUGGCGGGGCAAAUCCCUGGAGGCUCUCUAGCGGGCCUCGUGUGGCUGGAGGAGCUCUUCCUCGGCUCGAACCAUUUCGUGGGCGUCCUCCCAGACGAGCUCUUCGGCCUCGUCAAGCUAAGGAAGCUCUCCCUCGCAUCCAACGAGCUCACCGGCGAGGUGAGCCCACGCCUCGGUGAGCUCACACACCUUACCUUGUUGGAUUUGUCUGCUAACCGCUUCUCCGGCCCCCUGCCCGACGUGUUCGGUGACCUCACGUCGCUAGAGCAUUUGGCCAUGCAUUCUAAUGGCUUCUCCGGCUUCUUGCCACCGUCUCUUUCAUCACUAUCUUCUCUCCGUGAGCUCAACCUCCGAAACAACUCCAUGUCCGGUCCGAUUGCUCGUGUUAGCUUCUCCGACAUGCCACUUCUUGCCUCGCUUGACUUUUCCACAAACUCCCUGACUGGGUGGAUCCCGACUAGCCUCGCCGGCUGCGGUGAGCUCAAGUCGCUCAACCUUGCCAACAACAUAUUGGUCGGCACCAUCCCGUCGUGGAUUGGUGAGUUUGACAACCUUUGGUACUUGAAUCUCUCAAAUAAUUCAUUUGUCGGCGAGGUACCCAAAAGUUUGUUACGGCUCAAAGGCCUCGCCACUGCGGGCCGUUCAUCGGGUAUGGUUUUCAUUAACAUGCCCUCUUUCGUAAAUUAUGAAAGAAGAGCACUCGAUGAACAACCAAAUACCAUAACUGGGACCAACAACACAGUGAGAUCUGGGCGCAACAACACCAUGUCUGGGAACGACAACAUUGUCAUGUCUGGAGACAGCAACACUGUGUCCGGGAGCUUCAACACCCUCGUAUGUGGAAACAACAAUAUACUAAGUGGUGACCACCAUGUUGUAUCUGGAAGCAACCAUAUUGUAACUAACAGUUUCAAUAAAGUGACGGGCUGCACAAAUAAUGUAUCUGGGAGCAACCAUACUGUAUCCGGGAGCAACAAUACCGUAACCGGGAGCAGCAAUACGGUAUCUGGGAACAACCAUGUCGUGUCUGGGAGCAACAGAGUCGUAACCGGAGACUAAUGAUCAGUCAGUGGACUGAUUUCAUCUACAAGUAUGAAGUCCCAAAGCACAUCUAAGAGAGACUCGUGAAGAGAAGAAUAAAUGGUUCUCCCAGUCUGAACUGAAAACCUAGGUUGAUGGAUACUCUAGCUUGUUCCAAGUUUGGGGACGCUCCAUCAAAACCUUUUGUAUCUUUAUUACUGUUUUUUUAGCAUGUUUCAAUGUCCGCAACCAUAUUAGUAUGUAUUUCCGUACUUGUAAUAUUAGUGUUAUCUUCAAGCCUGCCAUGAGAAUUAGUAUAUCCAAUGAACUCGUCGUUUUUAGAUGAAUGUCUUUAUUACAGCUUAUGGUUAUUGUUAUUUGAUGUGCGAAUCCGGUUGAAUGAUCCCUUGUUACUUUUUAUUUGGUCAUGGCCGAUGGAUGCAAAUUGUGAGGUGGGGACGUGGGUACGGCCUGGAGUUGGGUUAGGAUAAGCUCAUGCUGCUAGGUUACGACGAGGCAGUGCAUGGUUCAUAUACAGAUGGGUUGGACGAGGCAGUGCAUGAGCCCCCUGCCCGGACGUACAUGCAUGCUACUCUAUGACUUGACAGGCUUUGGCUGCAUGCCUCCCUCCCUCCCCUCUAUCUCAUGUAGUCACGUGAGUCCAUGCAUGGCCUUGACUGGCUGGAGAAUCAUUGCUUCUUUUUUUGUCCUUUUUUCCGCUCCUCCCUCCUCGUGCUUUCUCUCUGUGUAUAUGACAUGAAUGCACGUAUGUCCUUGACAGGCUGCAGAGAAUCGUUUGGAGUAUCUCAGUUGGUGCCGCUGGCAAACAAACACGCCACAACCGAGAUGGCUCCAUGAUUACCGAUUUGCCCCGCGAACGUACGUGGCAUCAGGCUAUCAAUAAUUCAGCACACACUGUGACGAGCAUAGGGUUAUGGCUCCCUGCACAGAUAAAAAGAGAUUGGGUGUGGGUCGGCCACAACAAGCUUGCUUGAUAUAGCGAUGUUGACAAUGCCGACACUUUCACUCGCAUCAAAUUCCUCGUGCUCGCAUCGAUGAAGGGUUGUGAAGCAAACAAAUUUGAGGUAGGGUGCAGAAUCCCGAGUCCCGGCUCGUAGAAUUUGUAGUUGAGCUUGCCAACGUGUAUGGUCACUCGUAGUAGGUGCAUGAAAGCACUCUAGGUACAUUUCAGCCAGCUGACUUUUCAUUUUAUGGUCAGUCAAUUUUCUGUUUGUUGGAUGUGCUUUGAGAUCUGUGCUUUUUUCAGUUAUUUAUCUGUUUAGUUCUGUUCUUGGGUUGGGCUGUGUGGAAUCGAUAGACUCCUAUUUUGGGUCAGUCGAAUUGCUUUUUGGGCUCGUUUUUGUUCUUCUAGGUUGCAUUUUUUCCUUUUCUUUAUUGGUUAUUUUUUGUUUUUGUGGUUUUUGGCUGAGGGUACUUAUAUACAUACAAAUACCAUAGAAUAUGUGCCAAAAUUUCGUGAUUAUAUGCUUAUUUUUGCAUACUACGAUAAAGUGCAAUUUCGGCGCAAUGUUGUGCGUGUUUUUUUAAAUCUCUCUCUCUUUUAAAGAAAAUACCAACGCCACUAACUCAUUCCUUUUCAGAAAAAAAAUCUUUAUUUUGAUAUUGUUUGUCUUUACUUCAUUACUUUAAGGUUAAUACCAAUGCCACUAUUCAUUUGUUCUAGAUUUUGUUUUUGCAAACGUUCCACUUUUUUAUAUGCUUAUUCUUGCAUAUUUUUGAACAUCGCAAUUUUUAUGUAUAUUUCAUGCAAAAUUUAUCAGUGUUUGUUUUAAAUUCUUUUUUCCCAUUUUCUUUGUUCUUAAAUGGUAAUACCAAUGCCACAUAUUCAUUCUUUAUUUUGUGGGUAUUUUUCUUUAUUUUUCAUUCUAGUUUUAUGUUUCUAUGUGUUUUUCCUUUUCUUUUUUCCCUUUCCUUUUAUUGCUUAUUUUUUGUGGGUUUUAGUUUUUUUUGUGGGGUUUUAUUUUUUCUUUAUGCCUUUUUUUGGAUGUUGAGUGUGUGUAAAUAUAGGCACACAAGUACUACAUGGAUACAUUAUAUUAGAGUAUGGAAAUUUCACUACUAUAGGUUUUUUCUUACAUUUUAUAAAAGGUGCAAUUUUGGUACUAAUCUUGACGAAUUUUUAGUUUUAAGUUUUUAUUUCACUUUCUCUCUUAUUUAAGGGUAAUAUCAAUGACACUAAUUCAUUUCUUCUUUGAAACUUAUUUUUUUGUGUUAAUUCUCCUAGUAUAUGUUAGUUCUUGCAUAGCUAUAAAAAGUGCAAUUUAUGGGUAAUUAUGUGCAAAUUUUAGCAUGAUUUAUUUUUUCAUUCAUUUCUUCUUAAAGGGUGAUACCAAUGCCACUACUUCAUUCUUUUAGAGAGAAAAAUAUUAUAUUUUUGUGUGUUUAAAUAAGUAUACACACAAGUACUAUACAACAUGUGUGUAUAUUAUAGUAGAGUGCGAAAUUGCAAUAUUAUAUUUUUGUUGUUUGGAUUUUACUAAAAGUGCUAUUUCAGUGCAAACUUGUGUGCAAUUUUUUUCUCCUUUUCAUUUUUCUUAAAGGGGUUCAUUAUUUCCUAGAAAACUUUAUUAUUUUGAUUUUGGUUUAGUUUGUUUUUCAUUUUCUUUCUUCUUAAAGGGUUUCAUUCUUCUAUAGAAAACUUAAUUAUUUAGAUUUUGUUUUUGUGUUUUUUUAUUUUCUUUCUUUAGAUGUAACAUCGAUAUCAUUCCUCUAUUAUAUGUUUAUUCUUGCAUAUUAUAAGAAAAGGAAUUUAUGUAUAAACUGCGUGGAAAUUUUGUCAUUUUUUUAUUUUCUUCUUCUUAAAAGGGAUACUAAUGCCGCUAAUUCACUAUUUCUUAGACAACUUCUCUUUUGAUUUUUUUCGUGUGUAAGUUUACAUGCAAGUACUACACAAUAUGUGUGUAAAUUAUACUAGACUGUGAAAUUUGUACUUUUAUUUUUCUUUUUCUUUAUUCUUAGAAAAGGUUGUUAUUUUGAUUUGGUUUUAUUCAUUUCCCUUAAUCUUUAAUGGUAAUACCGUUGCAACUAAUUCAUUCAUUCAUAGGAAUUCUCCUUUUCUGCUAAAAUACCAAUAUUAUAUGCUUAUUUUUGUGUGUUAUAAAAAAUAAUAAUUUGUGUGCAAAUUUUGUCAAUUAUUUUAUUAUUUUUAUUCUUAUUUCUUCUUUAAGGGUAAUAUCAAUGACACAAAUUUUUAUUUGCUUUUUUUGUAUACAUACAUAUGCGUGCAUACAUAUAUACAUCGAUUGGGAGUAUAUAUAUGAAGUUGUCUUCCGUCUAUGUAUGCAUUUGUAAACAAGCUUAGGCAUUGACGCGACAACAUGCAGUCGUUGCAUGCAUCAGCUCUUACGGCUGGAGCGUUACUCAGCCAAUGGUCACGGCCCAAAGAAUCAUAAACAUGCAAAAAGUGACUGACUCAAAUAUUCUGUUCAGUAGAUUGACGUCCAGCCACUCCCGUAUGAAAGCGCUAAGACAACCUGACGGUGAAGUGGCUCAUGACAUGGUUGAUCCUGGCAAUCGUCGAGAUGUGUGUGCACCACGCACCUUAGCUAGGUUGCAGGCCUUGACGCUAGUCGCACGGCUGGACGAUGCUGGCUCGUGUACAUGGCUGGGUAGCCACAAUACACUAUGCCAGUGCUACUGAUUACCAUGACUCCCAUGACGAAAGAGAAUGUCAUCGCGCCAAGAAGGAAAGCGUCGGCGACAGGACUACACGAGGUACUUGCGGUUUUAAAUUUAGCAUCAGCUGCCUUAUCUACGCGCCAGAAUUGAUCGGAGCAGACUUGCCAAAGCAGUCCAGCAUUGUCCAUUGAUGGAAAAGAAAAUUAUGUGGGAAAAGUUGAUGAAAACUUGAGCAGGCAAUCACGCAUGCAUAUUUGUUUGUUUUAUUCCUUGCUUGUGGUGUCAAAAAGGCGUGCAAGAUCCCCGUCAAAAUAAAUCCACAUGCACGAAUGUAUGGAAGAGGUAAAUAUGGUCAAGUUGGUUAUUUAUUUCUAGGUGAGAGAUCUGUUUUUUUUACGUACAUGCAUGCGUAAAAAUAUCUAUACGCAUGAAGAAAUAUAUGGAAGAGGCAUUAAACGUGGCCAAGUUGGUCACCUCUUUUUUAGGUUAGAGAUCUUCUUUUCUUUGACAUGCAUGCAUAUGAGAUCUAAAUUAUAAAUUAUGUGCAUCAUGUUUAUGUUACUUUUUCUUUUAUGUUUAUGUUACUUGACGUGUACAUGUGUCAAGUUGUUUUGGAUCCACCAUAUUGUGGUACGCAGAUCAAACCGUUAUCUUUCCCUACUAAUAAAGCACGGAGUGCUUCUGGUCGUACGUCGUCGUCACUUUUGCAAAAAAGCCCCUCUAUUUUCAAGAAUUCAACCCGCAGUCCCUGCACGGAUUGAAUCUAUUGGGUUCACCGUCGCGGCUUUUUUGCAUAAAGGUUCCUGCGCUUUUUAGUAUUUGACCCGCAGUCCAUGGAUAAGUGAAAAACGAUUCGUCCACGCCGUCUUAUUUUCCACCGCGCCGCUCAAUGAUGGAUAAGGCGAAGGGGGCGACUGCUGAUGCGAGGGGUAGAGAGUGGGAGGAGCUUGCGUACACGGGAGGCGGGAGGCGGGGCCAGGGAGGAGGAAGACAGCCGCGACGGCGACCAGUGCCGCGGGGCCGGCGGCGAGGAGAGCUCCGGGGUCACCGAAUCGAGCGUCGCCGGGGAGGGCGACACUCCACAGCGGCGGUGCUUGGGGCUCCGACGAGCGGAGGCGAGCGAUAACAGGAGGCGACAGGAGAAGCUCCGCGGCGACGCCCUGAAGGCCAUCAGCCAUGGCCAUUGUGGUCUCGCUGCACGGGGAUGAGGACGGGAGGGGCUUGGCAGUCAAGCGCGAAGCAGAGGGGGCGAGCAGUCGAGGCAGAGGCGUCGUCCUCUGCCCGAACUGCUGCUGCUCGAUGCAGAGAGCUGGGGGCAGCGUCUGGAGUUGCAGGGAAGCGUGCACAGGAGGGAUGGAUGGGUUCAUGGCGGAGGCGUCGGGGCUCCAUGGAGGGCAGUGGCAGCUGCUUACCGAAGAAAGUAAGGAGAGAGAGAUUCAGAGAGGGAAUAUGGGAAGGAAGCAGAGAGAGACUGCGGGAUAGGGGCUUCCUACCGGCGUCAUGGAGGAUCUCCGGUGAGGCUCGACGUGCUGCGGGUUGGACGGGAGGACAGCAGCCGGGCCGCCGUCGCACCAAGGCUAGGUUCGCGCGCUGCGUCGAGCUCCGCCUCCCCCCAGCGUGCAGCCGCUCGCUCUCGCCUGCCCCCACGGCGAGCUCCGCCUCCUGCGUGCGGUCGCCGCCUCCCUCAACCUCCACCACCUGCUGCAAGUUGGUGCCCAGGGCGCCGCAAGCUGCCAGCGGCGGCAGAGUUGCUGCUCCCGUGUCGUGAUUGGACUCCGUGUUCUUCUCCAACAGCAAAUACAUGUUCUUCUCCAACACCAAUCGAUGGAUUUCCCGAGCCGGAUUUGAGUUGCCUACUAUAAGAAGGAAGGGUCCUCGGACCAGAAGCUCCAUCAAAUCAAAUCAAAUCAAAUCCCGUCGAAAUUGCAAUCUGCGUCGAAACAUCCAUGUCACCGCCGAGUUCGCCGGAGGAAGAAGCGCAGAGUUCGCCGGAGGAACAAGAACGUCCGUCCAACCAUCCAAUGUCGCUGCCGGCGGCUACAACAGAGGUAUAUAUCCCCUUGAUAUUGAUUGGAUGCAAUUCCCUGUUUUAGAUGUUGUUUCUGUCCCCUGCCUCUGAUUAUGCUAUGUAGGAGCCUUUUCUUUUCUUUUUAGUUAUUUAGUGAUAUGGGGCUGGGCAUCUGAAUGUACGAAUUCAGUGAUAUAUCCAGACUGGGACCUUUGUUCCUGUUAUUUUGUCGUCAAAACUGAAAAAGAGUGUCAGCUUCAGGUAGUUAUUUUCAGUUGACAGUAUACUAAAAAAAAUUGACAGUGAAUAUUUUGAGCCAUUCAGAAACAUUGCCUAUGAUGUUAAUAUGUUGACUAGGGGCCUUUUUAGAGCAGCGGCAGCAAGUGUGCUCAGGUAAAUUCAGUCAGUUAGUUAAUCAGGCAUGUUCUUCUUUCAGGACAAGUGAUGUUGUUCUUCCAGGACAAAUGAUUCAGUAAAUUAGUGAUGUUCUUCUUUCAUGAAAAAUAAUUCAGUGAUGUUGGUCUUGAGCUGUUAGCUAUGUAGCAACACCGCGUUAGGUGAUCUCAUCUCUGCUAACAUUUACACUCGUUUAGCCCAGCUAGAAAAUUAGUUACCUUGUUGAUUUGCGCCUCUGUAUUGACCUUCUGAAUGGCCAACUCUUAACCUAGAUAAAUAUGGCUUCUUUGUAUUAACCUUAUUGAUUCUGAGCUUGCAUAAAUCCAGUUUAUGCAAUAACAUCCCAACUGUAAACUCACCAUGAUGUAAUAACAGUUGGAGGUUUACAUUUUAUUUUUGUUGUGACUGCAGAAAUUAGAUGACAUCGUUGAAGUGAACAUUGUAGAGGAUUUUGAUAACCGACCUUCCAAAAAGGCAAAAAUUUCCAAAUCAAUUUUUUUUAAUAAUGGCCCGUAGCAACGCACGGGCAUUGUACUAGUUAUAGAUUAAAAGAAAUAGACGGUCCAUCCAAUCGAGGGUCAAUAUUAUGUGGUUAACAUAGAAUUUUCUUUCCCGCAAAAAAAACGUAGAAUUUUCUUGCCUCUUUCUCUUUCUUCUGAUUAACCCGUCGAGUACUUUUAAUGUAUAAAAAGAUAGAUGCUAUGUCGCUAUUGAUUUAUCACUGAAAUUAUGAAAUAGACAUGAUCAAUAAAAGUCUUUGAUCUAAAAAUAAAGCUCCAUCAAGGUCCGUGUCGCCUGAUGGUUCAUCAGUGGUGUGUAGGAGGCGCAACUGGCAUUGUUCUCGUAUGUGGUCGCCUAUAGCUAGGCCUUCGCGACGGCCGCUUCUUGACGAGCGACGGCUUGAGCGUAGACGGCCUCCUCGCUCGUGCGCUGGCCGUCGUUCUGGCGCUCCACUAGCCGGUGCUGCUCUAGGAGGAACAUGUUGUACCAUUGUUCCUCCUGCGCGUGCUGGAACGCCGACAUAGGCGCCGGUCGGCUGCUCUUCCGCCAUGGUGGCGUUGAAGUGCGCCUACGCCUGCUCCAUGGUGAAGCCGGCAUCAGGCGCGCGCUCCGGUUUGGUGACGUCGAAGCCCGUCUCCAUCCUGGGGUCGUCCUCGUCGUCGGAGACCCCGGGUGGGCUAGCCUGCAUGCCGGCAUCGAUCCUCCUGGCAGGGCGGCUCUGCCAGGUGGCCGCAAGGGUGUCCAGCUCGUGCUUCGGCUCCGUCAAUAGGCUCUCCCAUAGAGCUUUGCCGCAUGCUAGCAUGGCGGAUGUGGUGGGAAGGGAGGAUAUGAUGUGGGCAUGCUUCUGUUGUGGCAUGAAGUAGGCGGGUGUAGCCGCCCUAAAAUACCGGAUUCUCGUGAGGCCCGGCGUCUGAGUGCGUCAGUGCGCGGUGCCGGAGUGGGUUUCUCAGCCGACGAGCCUGCUUAAUGACGGUAUACGGACGGACGGACGGUGCAUAUAACGGGCGUGGUAGAAAUUCACCCCAUCCCAUCCACUAACGCGUCUCCGGCAAUGAACAUGCGCGGACAUCGAGGACACAUCACGGGCAGCACCCUCAACCGACGUGCUGCUUCAAUGCCGGCGUCAGUGAGAGGUCACGUCCGCUAUGUAGCCUACUUCAAUGUGGAGUGGCCGCUCUAUAGCGGCAUGAAUGCAGGUUGCUAGCACCGGGGAGGAACGCGCGCAGAUGAGGGUGGACGGGUUUGGAUGGGCUAGAGUGGUCAGAAGCAGGUGUGGCUGCUGUUCGGACGCCCACAAAGCCUCAGAAGCAGGUUGUGAGACAUUCGAUGAUAUAUANNNNNNNNNNNNNNNNNNNNNNNNNNNNNNNNNNNNNNNNNNNNNNNNNNNNNNNNNNNNNNNNNNNNNNNNNNNNNNNNNNNNNNNNNNNNNNNNNNNNNNNNNNNNNNNNNNNNNNNNNNNNNNNNNNNNNNNNNNNNNNNNNNNNNNNNNNNNNNNNNNNNNNNNNNNNNNNNNNNNNNNNNNNNNNNNNNNNNNNNNNNNNNNNNNNNNNNNNNNNNNNNNNNNNNNNNNNNNNNNNNNNNNNNNNNNNNNNNNNNNNNNNNNNNNNNNNNNNNNNNNNNNNNNNNNNNNNNNNNNNNNNNNNNNNNNNNNNNNNNNNNNNNNNNNNNNNNNNNNNNNNNNNNNNNNNNNNNNNNNNNNNNNNNNNNNNNNNNNNNNNNNNNNNNNNNNNNNNNNNNNNNNNNNNNNNNNNNNNNNNNNNNNNNNNNNNNNNNNNNNNNNNNNNNNNNNNNNNNNNNNNNNNNNNNNNNNNNNNNNNNNNNNNNNNNNNNNNNNNNNNNNNNNNNNNNNNNNNNNNNNNNNNNNNNNNNNNNNNNNNNNNNNNNNCAUCAUGCAAAAACAACCAUUAUGCAUCCUAAGAAGAAAAUAGAUUAAUAAAAUAAACAAACUAUAAUGGUGCACCAACAAAAUAUAACAAUUAUCAGAACAAUGAAAUAAAAGCUUGGAUAUUGAGAAAUGUAACAGUGGCACUCUAUCUCUCCAAUAUUGUUCCGUGUGCAGGGAUGCUCAAAAUCUUGAAAGAAAAUAUAGCUUGAAAGUCUUUGGUCGGAUAAAGCGUCGGAGCUCUCUGAACCUACACAUUGCACCCUUCGUAUUAGUCAAGAUCAAAAGCUAGGCAUUGUUAAUCAUGAAUUUACUUUACAAUCAAGUUAUUUGCUUCGUUGAUGUCUGGGUUGAAGUAUAGUCGAGACUGCUCAAUCGUACAUAAGAUAGCAUCUGAAAUUGAGCACAAGAGAGACUUAAAAGUAUUAGCAGACAACUUAAAACGCGAUAGCAGGAAGCCAAAAGAAAAUGUUAAGUGCAUACAAUCAGGGAAUGUUGCCUCCAGAAGUCCGUAUCAAAAGAGAUUGGUUUUCUUCCCCACUUUACAUGUGCCAGAAGAUACUAAGCAUAAAAUUAACCCAUUCAGUUAUCUAGAUGACCAGAUUAAAUUGUAGGCAUCACGCGGUUCUUAUUUCAGUGAAAAGGCAAUCCGUUGAAUAAUGAUUGCCAAUGCAUGUCAGCAUGUAUGAUUCAGAAAUCACACUGAGAAUAAUUUAGGGAGCAGAUGCAUCUAUUUCCAGAGCCUUCAAUUCAUAAUGAAUUCUAGACAAGUUUAUUGUCCUAAUAAAAACAUGAUCAAAUCAUCAAUGUCAAAGUUGUUGCAUCUAAUGUUAAAACUAACUGCUAUAUCAGGCGGUUACUCAGAUGGUAUUCUGUAAACAUUAGUUAAUGAAAAUAUAUAAUAUAAUUAUAACAAGAAGAAUUGUAAAUGUAUGGAUUUGGAUUUUCCAACUUAACGCAAACUAACACUACGUUGAAAGAAUUGCAAAUCCCCUCACAUCGGCUUCCACAACUCAGCUCUCGCGUCGCCCCUCACGGGCAACACGAGAGCGACCAAACCCUUGUCCCGCCGCAACCCCUUACUCCACCCCUCCCCUCCCCGCCGCCACCCGAGGCGCUCGCCGGCGCUGCUGCGCGUCUGCCGGUGAAAUUAGAAAGAAGAAAAGCCUGAUCCAGUAUGAUUUGCAGUGAAAUUUGAUUGAAUCAUUAAAUUAUCAAGAGCAAUUGGAUAACACAAAGGGAAUAACAUAAAGUAGAUAGUCAGAGGGUUCAUCUAUCCAACGGGAGUAGUAGUUGCCUAGCAGCAGCUUGGAUAGGGCGGCAAUAGGCAGAAUGGAGUCAGGCUGCCGCAGCUUCCUCAACUUGAAGAAAUCAGGAGUUGGGGCUGCAUCACUGACUUGGCUGGGACAUUGGUGUGUCCACAGUGUAGCGUCGACAUCUCAUGGUCCUGCAACUGCAAGAAGAAGAAUUCCUUGCACUGCAUCCAAAUAUAGCUGAGAUUAUUUGUAGUCCAUGCUAGAGCCUCUCAGUUCACUAUUAAAUGUCUCAAAUUGAAGAAUACAAUAUUUCAUCUUAGUAUGUGGUACCAAGUUUCUUUAGACGGGUAAAAUUUCAGCAGACCAAAAAGGUAUCUACUUCUAAUUUUACCCCAUACGUCUUACCAUAGAUAUGGCCACUGUACCAGCAUCCCUCCAAUGAAUCAAUCUGUUGAAACCUCAACCCAGAAGAAGUUAUUCUCCUAACUUCACUCUUAAAAAUUGCACGUGCCUGAACGACUAUUAAGCCAUGAGACACUCCUGCAAUCAUGAAUUCAAAUAAGUGAUAGCACAAGCUUUAAAAAUGCUUAUUUAUCACAUGAACCCAGUCAUCAACUCAUUCGCCAAUUCAGCCUAACUAACCAUUAAAAAUGACACAAUUAAAUGCAAAAUGCUAAAGUUCACAAAUCAGUCAUAUGAAUAUCUAUUCGACGACAGAACAUAACUUGCCUGGCUGUGAGCUGUCACACAUAUAGAUAUAGGUACUCAACUAACCGCUCAAUAUGACUCAGUUCUGUUAACUACACUAUUGUGUAAUCAAAGCAUACACAAAUCAAGAUAAUUUAUAGGUGUGUGAAAGCUAAGAGUAACCUAGAAAAUAUACAUGUACGAACCUGAAUAUCAUACCACUGCCAGCACAUGAUUUAUUUAUCAGUUUAUCUUGGAGAAGGAGGGCUCGGAAACUAUCUGAAAACAGAGAAAGCAAUAUGCUCAUCGACUUCUCUGACUACAAUGAUUCUACAAAAGAGAUACACAAAAAAUAGAACGAAGUUAAAAUUAUGUAUAGAGAAUGCACCUUGCAAUUUUGUGGUAAGAAAAUUAUUAGGAUGGCUCAGCCGAUCCAUGCACACUGCUUAGAUAUUCCUGAGAUUUUACAAAGGAACAUACCUGCACGGUUGUUGUGUUGUUGCCGAUACAUAUGGCACUCAGUUAAUCUCUAAAGGCCUAGGUGAAUAGGACCAAAGAAAAUCAAAUUACUUAUGAUCAAGAGAAUUGCCAAAUGAAGCUGGCACGUAGAUCAGCUAACCUGGGUUAUCAGUACGCGGCUGUGGAAUAGCGCAUGGACAUACAUCUCACCCGUCACCACAUCAACCUGUACAACCGAAUGAAGCGGAUCAAAGAAAAAACAUGUGAUCUGAACAUAAAUAGCCGCAGUCCUGUAUAGCGGCAUGAGCGCGUUGCCUGUCGCGGCAUGAAGGGCCGGCGGCGGCUUGUGUGGGAAGGCGUGGAGUGGAGGGGUCGCUCGCGGCGCCCAGCGCGGAGGAGCGCGUGGCGGCCGUGGAGGGCUGCGGGGCGGAGAGUCGCUCGCGGCGCCUGACGCGGAGGAGCACGUGGCGGUCGGACGUGGAGGGCCGCGGGGCGGCAGUCAGACGGAGAGUCGCUCGCGGCGCCCCGCGCAGAGAAGCGCAUGGCAGCCGGACGCGGAGGGCAAUCGGACCGAGGGUCGCUGGGACACACGGCGCGGAGGAGUGCGUGAUGGCCAAACGCGGAUGGCCGCAGGGAUCGGGGACGCAGUCACGCCGAGCGCUAGGACGAUUAGACCACGGCGUCUGCCGGCAGAACAAUCCAUCUAAGCCGUUGAUCUGGGUGGAAGACUGCUGGGGUAAUACGGACUGUCGGAUGUCUUUAAGUUGAUUUGUUUGGAGGGUCCUGGUUAUCCUGUGUACAAUUAGUUGUGUGGUUUUAGGGGAAUUCAUGUUUGCUCUUUUAAUAGUAGUAUAGAAGUAUAGAUAUAGAUACGGUGGCGCUAUUGUGAGCGAGUGCGCAGAAUCGCUUAGCCUACGCUCCGGCCUAAUUAGGUGGGCGGGUCGCACCGCAGAAGUAGGCCUCUCCAACGCCUAAAUAGUUGAGGGUAAAGGUGUUUGCAGAAAAUAGUAAUGGGAUUUAAUUUGGUUACCACCGAUGCUCGCGUGCUCCACGACGCGCCGCUUCUGAGGUCGCUAAUCAUUGGUAGUAAUGGGUAUAGAAUAGAUGGUAAUGCCCAUAUACGCAACCACUAGUGUAUAGUAAUUGAAUUACUAUUUCAGGUCCUUGGUGUUACGGCUGUCCGGGCCUCGUAAUUACAUUGCUAUAUGGUAUAAUUCAUUCUUUCUUUAGCAACUAAGAUGCAAAUGAAAGUCCUGUAAAAAUUAGGGUCGAAUUACCCUUGGGCCUAAUUUCCUUCACAGAAAUCACAAGGUUAUUUUAGGUUUACAAUGGACUAUGUUUUGGUUUACUAUAUUUGCACAAAAUUGCUCUGGGUAAUUGACAUCGUACAUUAAUAUGUUUACUAGUUACACUUAUCUGUUACUAGGUUCCAUUAAUUCAUUACUAGAUGAAAGUUGGGUUACUAGGUGCUAUUGCUUCAUUACUAGAUGCAUGUUGGAUUACUAGGUUCCAUUACUUCAUUACUAGAUGCAAGAUGCAUGUAGUGAGAUUUAUGCAGUAAGGAUCACGAUCUGGUCGUAAUUUUAUUCAGUCGUUACGAUGGAGUUUCCACGAAGGCCAGUACAUCGGGUUGUUCGGGCUAAUUAGGGCGCGGUGGCCGGUUGGGGUCGAUUGGCCGGAGCGUACAUUAAGUUNNNNNNNNNNNNNNNNNNNNNNNNNNNNNNNNNNNNNNNNNNNNNNNNNNNNNNNNNNNNNNNNNNNNNNNNNNNNNNNNNNNNNNNNNNNNNNNNNNNNNNNNNNNNNNNNNNNNNNNNNNNNNNNNNNNNNNNNNNNNNNNNNNNNNNNNNNNNNNNNNNNNNNNNNNNNNNNNNNNNNNNNNNNNNNNNNNNNNNNNNNNNNNNNNNNNNNNNNNNNNNNNNNNNNNNNNNNNNNNNNNNNNNNNNNNNNNNNNNNNNNNNNNNNNNNNNNNNNNNNNNNNNNNNNNNNNNNNNNNNNNNNNNNNNNNNNNNNNNNNNNNNNNNNNNNNNNNNNNNNNNNNNNNNNNNNNNNNNNNNNNNNNNNNNNNNNNNNNNNNNNNNNNNNNNNNNNNNNNNNNNNNNNNNNNNNNNNNNNNNNNNNNNNNNNNNNNNNNNNNNNNNNNNNNNNNNNNNNNNNNNNNNNNNNNNNNNNNNNNNNNNNNNNNNNNNNNNNNNNNNNNNNNNNNNNNNNNNNNNNNNNNNNNNNNNNNNNNNNNNNNNNNNNNNNNNNNNNNNNNNNNNNNNNNNNNNNNNNNNNNNNNNNNNNNNNNNNNNNNNNNNNNNNNNNNNNNNNNNNNNNNNNNNNNNNNNNNNNNNNNNNNNNNNNNNNNNNNNNNNNNNNNNNNNNNNNNNNNNNNNNNNNNNNNNNNNNNNNNNNNNNNNNNNNNNNNNNNNNNNNNNNNNNNNNNNNNNNNNNNNNNNACCAUCAAUGCACCGUAAUUUUAUGUUCCGUAAUUUUUUUUAUUUCUGAUGUAAAAAGAGACUGUAAGAAAACAUAUAGUCGCCGUAAAAAAUAUUUUAUGUUAUGUAAAUUUACAAACGUAAAAACAUAGUGUAAAAUAUACAUAAACUACAAAUUUUCUUGUCUUAUGACCUAUAUUUUUAUUUUCUUAUGCCAAAUUUGACGUAGUGAAUCAAUAAGAAUGUAACUAUUUGAAUUUCAAACAUAAUUUAUUUAGGAAGCGAUCCUAAGAUUACCUCGGGUGAAGAAUAACUUAUUCUGCACCCUGGGUGAUGAAUAGUAACAUAUAUAUAUAUAUAUAUAUAUAUAUAUAUAUAUAUAUCUUUCCUUACUAAUAAAGCACGGAGUGCUUCUGGUCGUACGUCGUCGUCACUUUUGGAAAAAAGCCCCUCUAUUUUCAAGAAUUCAACCCGCAGUCCCUUUUUAAGUUGCUAUCUCAGAAAACGUUUCGUUAUUACAAAAAGAACCCUGCCGUUUUGAGAAUUCAACCCGCGGUCCCCCUGGAAAGAAAAAAAAACCUAGCCACACGAACGACCCAUGAACCCCAAUCUCAUCCAUCUCCAGCGCCGCCACGCCCUGCAACGCCGCCGCGCGCCGCCGAACUCCGCCCCGUCGUCGCCCCGCCGGAAUCCGCCGGAACUCGACCCGCCGUCGCGCCGCCGCUCAAGCCCAGCUUCUGGAUCGGGUCAACGCGGUGGCUCGAGCGGCUGGGGGCGGCGCGGUGGCUCGAGCGAACCAGACCGCUGUGCCUCCCGCAGCUCCAUCCUGCCCGAGCUCCCCUCGCCCCCGCAAGCCGCCUCGCCGGCGACCCCACACCUCCGCCGCGCCUCACCGCCGGAGCUCCAGCCGCUCCGCCGCCUCGCCCCUCUCCUCCUUCCUCUCGAUCUCCUCUCACCUCUUUCUCUCUUUCUCGCUGAACAGGGACCUCCAGAAGGGCCAUGGCGGCACCAGCCCUUAAUCUCGCCGGAUCCGGCCGCCUGCACGCCAAAUCCGCCGGAAAUGGAUCCGUCCCGUCCAGAUCCGGCCGGAUCCGACCGGGCCCCGCCAUCCUCGUCACUGGAGCACCGCCCCGCUCGACCAAUAGCGUCGGCGCUGUCUGUCCCUGCCCGCGUCUGCACGAGGACGACGCUCGUCCCGCUCGCUUGCAGCAAUCGCAUGGGCCGCCGCCCCAGCCGUCCCGGCAUCAAGCCAAGGCCCAGCCCAAGCCACAUCUUCUGCCGCUCCAUCAUUGCCCACCUUGAGAUCAGCCCCGACGCCACCACCAUCUUCAGAUGCGUACGCACACUACUUCCUUCUUCAAAUUGCUUCACCACAUCAUGCUGAAUUUGCAAAUGGCCGCUCCUUACAUGUGUGAUCGAGAAGCAAGGUCAAGUAUGAGCAGGCUGUCAGCGUGUAGUUGUCGGAGAUGCCGUCGCAACUUACAUGUCGCAGUCGUCGGCUCCAUGCUAAGAUUACGAGGCUCUAUGGUUGUAUCGUGGUGUUCCAGUAGUAAACUUUCAGGCUGGUUAGAUAGGGGAUGAAGAUGAUGUAUACUACCUAACGGCCAUCGAGUAAUAAAAGGAGAUGGAUUGAACUACAUGAUUUAUGCCAUGGGAAUGAUGAAAAAUCUUUGAGUGAGGAUGUUGAAUAAUUCAGUCCUGAUCAAUGGCUUCUCAUAAAAGUCUUCCUGCCAGCAAGAGAGCCCUUGCAGAUUUACAGCUUUUAGUGUAAUUAUUACAGAGAAGACAUGCUUAGAGGGCCUAUAAUUUUACUAAGUGAACAUGUACUGAUCUCUACAUGCUUUUUAUUAGAGGUAAAGACGAUGCAUUGCCUAUCCAAGUCUCCAUACAAAUUUGUAGAUGCACAUGGCGUUUUAUCUAUCUGGCUAGCGUUUAUAUUCAAAACUCUUUUGUCCUUAUAUCUUUUCAGUAUCGCUUUCAUGUUUUACUAAGAUCUGUGCGGAAACAACAUGAGCCUUUGCUGCUUGGUCUGGGAUGGUGAAGUGGUGGUUGCAGUGGAAAUCGUUAAAGGGGGCACCGGUGUCCUCAGUUAUACGGUUACAGAAUAUAUGGAGUCAUGCCCAACGUUGCAAGGGAGCCUGUAGUGGGAGGCGACAAAGUAUUGGCUGUUACCAUAGUAUCCAUAAUGUACGUCAUUCUUAAUAUGCAUGCAGUUUGUACCUUUGUAUUGACCCAUCAAUUGGCAAUAUGUUGACGUGCUCGGUAGGACAUGAACAGUUGUGUGUCUAACACAUUUUCAUGAUUUUUUUCUGUCAGGAGUUGUGUCAACACCAACCUCAGAGCUGGAAUAAGGAGUGCGCAUUCGCAUUGAUGAAACAACUUUCCCAUAGCCCGCUGCUACUGCCCACUACCACAAUCUUGCAUAGAUACUUGUGAGUACAUGAGAACAUCUGUAGGCUAAUAAACAGUACAAACACCAGGCUUAGUUUCGGAGUACAUAUAUUGCAUCGACUGGUAUGAUGUCUGAAUAUAUAUCUGACUAGAGCCAUCAUAUGGACAAAUAAUCUUUGUAGCAGUCUGUUGGAUAAUUAUUGGAGAUGAUGCACUCUGAUGGACAGAUAUAGAAACCCAUUGUUAUUUUCAGGUGAAAAUCUUGCACAUAUCUAUGUUGAAACCAGCCAUUGAUGUCCCCAAAAUUCACUAUACUAAGUACAACAAUAUAUAUUGAUUGCNNNNNNNNNNNNNNNNNNNNNNNNNNNNNNNNNNNNNNNNNNNNNNNNNNNNNNNNNNNNNNNNNNNNNNNNNNNNNNNNNNNNNNNNNNNNNUGCCCAUAAAAUUCAGUUCUUCGAUUGGAUUAUGUAAAAUGGGAUGAUCAACCAAAUAACAUUGGACCAAGUUGCUUAUGUUGAGUGUAUCAGUAAGGUAGAUGCCUAUAUUAAUUCAUACAAAGAUCAUUACUAAUAAUGAUAUGAUUGGUAAUACAUUCAUGACUACUCUAUGUUGCCUUGACGCAUGCAAGCCAUGCUAUAGAAACUGAAACUUGCAAAACAGAGUGAAGUAAAUUACUUUGAUUUGUUAGACACAAUCUAGAUCAUCACCAAGAGUCGUCAAAGAACAUAGAAAAUAGUAAAAUUAGUGUUAUUUAAAUUUGGCCUUAUUUUGCUAUAAGCAAUAAAAAUCAAGCAUACAAUAGUUGUUGGGUGAUAAUUCUUUGGUAUUUCUAAGGCCGGCAGUGGCACGGGAGGUGUCGUUGGCGCCACGGGCUAGACACAAACUUGAUUAGAUUGCUACUACAUUGCUGAUCCGUACCUCUAGGAAUGUUUUGCUGAUCAUGUCAACCUGCAGGCUAGCAAUUUGAAGAGACAGUUGCACAGAUAUUGGCAUAUACAGUCCCGUAGAUUCUGCCAGUGAACAUAUAAAAACAGCAUGUCCGUGAAUCUAAAUAAACUAUAGCAGUGAAUUGUUGAUGAUGUAUAACCUCAUUUGCAUCUAGCUUUCAUCCAGCAUUUUUUAUUUAUUUUAUCCAACAUCUUUGUAAGCAUCUGUUGGGCCAGCCCAAGUAGACAGAACAAUAUAACAGUGUAAAAGACACCGUGCUCAUAUUAUGAUAUGGUGUUAGGUUUACUUGCCUACAAGUUUGGUUCCACUUGGUACGGGCACCAUGCUCUGCUAUCAGCGUAUCUGUAGUAUCAGGGUAUUGUUACUACCUUGAAUGCUGAAUUUAAGGCUGACUGGUCAUGUAUUAGUCUGACUCCCUUCUGAAUUAUACAUAAGCAGAUUUUAGCAGGUCAUCCCAUGGUUGUCCACUAAUCUGGUGUCUGGUCCAUCUUCUUACCCUUGCAAUUUUAGUAUCAUCUGUCCAAUCUUGCCCUGACUGUGUAUAGACUGUUGAAUACUUCAAACAAUGAGCAAUUUGAAGUUCAGAAAUAUGACAAAUAUCUAAAAAUGGAUUCGUUUUUGGAGAAAUAACAUUGUGUAGAGUGGAAAUGCAGAACUAUAUGUUCCUAUUUCACCAACUGGUAUUGAAUAUGUGGUCAAUCUUUGUAGAAAAAACUACAAAGUCUAAACGUUAGUGUGUGAUACAUAUGGAAAAUUGUGAUGUCUAUUUUUUUGAAAUAUUUUUUACUUUAUAAAAAGUUUUAAACAGGGCAUAGCAUUAGGUUUCAUAUUUUUGGCCAAGACGCUCCGCGAGGCGAUGGCACAUGGCCGGCAAGGCUCGUUCUUAAGCGCACCAUCCCGCAAUUGAGGCGGCGCCCACGGCGCAGCCGUGGCCUUCGGAACGCACCGCGGGGGCAGUGCUACCGGCCACCAGCGCUGCUCCUCCCAGACGGUGGUGCCUAUGGCAAUGGUCCACUGGCCCCGGCCGGGCUCCCUGCGGAGGCGUGUGGGUGGCGGCCUCUGACUUGAAGUCUUCUUGAGAUUUGUACGUCGAUUGCUUGGUCGUCUCUUUGUGCUGUCACUACGUGUACUGAAGAUUAUUUACUUCGCUUUGACUUGGAGCGAGGUGCAGUGGUUUCAGGUUGCUGAUGCUGAUAUUUUCAUGUGAUGUUUGAAUGAUUGUGUGUCUGACCAAGCGUAGUUGCGCUUCUGACAAUGUAUUGGCCUUCCUUUGCUGCACCGAAGUUAGUGAAUUGUUCACCAUGCUUGACUUUGUUCUUAGCAGGGAAAUUUGUGGUGAUUCGUAAUCAAACUUGCAAAGAACAUCCUUCUGAUUAUGUUUGAAGAGGUACGAUGGAUGGUUGAGCUGAGACCACUGUUUGAUAUUUGUUUGCCUUUGCUUUGUAACCAGUGAGGGCUGAAGUGAAUGAAUCUGGAAGUGCUUUAGUGAUUAAUGCUCUGUCCCAAGUUAAGCAUAUUCUACUUCCGGUCACUGGCCGCAAGCCUUACCUUUCAGUUCUAAUUCCUUGAGGUACCUUUGUGAUGCCUUUAUUUGUCCAUGUCAUUAUUGUGCCUGCCAUAUGGAAUUUUGAGUUUAUCUUUGGUCAGCUUUCUUAUCAAAUGAUAGCCCUUUUUGCUCAAGUUGAUUUGAUUAAAUCAUUUUCAAAUCACCACAGUUGUGAAUAUAGCCAUUGUUUCAACAGAACAAACCUAAGCUUAGCAUGAAAGAGAGUAUGAAGUUUCUGAUCUCUUCAAAAUAUGUGAGGGGCCUUGCUACCUUAGUUGUUGCAUAUGGCAUUAUAAUCAAUUUUGUGUAAGUCACAUGGAAAUCGAAGCUCAAGGCACAUGUAAUUUUUUCCGGCUUUUGUUUUUCUUCUUUCCUUGUACUCCUUUAACCUUUUCAUGGUUCCUUAUUCAUUUUGGCAGUUCCCCAGUCCAAACGAGCACUCAUCUUUCAUGGGUGAUUUCUCUACCGCAACUGGACUUGCAACUUUCAUGAUGAUGCUGUUAGGCUGGAUUACAUUCCAAAGAUUUGGUUGGGGGGUGGCUUCCAUUAUCACCCCCAUAGUUUUGUGGUGACUGGCGUUGGUUUCUUUUCUGACUUUCAACAAGUGCAGUUCAUUGCCGCAGAGCAGUCUUAGAAGAUCCGUGCACAUGUAGCCUUAUUUCUUAUUCCAAAUUUCAUCAUACAAAAAAAAUACUCAGUGUAACCUCAUUUCUGAUGUUUGCGAAAAUUAGAUUAUAAAAAUGUUGCAUAAUGGCACAUGAAGCAGGUUACAUUUCAUUUUUUGCCCGGUGCAACGCACGGGCAUUUGUACUAGUAUAUAUAUAUAUAUAUGCGGUUCUACGUACGAGAAAAUCUAUCUAUAUAUAUGCAUAACGUGUACAAUUUGUAGUAUCGUGAAAUACCAGCAAACAAAAAAGAAAUNNNNNNNNNNNNNNNNNNNNNNNNNNNNNNNNNNNNNNNNNNNNNNNNNNNNNNNNNNNNNNNNNNNNNNNNNNNNNNNNNNNNNNNNNNNNNNNNNNNNNNNNNNNNNNNNNNNNNNNNNNNNNNNNNNNNNNNNNNNNNNNNNNNNNNNNNNNNNNNNNNNNNNNNNNNNNNNNNNNNNNNNNNNNNNNNNNNNNNNNNNNNNNNNNNNNNNNNNNNNNNNNNNNNNNNNNNNNNNNNNNNNNNNNNNNNNNNNNNNNNNNNNNNNNNNNNNNNNNNNNNNNNNNNNNNNNNNNNNNNNNNNNNNNNNNNNNNNNNNNNNNNNNNNNNNGUCACUUUAGCGCCGGUUCGUGACAAACCGGUACUAAAGGGGGGGGGGGACUUUUAGUCCCCACUUUUUAGUGCCGGUUGGCAAACCGGCACUAAAGGCCGCUACGAACCGACACUAAAGGCCGGUUCUGCACUAGUGGUAAAGUGUGAGUUAGUAAACAAUAACUUAUGUGAAUCAUGAAAUAACGAAACAUUAUUAACUUCUUGACUCCUUACUACUUGAGCUACUAUAUGUAACUAUCUUAACAAUAUCAUAAUCACAUUGCCCACUUUUUCAAUUAGGGAAUACCCAAGGAUUAUGCUCUCAAUCAUUUUCCAUGUGAAGAUACAAGUAUCACACUUCAACUUCCUCAGAAGAACAAGAAUUGGAAGUUUCGGUAUUCACAUAUUAGGGAUGGAACAAGAUAACAACAAUUCAUAACUUGACAGCUUCCGGGUUCUUUACUAUCUUAAAGAACUCAAAAGCCAUCAAGUUAUGCAUAGCUCUCUUCUUUCAUCUGAGCAACCCCCUGUGUGCUUGAUAUGCACAUUGUUUGACUUGGACAUUAAGCUCAUGUUUUUCUUUGUUGCUCGAAAUUUAUGCUCGUCAGAUAUUUAUGUCAGAUACUUAUGCAGCAUGUUAGUAGUUUUGUUAUAAUUUUUGUAGUAGCUCUUUAAUUAUGUUCACCUCCACCCCCUCCCCUCACCUCCUCGGCACAUGUUGGUUUUUUUCCUUUGAUUUGGAACCAAAUUGUAAUUAAUUAUGUCGCCUCUAUAUUAACAAAUCAAAUCAUAACUUGCAAUUAGCACUUACCAAUUGAUAAUCCAAGUGCAAGGAAUUGUCGUAGCACUUUUCAAAGAUGGAGGUGGUAAUUAUGGAGUAUCGAACCAACAAGGAGAUAAAGGUAGGAUUGGUAUUCUCUUAGGUGAUAUCUCUCACUGAUACGAUCCUACAUACACUAAGUGUUUGCUUUACCUAGAAAAUAAAACAUAAGUACUUUGCUGGUAUGAAAUGCUAGCUUUGCAAGAUAAUGAAGACUCGUAAAUAAAUGUUAGUUGCUGAUUUGUUAAGAAACAGUAAAGUAAAGUUAGCGAGUGUGGAAAAGUUGUGGUAGGAUGUGCGGAAUUGUCCCUAGGCAAUUGGAUAUGAAACUAAAGUGAUAAUCAUCUAUUGCAGUUUUAUAUGCAGGAGAGGCAUAUGCUAACAUUUAGAGAAAUUCAUGUGCAAAAAUAAAAAACAUUGGAAGAGGGCAACAUAAGGACUCUUCCAUUGUUAAAGAAGGGGUAAAGAAUGAAGGCGGUUGAGGUAAAUUUGGAUCUCUUAGCUACAUCUAUACUUAUUUUUUGCAAUUGAUUUCCAUUUUCAUGAUCCCUUCUUCCCUUACUGGCCAACAAGCACAAACUGAUGGCAAGGUCUGUAGAAGCCAAGAAGUUCGGCAAAGGAAAUAAAACAAGUUGUAGAUGCAAAAUCAAGUAGAAAGUAGAGAAAGACUACUAAAGGCCAUCUAAAUGUUGUCAACGAAAAGAAGGCAAAGAAGUGUCCGCCUUUAAUGCUUUCACUCUUUAUAUUUGAACGUGGUGUCCUUUGUUGUCGUACUCCAUGACGGAGCCAANNNNNNNNNNNNNNNNNNNNNNNNNNNNNNNNNNNNNNNNNNNNNNNNNNNNNNNNNNNNNNNNNNNNNNNNNNNNNNNNNNNNNNNNNNNNNNNNNNNNNNNNNNNNNNNNNNNNNNNNNNNNNNNNNNNNNNNNNNNNNNNNNNNNNNNNNNNNNNNNNNNNNNNNNNNNNNNNNNNNNNNNNNNNNNNNNNNNNNNNNNNNNNNNNNNNNNNNNNNNNNNNNNNNNNNNNNNNNNNNNNNNNNNNNNNNNNNNNNNNNNNNNNNNNNNNNNNNNNNNNNNNNNNNNNNNNNNNNNNNNNNNNNNNNNNNNNNNNNNNNNNNNNNNNNNNNNNNNNNNNNNNNNNNNNNNNNNNNNNNUACUGACUUUGUGUUUUCCUUUGUGAUCUCUCAUACUUUGUGUAACCUGUCUAAAUGAUGGUUAGUCAUGCUAAUAUUAUGUGUGAAUGAUACUUUUGAUAUUUGCGACUUCUUGUUGUUAGUGAGUUAUUUGUUGGCCAUAUGAUUUUCCUAUGUAAUCCUACAAUCUCAUCGUGUACAUGCUCUAUAUCAAGUUUGUACCACAUGACGAUUCCAUGGCAAGUUUGCCAAUGGGACAUCGUCAUUUCGCAUGGCAGGCUUGGGCAUAGACAAUCAAAUUUGAGCACUGCACAAACAGGCCAUCCAAAUCCAGUGAAGAAGAGCCCUCUGAAGCCCUUCAAGGCAGGUGGACAACUAGAAGACCCCGAGCGGAAUCUUCUACUCUUCGCUCGUCAUAGAGUGCAUCCGUAUCAAAUUACACAUAGACGAUCUUUGUGGGCCCAUCAAAACAGGACAGUGAUUGUCGAACAAACAGAUACCGUGGGCAUGGCUCGGUUGUUUUUUCCUUGGGUUUUCUGCUUUUUUUUCUCUGCCGGUUCUACCGGUUUUCUUUCCACAUUUUUUCUUUACCGAUGAUCUCUGUUAGGAUAAGCCAGGUUGAAGCCACUCUCAGGGGCACCUCUCAUGCUGAUCCUGCCCAUGCUCAAGCGACAAAAUUGUUGGGGUCAAAGUCGUGGUUGCUCGUCAUGGAGACAUGGAUAAAAACGAGGCUUCAUUGCUUUAUUUUUGUGAACGUUGUUUAAAUGCAGAAACAUAUUUUAAAUUAACGAGCAUUUGGAAAAAAAUGACAGACUCAUUUAUUUCAAAGCCUUUGGUUUUCUGCGGGGAACGGCUCGAAAACCUAACAAAAAACCAAAAGGUUUUCAAACCGGUUUUUCUAGGAACCUAGGUCACAUUUUUUUUUACUCACCGAAGAGCGUAGCUGCGAGAUCGCUAUCGGGCCCGGUCCAUUGCGGGACAAUUCGUGUCGCUCUUCGUGAUUUCACAAAAAUAAUAAUAAUAAAAUUUGAACAGGACGCAUCCACCCCUGUUGGAAUCGAUGGCGUCGUCUCCACGCUCGGCGACCGGAGUGGAUGCCGCUCGCUUCCUCCGUCCGUCCGUCCCUGUCCAUGUCAUGGCCGCCUCCGGCGAUGGAGAUCAACAAGUUCGGUUCGGUAGAAUUCGAUUCGUUUUAAAAAAGAAAGAAGAAUCAACAAGUCUCGGCCCAACGUUGGCCCAAGAGAGGCGGGGAGGCAGGCAAUCCUCCGUAUAUAUGAGCGGCGCUAGAGAUAAAAAAAAAAGAAACUCGCUAGGGUUCGUCCGUCCGUUCUCAGAGCAGAGCAGAGCAGAGGUGAGAGCCCAGACCUCGGCCGCCGCCCUCUUCCUCUUCUUCUCCGCAAACCACCCAUAAUCCUCCUCCUCCGGUAAGGUAAGCACGUUUCAAUCCAUCUCGGAUUCGGCUUCGUUUGUUCGCGUCUAUCUCUCUGACGCGGGGGUGAAUUUGAUUGAAUUUCAGGAGGAUAUACUCUGGCGCCCGGGCCAGAUCUUUAAAUUUCCGCGGGAGGGCUGCUGUGCUGCACGUUCCUCCGUUUACCCCUAUCUGUCUAACGCGGAGGCGAAUUUGAAUUUCAGGACCAGUCCGCCUUGCUCUGGCUGACGCCAGACCUUCCUUCUUCUUCUUCUUCUUCUUCUUCUCUUCAUGCGAGUAGUGCUGUUUAUAAUUUUAUUUAUACCACCGGAUCAAUAGCAGCAGCAGCACAAGUAGAGGAUCCAACCUCCCGAGUGCAAGCCGACUCGGUUUUGCUCCGGUGUACGGAUAACUUAUCUUCUUUUUCUUGUGGAACAAUAAUAAGUGUAUAAUAAUCCGAUUAGGACCCCUUUCCGACUGGGAGUGGGCUUUGCUGCUCCCGGUGCAGCGCUAAGUUAUUAUAAAUAGUGGCAGAGUAAGGACGAGGAUUGGCCUGUGAUAAUCGAGCCUCCACGCUCGCCUCAAAGAUUUCGUUCAAAGCAUCGUCGGCUUUCAGCUUCCUCACACUCCAUGGAGGCCAUAAAUAACGGUUUCAGCGACAAUUCCCGCAGCCAAGUAAGUUCCCUCCCUUCUUGUUCGCCAUGCCUCUAUUCAUAUUUUUGUUCUUAUAUAUAAUAUUCCACUGUACGUACAAUGCCAAGAGCUGUAUCUUCAACUCAACUCAUACACUACUAUAUAAUACUACAGUAUAACUCUCGACAGUUAUUGUAGCACUCCAUGUAAAUGUUAAGUUGUUUGUCUAGCCUGUUAUCAGCCAAAUUACCUAUAAUUUACGUGGUUUUGACAGAGUGAAGUAGUGAAUAAACAGAGUCUUCGUUUUGUUUUUGCCACCUUGUAAAACUACGAACCUGGCCAUAAUUUUUCUUUCGGAGCAUUUACAUGAUCGUGCCGGAAGGAGAACAGAAAGCAAUGAUGACAAAAAAACACACACCGAUCUGAAGAGAUGUCUCUAUUUGUUCUGACGAUAUAAAUCUCCAGUUUACAUCUUCCUGUUGUAGCCAGAGGCAGUCAUGGGAAUGCUUUUCAUUUUCUUCUUUUGCGCAACUCCUGCAACCAUUCACUUGAAAGCUUUUCGACGAUUAUUAAGUUUUGUGUGGAUUGAUGCAUACUUUUCAUUAUAAAGUUUGCAAGUGUUGGAGGGCGACAAUUAGCAGGAUUUCUUUAUAUGGCUACGGAGGUUGUACCUAGAACCAUACACAGAAGACUGCACAUUGCUGGCAGCUGAAUAAUGGAUGCUUGAUUUAUGUUGCAGCAACUGGAUGACGAAGAUAUGCUCAGCACCCUCACUGAUGAUAUCUUACUGUCAAUCUUGGGGAGAGUCAGUUCAGUUGUGGCUACAAGGACAAGUGUGCUCUCUACACGGUGGAGGCAUCUGCCUUGGUUGCUGCCUGAACUCAGCAUCGAUGUCAAGGAUUUCCUAUCUGCUCCGUGUGCUGAACCUAUUGAGGCAAAUGAUAUGGAACAAACUAUGGCGUCUUUAACCAAAGCAACCAGGAGUUUGUUGGAUAAACAACAGAGAGAAUCCAGUAUCUCAAGUUUGCACCUUGACCUCUAUUUGAUCAGCAAUUUCCUUUGUGAAGUUGGCCAACUGAUAGGUGAUGCAAUCGACAAUGGUUUGUUGAAAGAUUUGGAUCUCACCGUUCUUGAUGAGAUGGAGCCUCUCGACUGUAGCGAGGAAGAGCUGCAACAGCGAGCACAAGACAUAGAUGCUUUUUUCACUGCCUACCCUAGUGUGCUCCUCUGCCUCACAAAGCUCUCUCUAAAAAAUGUAGGCUUUGACAAAUUGGACAUGCACCAUCUCCUGUUUGACUGCUGCAAGCAACUGACGCAUCUAACUCUUCAUCAUUGUGAUACCGGUUCCUUCUCUCUCUUUAAAAUCGAUGCACCGGGCUCAAGACUCCGUGUUCUAGAAAUCGAGAAGUGUCGCUUUCUGAAAAUCGACCUGGUGUGCCUCCCAAAAUUAGAGAAGUUCUUAUGGGAGACCUGGGUAUCUCAGGUUGCCCCAUUGACCUUUGGUUUUGUCCCAUCUCUUGGGGAAUUAGAACUCUCAAGUGCUUCGAAUUGUCAGCAACGCUUAUUUAGAUUAAGUGAGCUUCUACACGGAGUAAGAGGCAUACAUACUCUCACAUUGGAUUUCCAAGGAGAAACCGUAAGUACUUCUUUAUUUUCGUUAAAUGGUACUUUAUUUGGUAUUCAUCAUGUCGUCAUUGAUAUGGAAGUUAUAUCAUGGAUGUGUUUAUGUAUGAUAGAGAACAAACAUAGCUGUAAAUUCUUUGAUAGUCUCAUUUCUGUGCUUGCAAACUAUCAAUACUUAUUUUGUUUGUUUAUUUAAUGUUGUGAUCAGCUUUGGUUGCAACCUGAAAUGGAGGAACUCUGCACCGCAUUCAGCAAGCUAAGGAAGCUGUUCAUACGUGGUAUAUUUGUUGAAUUUGACAUUUUAUGGAUGACAGCUUUUCUUGUAGCAGCACCAUCUAUCGAAAUGUUGCAUAUUGAGGUGAUGUCUUUGUCCAUAUUUAUUUUCUUGUCCACAUUUGGAGCUUUAGUUUUACACAAAUUUGAGCGGAAAGUUCUUUAAAACUUGGAUUCACUCUAAUGAAUUGGUCACACACACACAGAGGUAUGGGAACAUACAUGCGAUGUGGGCGAGGCCAGGCUUGCUACCUACCAUGAAAGAAGGAAUCCUCAAUGGGAAAUGCACUUGGACAGGAGCUCCGACAACAUGCUUCUGAAAGAGCUUGAAUUCGCUGGAUUUAAAUCACUUGAACAACAGUUUACAUUUAUUAGAUCCAUAUUGGAGCGAUCUCCCAACUUGCAGAAGAUAGUUCUGAGAGAUGAGGAGCAGUGCGAUGAUUGCGAUGCCCUUAAGGUACCUCGUCCUUCGAGAUUUCCUAUGAAGAAAGAUGAGCAAGAAAUGGUGGUUAAGCGGAUUAGAGAUGGCAUGUUCUCGCCAGAUAUGUUUUUUACAAAUAUGAUAAGUUGUAAGUUGUAAGAGAAAUAACAGUUUGUAUACUCCAUGUCCUGUUGCUUUAAUAUUCCUCGUUGCCUGACGGCUGAGCAUCUCAGAUUAGGUUUCGACUCUGCACAUCUUUUGAUGUUAUCAAAAGGUAAGCUCGAGAGUUGAUUUUUAUACAAACUUUGGUAAAUGUAUCAUAUUACCAAAAUAUUUUGCUUGCCAAUAUUUGGCAUGGCCUAUUGCUUCUUGCUUUUCCUAGUUGCUAACACUAAUAACUAGGAGUUCAUCUUCCAGAUGGUAAGAGCACUUAGAUGAAUGUAGUCAUAUCAAUAAUAUUUUUUAUGAGAAGUUUAAUAUAUAUCAUUGAAUUGACAUGCCAAAUCUCCGCGUGAUAGAUUAGUACUUGGUUAUCCUACUAUAUGGAUCCUAUAUAAUUUGUAUAUGUAUUAACCUCUUCCUGGG